Molecule: long non-coding RNA, 96072 nt
Filed under: Triticum aestivum (bread wheat)
Lineage: Eukaryota; Viridiplantae; Streptophyta; Magnoliopsida; Poales; Poaceae
Description: long non-coding RNA (TAES_LNC028087)
Rfam family: MIR1120/MIR1122 microRNA precursor family (bases 53326-53440)
Source: RNAcentral
GUUAUUGUUUCUUUAGCAAUUAUAUAGUUCCAGGGAUUGAAAUGGUUUUCUUGUCCUAGCAAUGGUGCUUAGCUCCCUGGUUUGGUUUGAAGACUUAUUAUCCGCAGCUAUCUUAGAUUCCUAGUACUAUCAGACUACCUAUCCUAACUUUCGAAGAAGAUGGAAACUAGUAUUAUGGCACUGUCACUUUGUUUCUGUUUUGGUGUUUCCUUGCAUGUCUGAAUCUUUAUCAAUUUAUCAGGAAGUACUUGGAUAUCAGGUAGCAGUCCCUGAAUUAUAUAGAUCUGUGAUUCGGUAGUUAUCUUACUACUGGAAAGCGUCUAUCAAAGAACAUCGAUCAGUGCAUCUCUGAUCAGGAGUUGCCUCUAUCACGAGGGAUUAUUUGACACACAUCUAUUCUCAAAAUAUGACCAUGUUUACAAUUAUCAUGCUUAUGUUUGCCUGAGAUGUUUGCCUCUGUUAUGUUAGUGCGUUGCUAUGUGCUUCUUUUCCCAUUAUUUAGCAAUAACUUUGUUAUCAAGUAGCCAUAUUGACUGAUAUUCACCAAGCUUGCAAUUUCUCUGAUUGAAUGCUUUGGAUGCCUGCUGCAAAUCAGGUUUCGAAUAAAUCUCAGUCCUUGACUCAAAUCCACCAAGGAGUACAUGCAGUUACGGGUUUGGUCUGGAACUGUGGGUACGGAUCUGAACCUUCUUUCCUGUAUUCUGUAGAGAGCAAAUUCAUGCAUUUACAGUUACUGUGUAAAAGAAAAGUACAGGCUUCCCUCUUUUCCAUUCCAUGCAAAGUUGCAAUGAUGAUGUGUUGUAGCUUAUUGUAGCUUGUAAGGUUUAGGAUCCUCGAAUUGCACCACCUUGUCCAGGAUCUGGCCAAGUUAGGCACGACUAGAGACACCUUAAAAUGUUGUAAAUGUGCAAAAGAAAUCAGUUAUUUUUUCUUGAUUUUUCAGCACCAAGUUCAGUUUUGUAGUACUAGAAAUAAAGAGUGUGUGUUCCCGUUGAAAUGCACUAGCUGCAGAGCUGUUCUGUUAUGCUAAGUAGAGUUGGGUUAUAAGCAGUAAUCCUCUAGCAUCCAUAAAAUUUGACGAAAUUUUGCAAGCAUCCAUAAAAUUUGUAAAUGUUUGCUACAAAAAAAAUUCAGAAUUUUGUGAUUUUUUUUCUGAAUUUACUGUUUCACCCGAGCUCAUUUGAGCUCAGGCUGAGAAAAAUCACGUCCCAGUUUUCUCUUGUACACUUAGCUUCCUUUCUCUGCUUCGGAGGAAUGUCUCGGCGUUGCGGACAAGUUGUGCUCGUGUCGUGGUUCUCGGCAUAUGCUGCAAAAGCGUGUUCGCUUACUUGUCCCGCAGCCCCGGUCAGCAUUUGUCUUCGCAAUAGUUUUAUGCUUCUUGGACUUUGCUCCUCAAUCAUCAUAGGGAGGUUUAUCUCUGCUGUUGGUGGGUCGUCCAGGUUUGAGCUUGCGCUCAGGAGCCGUCAGACCUAACAAAUUGCCGGCACCACUCCCCUCUGUGUGUCGCUUCCAUACCCACAGCCAGGCCCUUUCAAAAGAGCUCGUUCUUUCUGCACUGCCUUGCUUUCUUUUACCUUGUCUUCUAGGCCCAUCCCAUCUUGUACAACAGCUAUAGGUGUUAGCUCUUGCAUAGCUGACUUCAACACAUGCAUGGCUUUUUCAUAUGCUGAUGUGUUGGCAUCGCCAAGCCUUACAACUUCCAUAGCGUGCUUGUACAUGUCUGAGUGUCGAAAAGUUAUGGAAUUCACUGAUAUUUGGCCCCUCUGCAGAUGUGUUAGAUGUUGUGGCAGCACAUCCUUUCUCCACCACCUUUUCAUUAUAUGCUUUGCAGGGAUCUCAGUGAAACCCAUGUCCAUAAAUUAGACAAAUUAUGUUAAAUCAAUCUGUUUUUAAUGCUGAUAUAUGUGCGUUUGUAGUCAGAGUGUACCUUGAGAACAUGACAGCACAGGAGCCCCAUAUGUUCAAAAUUACCACACUCACACGACACUUGUGCACCUUUAUCCAUGACAGCAAUAGCAUACACAACCCGUCACCAUUUGUCAUGUCUUUCUGGAUGAUACCGAUGUACUAAGUAUUUUACACCUUUCUCAACUUCUUCCACUAGUGCACCUUCAUACAGGACCUCACCAAACUUCUCGAACAUAGCUCUGGUGUAGACAGUGCUGGCAUGCGUUCACCUUCAUCAUCGGAGCGGCUUGAUCAGAAAUAGUUCCAUUUUUUUUCUUACUAUCUGUGAGAGUGAUGCAAUUUAACUGAAAUACCACACCAUAAUGCAAGCAAAAUUACAGCUUACUAUUUUCGUCAGAGUUUUCACUUGCUUCUCGGUCAAAAAGUACAGGCUCCCCUCUUUCCAUUCCAUGCAAAGUUGCAAUGAUGAUUCAAUAUUUUUCUUUCGGUCAAGUUAAGCAAUUCUUGUGUAUCUUAUUGUAGCUUGUAAGAUUUACUGAUUUAGGAUCCUCAAAGUGCACCACCUUGUCCAGGAUCUGGCUGAGUUAGGCACGACUAGACACCUUAAAAUAUUGUAAAUGUGCAAAAGAAAUCAGUUCUUUUUUCUUGAUUUUUCAGCUCCAAGUUCAGUUUUGUUAUUCCCGUUCAAAUGCACUAGCUGCAGAGCUGUUCUGCUAUGCUAAGUGGAGUCGGGCUAUAAGCAGUAAUCCUCUAGCUGCCAUCCAUCUCCACAGUCAUAUGUAUUUCCUAUAAACAGGGUUGGUUAGUUUUUCUUUUUGACAGCUGGGUUAGUUAGUUUGUAUUAGAAACAAUGGUGAUUCAGUAUUCUUCUUAUGGGUCAAGUAUCCUAUUGUUUGUAGCUUGUAAGAUUUUGGAUCCUCGAUUUGCACCACGAUGUUAUAGGACGUGUCUGAGUUCAGCUAUUGUAUGCAAUCUUUGCUUCCUGCGCUAUAAGUUAGGCAGGAUUAGACUCAUUAAAUUGUUUUUAACAUGCAAAAGAAGUCUGUUCUUUCUUGAUGUUUCUGCUCCAGGUUCUGUUUUGUAUAAGAAUCAGCGAGCAUCUAAUCAUGCUGAACUCGCUGCUAUCUUAAAAUGCAUGAUAUGUUCAUUAAUUAGCUCACAGUUUUAGCUGUCUGUUCUUCUUCAGUUGUUGUGUCUUUUCCGACAACAGUCUCGAGCCCUUGGAUCUCCAUCGUGCGGCUGGGAUGAUGAUGUGAAGCCGUAUGGUGGCUACUUAAUUCACUGGUUGGAUGUUAUCCGAUCUGCAUUCGUUGGCUGAGAUUCAAUCACUGUUGGCGGCCUUUUAUUGUACCCGCUCACGUUGUUGUUGUGGCCUUCUUUUACUUCCAGUUAAACUUUUCCUUUAUAUAGGCACCGGAUCCCUUUGGAGAGACAUUGAAUGUAAAUGGCUUCUAAACCCUAGCGCCACUGUAGAUCCCUCUAAAUUCGAGGCUACUUUCCUCUGAACUCUAUGUGUAUGUUGUUGUUAAGUUAGUGAGAUCCUAUCAAUUAGUAUUAGUAGCCAACAGUCCUUGGUGGCGUGUUGGAUUGUGGCAAAGUGCAGUUCGGCUAGCCGGUAAAAUUCCUUGCACCUUGACCCACGAUCCCGGGGUGGUGACACAAUCAGUGGCGCAGGCGGUGGUAGAAUUUUUGAGUGUAGGUUAGAAGGGGGCGUGGUUACUGAAGAACCCUUCUUCGGCAGAAAAUUCCACCCACCCUCCCUCUACGGUGCACAGCGGCAGAGGGCAUUUGCGUCAGUGUUCAAAGGGGGCUUGAUUUGGUUGUGCAGGUAUGGUUGCCACUUGGUGGUUGUAAAAUCCCCUCCUUGCCCUCCCAGAUCUUGUUCAUUAGGUGAGAAAGUGCUUUGUUUUCCUUAAAACCCUAUUUGCACUAUGGCACCACCCUCGUAUUCAACGUACAAAGAUGAUCUUGAUCUCAAAUCAUUACAAUUGGAUGUCCGACAACUCCAACAUCAUCGUAUCACUGACAAGCAAGAGUUCAUCGAAUUCGGACAAUCGGUCAAUCAUAAUACGGUACCCUAUACUGUUGAGAGGGGAGGGAACGGUAUAUUAAAAUCUGGCCGCUGGUUUUCUAAGGGUAGGAUAGACAUAGGUGAGAGUUUUUAGCGACAUUGUUGGUCUGCGGAUAAUAGCGACGGGAAAUCAAGACGCUGAGCCUCACCAUCAUGUCCCAUGACUCCUCCACGAUCUCCUUGAACCUCCUGUUCCAGACUUCCAGUAGAAGGACGGAGGCACCUCCCCGAGCUGUCGUCCUUGACCACGAGUUCCGCGGCUCCGCCUCGAGCUCGUCUUCUACGUCGCACCCUCCACUGCGUCACCGGCCAUCUCGUCGGGUCCAUCAAGCCCGUGGCGAGCUGCCGCUUCUCUGCGCCUCCUUUCCUGUUGAUUUCAUUCACCAUAGUGUGGUCUCCCUCAAGCCGGCGCCCUGUCCGCCAUGGACGAGUCCCUGCCUGGUGCUCAUCCCACACGCACACACCCAGCCAUGCGUGCUCGUUCGCGCUCCACGCCCGCUGCAACAGCCCGAGCGCACGCUCCGCAGCAGCGCAGCCCCGCAAUGAACGCUCCGGCCUCUAGUACGCAAGCAUCACCACAGCCUCCACUCGCGUCCCCGCCGUCCACGGUCAGCGCGAUCCUAGAGGGCAGGCCGAAACAGCAAGCCGCCAUGGUCUUGCCUACCCGGCAGGGACCUCUAGUGGAUACGAAGACGUGGAAAUACCAGUCACGGGUCAGCGCCUGCGCAACAGGAUCCCAGGGGAGCACCGGUGCCGGCGGUGUGGUGAGUCCUCGAGCGCCUCACGACAGGAGGAAAAGGAGGAGGGGGAGGAGAGAGAAGCAGGGGGUUGAUGAUGACGAAGAUAGCCUAUAGCUCGACAACCUCCCGAUCCACCAUAGAUGGCGUGCACGCCGGCGGCGGCUGGAACCCGCGGGCGCGGUCGGGAACGAAAUGGAAGGGCGGGGGCGGGGUGGGCCAGGUCGACACGCAGGGGUGCUGUAAUUUUUUCUUCCCAAAAUGACCUCAGGACUUGUAUACUGGAGGAAGAAAGCGAUGCCGUGCAAGCUAUACCGCUCGCGGCCGCAUUGGCAAAUUGGAGCAGUACAGAUUGAUCGCCGCCGUCAGAUAUCACGAAUGGACGACUAGUAUUUGCUGUAGGGUACCAUAAAAGAGCUCCAAUUUUAUAGACCUAAAGAGCAUUUCUCCAAGAUCCAAUCAAGCUUUGAUCAUUUCUUUGCUAAACAACCCAACUUGGGUAAACGUUUGGCAAUUGAUGGACCUCCUGGAAUGCCUGAAUUAUUGCAUACAGCUAGAGAAAUUGGAGUUUCACCAGGUCAAGGUAGCAUCAACCAAACUUUGAAUAAACCCCAGGGAGUGGUCACUAUAGUGGUACAUGACUAAGUAUGCAAGGAGCAGCCAACAGAACAACAGACAAAACACCCAUAAAGACAUACACUACAAAAAAAUACACUUCCGUGAUGAUACGUGUUUGUCACAGUCGGUUGCGUUUUUUGUCAUGCAUGUACAUCCAUGACGAUUUUAUGACAGAAUCAAGAUUGUCAUACAUGUGCUGUCGUCGAAGUGUUCCAUGACAUUACCAAAAUUAUCAUCACGGAAGUGUCCACUUCCAUGACGAUAAAUCGCGCGUCACAGAAGUGCUUUUGUCAAGGGUGACCGACACGUGGCAUCCACCAUAACGGAACGCCGUUAAGCUAUCAGGUCGGGUUUGGGAUCCGAUAACCCGUUAACAGCCCUGACUAAUGGGGAUUUUCCACGUGUAAAAUCAUCAUUGGCUGGAGGAGACACGUGUCAGGUCCGCGUUGGCACAGAUGUCACUCAUCUAAUGGGCGAGACGCGCCUAUGAUAUGUUGACACGUGGAUAGGCCCAUCAAGUUUAAAUGGGCCAGCCCAACUAAAGGCCCACAAGAUUUUGCGGACCAUAAUGGGCCGACACAGCUAAAGGCCCACGAGAUUUUGCGGACCAUAAUGGGCUGGCGCAACUAAAUGCCCACAAGAUUAUGCGGGCCAUAAUGGGCCGGCCCAGGUAAAGGCCCACACAAUUUUUGUGUGCCAUAAUGGGCCGGCCCAGGUAAAGGCCCACAAGAUUCUUGCGGAUCAUAAUGGGCCGGCGUAGCUAAAGGCCCACGAGAUUUCGCCGACAUUAAUGGGCCGGCCCAGCUGUAGGCCCACAAGAUUUUGAGGACCCUAGUAGGCUGGCUCAUUGACUGGCUGCCAUGUUUUGGGCCAAAUGUCGGCUCAUAUUUUAUCCCGUCCAUUAAUGGACUGCCACGUUCCGGCCCUAAUAAUGGCCCAUAUGAGAUCCGGCCCGUUAAAAGCCUACCAUGUUCUGGGCCAAAUUACGGCCCAGAUCAGGUUCGGCCCUUUAAGAGGCUUUGGGCUAAAUUAUGGCCCACAAUGCUUUUGGGCCCACUUGCUAAAGGCCCAUUUAGUAAUUCGGCCUGAUAUUAGAUUCGGCCUGUUAAGGGCCCGUUUAACAUUUCGGCCUUAUAUUAAUUUUGGCCUAUUAAAAGCCCAUCAUAUAGUUGGGCCUAACUACGACCCGGUUUGCAUCCGGCCUGCUCGCAACCGAUAUCUGAUUGGGCCAAACAAGGACCGAGACAAUUUUGGCCUAUUAAAAGCCCGUGAUUUGAUUUGCACAAUCAUGGGACGGGGUCCAUUUCGGCCUGCUGUCGGCCCGUGAGCUGUUCGGCACGUUUCAGGCCCAACCUAUUUCUCAGCAUCCUAAAAGCCCAUUGAGUUUUCUUGCGAAAAGAGGGCCGGGGGUUACUCGGCCUAUUAAAGGCCCGAAUCUACUAGUGGGCCAGUUUACUUUUGGCCUUUUAACGGACCAAGAUGACGGGGCCCGUGAUGCGGAUCAUACAUCGUGAUUGCAUGACGGCCCAAUUAUGUACCAUAAUUUUAUAGUUUGGCCGGUUUACUGCCAAGACAGGAUAUAUAUACAGUAAAAUAACUGCAGCAUCGUGAAUAAGAAAAAACCUAGACUAUAAAAUAAAGAAAUUACGGCAUUGUCGGUGUGCAAGAGUAGGGGCUCUGCUUUUGACCCCUUUACUUGUGCACGGGAAGUCAGAGCCACCCGCCACGGUGAUAUGUCUCCAACGUACCUACUUUUCCAAACACUUUUGCCCUUGUUUUGGACUCUAACUUGCAUGAUUUGAAUGAAACUAAUCCGGACUGACGUUGUUUUCAGCAGAAUUACCAUGAUGCUAUUUCAUGUGUAGAAAACAAAAGUUCUCGGAAUGACCUGAAAAUCCUUGGAGACAAGUUUCAGAAAAUAUAAAAAAUACUGGCGAAAGAAUCAAGAUCAGGGGGCCCACACCCUGUCCAUGAGGGUGGGGGGCGCGCCCCUGUCUUGUGGGCCCCCUGUAGCUUCGCCGACCUCAACUCCAGCUCCAUAUAGUCCGUCUCGCGGAGAAAAAAAUCAGAGAGAAAGUUUCAUCGCGUUUUACGAUACAGAGCCGCCGCCAAGCCGUAAUCUCUCUCGGGAGGGCUGAUCUGGAGUCCGUUCGGGGCUACGGAGAGGGGGAUUCAUCGCCAUCGUCAUCAUCAACCAUCGUCCAUCACCAAUUUCAUGAUGCUCACCGCCGUGCAUGAGUAAUUCCAUCGUAGGAUUGCUGGAUGGUGAUGGGUUGGAUGAGAUUUACCAUGUAAUCAAGUUAGUUUUGUUAGGGUUUGAUCCCUAGUAUCCACUAUGUUCUGAGAUUGAUGUUCCUAUGACUUUGCUAUGCUUAAUGCUUGUCACUAGGGCCCGAGUGCCAUGAUUUCAGAUCUGAACCUAUUAUGUUUUCAUGAAUAUAUGUGUUUUCUUGAUCCUUUCUUGCAAGUAUAUAGUCAUCUAUUAUGUUUUAUGACCCGACAACCCCGAAGUGACAAUAAUCGGGAAACUUCUCGGUGAUGACUGUAGUUUGAGGAGUUCAUGUAUUCACUAUGUGUUAAUGCUUUGGUCCGGUUCUCUAUUAAAAGGAGGCCUUAAUAUCCCUUAGUUUCCGUAAGGACCCCGCUGCCACGGGAGGGUAGGACAAAAGAUGUCAUGCAAGUUCUUUUCCAUAAGCACGUAUGACUAUAUUCGGAAUACAUGCCUAUGUUACAUUGAUGAAUUGGAGCUAGUUCUGUGUCACCCCAUGUUAUAGCUAUUACAUGAGGAAUCGCACCCGACAUAAUUAUCCAUCACUGAUCCAUUGCCUAUGGGCUUUUCAUAUACUGUCCUUCGCUUAUUUACUUUUCCGUUGCUAUUAUUACAAUCACUACAAAACCCAAAAAAUAUUACUUUUGCUAUCAUUACCAUUACUAUCAUAUUACUUUGCUACUAAAUACUUUGCUGCAGAUACUAAGUUAUCCAGGUGUGGUUGAAUUGACAACUCAGCUGCUAAUACUCAAGAAUAUUCUUUGGCUCAACUUAUGUUGAAUAAAUAAAUUUGGGUUGAAUACUCUACCCUCGAAAGCUAGCUGUUGCGAUCCCCUACACUUGUGGGUUAUCAAGACUAAUUUCUGGCGCCAUUGCCGGGGAGCAUAGCUCUACUCUUUGAGUCACUUGGGAUUUAUAUCUUCUGAUCACUAUGAAGAACUUGAAAGAUCAAAGAACUAAAUUUUAUCCCUCAACUACGAGGGGAGGUAAGGAACUGCCAUCUAGCUCCGCACUAGAUUCUCCUUCUAUUAUGAAUAAGCUUGCGACACCUAAACCUGCUACUGCUAUGAAUUCUGAUAUGUCGCGUGUUAUUGAUGAUGCCACUUCUGCUAUGCAUGAUACUUAUGAUGAAACUACUUCUAUGCUUGAUACUACUGUGCCAUUGGGUGAAUUUCUUGAUGAACAACUUACUAAGGCUAGAGAGAAUGAAAUUAUUGAUAAUGAAAUUAUUGAUGAUAGUGAUGAUGAAAGUUCUCCGAACGAUUAUGAGUUGCCUGUUGUUCCUGAGGGUUAUGUUAUGGAUGAAGAAACUGCUAGAGAUUUUCUUGCUUGCAAUGAUAGAUCAGAUCUUAAGAAAUUGUUAGCCAAGCUGAAACAAAAGACUUUAAAUGCUAAAAUGAAACAUGACCCUACUUUUGCCACUUUACCUAUCUUUGUUACUGAUAAGGAAUAUGAAUUCUACGUUGAUCCUGAGAUUAUUACUUUAGUUGAAUCUGAUCCUUUCUAUGGCACUGAAUCUGAAACUGUUGUGGCACAUCUCACCAAGUUAAAUGAUAUAGCCACCCUGUUUACUAAUGAUGAGACAUCUCGCUAUUAUUAUAUCCUUAAGAUAUUUCAAUUCUCAUUAAAGGGUGAUGCUAAGACUUGGUUUAAUUCUCUUGAUCCUGGUUGUGUGCGUAGUCCCCAGGAUAUAAUUUAUUACUUCUCUGCUAAGUAUUUUCCUGCUCAUAAGAAACAAGCUGCCUUGCGAGAAAUAUAUAAUUUUGUGCAAAUCAAAGAAGAGAGACUCCCACAAGCAUGGGGGAGGCUUCUCCAAUUACUUAAUGCUUUGCCUGAUGAUCCACUUAGGAAAAUGAAAUACUUGAUAUCUUCUAUAAUGGACUAACUGAUGCUUCCAAGGACCACUUGGAUAGUUGUGCUGGUUGUGUUUUCAGGGAAAGAACAGUCGUCGAAGCUAAAUUAUUAUUGAACAAUAUGUUGACUAAUGAGAAUAAUUGGACUCUUCCUGAGCCAAUUCCUGAGCCAAUUCCUGAACUAAUUGAGCCAACUCCUAAGCCUAUUCCUAAACCUACUCCGAAGAAGAGAGAUGUUCUAUUUCUCAGUCCUGAGGAUAUGCAAGAGGCAAAGAAAUCAAUGAAAGAGAAAGGUAUUAAAGCUGAAGACGUUAAGAAUUUACCUCCUAUUAAAGAAAUACAUGGUCUUAAUAUACCGCCUGUUAAAGGAUCACAUCAUCUUGAUAACCCGACACAGGUAGUGAAGGUAAAUUCUCUCUAUAGAUAUGAUAAGGAUGAAAUCCCAUCUACUAAAUUUCAUAGUCCAUGCUUAGAUGAAUUUGAUGAGUUCAUGAAUAGACAAGCAAAUUUCAAUGAUUAUGUUGGUAGACAAUUGAAGAAUAAUGCUUAUAUGAUAGGAUGCUUGAAUGAUUAUAUAGCUAGAGUUAAAGGUGAACUUAAACUCACUAGUAAACAUGCUUCUAUGGUUGCUACUCAAGCUGAACAAGUACUUAAGGCUCAGAAUGAAUUGCUAGUUGAACUAAAUAAUAAACAUGACUUCGUUGUUAGAGUGGCUACUAGAACUGGUAAAAUGACUCAGGAACCUUUGUAUCCUGAAGGCCACCCUAAGAGAAUUGAACAAGAUUCUUAGAAUAAUAAUCUAGGUGCUCCUAGUUCUUCUAAGAAGAAGAAAAAGAAGAAGGAUAGGACUUUGCAUGCUUCUAGUGAACCUAAUGUACAAACACCUGAGAAUCCUAAUAAUACUUCUAUCUCUGAUGCUGAAACACAAUCCGGAGAUGAACAUGAACCUGAUGAUAAUGCUAAUAAUGAUGUUCAUGUAGAUGCUCAACCUAGUAAUAACAAUGAUAUAGAAACUGAACCUGUUGUUUGUCUUGAUAACCCACAAUCAAGAAACCAACGUUAUGAUAAGAGAGAUUUUGUUGCUAGGAAGCAUGGUAGAGAAAGAGAACCAUGGGUUCAGAAACCCAUGUUGUUUCCUCCUAAACCAUCCAAGACAAAGGAUGAUGAGGACUUUGAGCAUUUUGCUGAAAUGAUUAGACCUAUUUUCUUACGCAUGCGCUUAACUGAUAUGCUUAAAACAAAUCCUUAUUCUAAAUAUAUGAAAGAUAUCAUCACUAAUAAGAGGAAAAUUCCUGAAGCUGAGAUUUCCACCAUGCUUGCCAACUAUACCUUUAAGGGUGGAAUACCUAAGAAACUCGAUGAUCCCGGAGUACCUACUAUACCAUGCUCCAUAAAGAGAAAUUAUGUUAAAACUGCUUUAUGUGAUUUAGGAGCCGGUGUUAGUGUUAUGCCUAUUUCCUUGUACCAUAGACUUGAAUUAAGUAAGUUGACACCCACUGAGACAUCCUUGCAAAUGGCUGAUAAAUCAACUGCUAUACCUGUCGGCAUUUGUGAGGGCGUGCCUGUUGUUGUUGCGAACAUUACUAUCUUAACGGACUUUGUCAUUCUUGAUAUUCCCGAGGAUGAUAGUAUGUCUAUUAUCCUUGGUAGACCUUUUUAAAUACUGCAGGUGCUGUUAUUGAUUGCAACAAAGGCAAUUUCACCUUUCAUGUUAAUGGAAAUGAGCAUACGGUACAUUUUCCGAGGAAACAUCCUCAAGUUCACAGCAUAAAUACUAUUAAGAAAAUCCCAUCAAUUAUUAUCGGAGGUUUUGAAUUUCCUCUCCCUGCUGUCAAGAAAAAGUAUGAUAUUCUUAUUAUUGGGGAUGUUCUUAUCCCCGUUGAGGUAACCUAGUGUCACUUCGAAAUUUCUCCGAUUCCGUGUUAUUCGGAAUGAGUUUGUUAACGAGACUUGAUCAACCUUGUUAGUGGAUUCAUUUUUGAUGAUCAUGAGAUGGAUGAAAUUAGAAGGAACAACCUUCUGUACUUUCUUUUUUACUUUCUGUUAUUUAUAAUAAAUAAAGCAAAAAUAGUAUUAUCUGUCUAUUUUCUGAAUUAUCCGUGCAAUAAAAAAAGAAAAAUAUACCGAAAAGAAAAGUGCUCCAAAUGCCCUGCAAAUUUAGUAUGAUUUUUAUUGAACAUUUGAGGAUUUUAAGCACUUAAAUCACUUCAGGAGGAGCAAGCACCAGGCCACGAGAGUGGAGGGCGCGCCCACACCCCCUGGGCGUGCCCCUUGUCUCAUGGGCCCCUGGUGGCCCCCCUCCACUUAUGCCAGCACCCACACACUCCAUCUUCUUCCCAAAAAAUCCCCAUCCAGCUCAAGCACGGGUGCUAGCUCAUUUUGCUGCGAUUUUCGAUCUCCUUGCUCAAAGCUCCAUUCGCAAAACUGCUUUGGGAGAUUGUUGCUUGGUAUGUGACUCCUCCAUUGGUCCAAAUAGUUUUUGUUCUAGUGUUUUAUUCAUUGCAAAUCCUUGCUGCCUUGGUGACCCUGUUUUUGAGCUUGCAUGUUAAAUUUAUGAGGUCCCAAGUAAUUCUAAUGCAUGAUAUAGGCUCUAGGCACUUGUAGGAGUAGUUGCUACCAAUCUUGUUUAGUUUUAUUUACUUUUAUUUUGAAGUUACUAAAAUUUUAGAAAUUUUCAGAAAAUGUUAAAGAGAUUUUUGAGGGGCUCUUGUAGCCAAGGCUCCCAGGAAAAACAAGCUAAAGAGCAGGAAAAAGGCCAAAUAUAAUCUUCCUCGCAUAGCGGAAAUACGGCCGUGUGAAUGGCCAUGAGAUGAUUUCUUGAGAUAAGCUGGAAUUUAUGAAGAUUUUUAUUCUUUGAUCAAGAAUGCAGGCCUCACUGAUUUCCUCCACGACCGGAUCGAUCAGUAUCUCUUACUUACCAAUACCUUCGUGCAAAACUUUUAUUAUUAUCCUAAGAAGUCACUGCCUUCAGUAUCAUUUCAUUUAUAUGAUGAAUUCAGGGAAAUGUCUUUACGUGAUUUCUGCGCGGUAUGUAGGAUACCCUUUGAGGGAAUAGAGGAACCACAUCCUAGGGAUGUGGAUAGCUUUGUUAACACUAUCACUGUAGGGGAUCCAAAGAAGGGUUCCGAUGCGAGAAUCUCUAGCAUACACUUUCCUGUUUUACGCUACUUUGCCAUAUUUGCUAGUAGAUGCUUGAUUGGUCGUGGAAAUAGUGGAAACUUCAGUGUCCCAGAUAUUAUUAUUCUAUUCCAUGCCUUGUUUUGUGAUAACAGUUUUAGUAUGGGUGCAGUCAUUGCUAAACGUUUAAACCUGAAUCGUACAAAAGGCCCCAUCCUUGGAGGUAUCUAUGCUGCACGUCUUGCUAAAUAUUUUGAUAUACCUAUUAGGCACCAUGAGAAAGAGGAGACAAUAUUGCCUCCUUAUAUUUUAGAUUACAGGAGCAUGGUAGCACAUGGGUUUAUUGUUCAUAAUGAUGACAAGAUGCUCAUGUAUAACUUGAGAUUUAAUAAGAAACACAAUGAGACUAUUAUUCUGCCUGCAUCUCUGUUGUUUUAUUUGACUGCAGAUAAUUAUCUUGUCACGUCGGAAGCGGUGUAUGCUCAUCGAGGCCAAGCAUCCAAUCCAGAGCCUGAGCCCGAGCCGGAACCACCACUAGACCCAUAUCGUCCAUCUUCUUAUCAGUGGGAUCCGGAGGAGAUCUCCAACCAAUGGUAUCCUGAUUACACCUCUCAGUACACCGGGGAGAGUAGCCGCGGUCCGUGGCAUUAAACCAACUUAGGCCAAAAGCCUAAGCUUGGGGGAGUACGUAUUUCUCACCGACUUUACAUUCAUGUUCACACACUAUCCUAGUCGUCGGUGCUCAUACUCUUUCAUUGUAUUAUCCAUGCUAGUUUAAUUUUCUUUUUCAAGUUUUCUUCAUGUGUGUUUGAUAAACUUUAAGAAAAACCAAAAAAAAUUAGUUAGUUUAAAUUCCAUGCUUGUAGUAGAAAUUAAAAUGAAAACCCAAAAAGAUUUCUCAUUCUUCUUUUACUUGUUGGGAGCUUUCCCGUGUAAAUAGUUUUCUUUUCUUUUCUUUCCUUUGAGGGGUCGAGAGUAGAAGACCCUAUUGAAAAUGUUUACUGGCUCUCAUAUGCAUGAUUGUUUAUUUAAUUUAGAGCCAUAUUACUUUGUCUUCUCUCUCGAGUUGAGUGCUUGCAGAUUCCAGCUUAGUCCAAUGCACGUGCACUAUUAUUAUUAUACACAUCAUUCGAUCGUGCGAGUGAAAGGCAAUAAUGACGAUAUAUGACGGACUGAUUGUGAUGAGAGAAGCUGGUAUGAACUCGACCCCUCUUGUUUUUGUAAAGAUGAUGAGUUCAUCGUUCCUGAUUCAGCUUAUUAUGAAGUAAACAUAUUUGCAAUAACAUUUAGAGAUUAUAGUUGCUUGUGCCAUGCUUGAUUAGCUAUGAGUUAUAAUGGUUUACCUUGUGUGCCAACAUGCUAUUAGAAUGAUUAUGAUGUGGUAUGAUGGGAUGGUAUCCUCCUUUGAAUGAAUUGAGUGACUCGACUUGGCACAUGUUCACGCAUGUAGUCGAAACAAAUCAACAUAGCCUUCAUGAUAUUUAUGUUCAUGGUGAAUUAUAUCCUACUCAUGUUUGUAUUCGGUGUGAAUUAGUUUUAAUGCAUGUUUAUGACUAUUGUCGCUCUCUCGGUUGGUCGCUUCCCAGUCUUUUGCUAGCCUUCACCUGUACUAAGCGGGAAUACUGCUUGUGCAUCCAAACUCCUUAAACCCCAAAGUUAUUCCAUAUGAGUCCACCAUACCUUCCUAUAUGCGGUAUCUACCUACUGUUCCAAGUAAAUUUGUAUGUGCCAAAAUCUAAACCUUCAAAUGAAAUUCUGUUUUGUAUGCUCGAGCAGCUCAUGUUUCAACUAGGGCUGCCUAUAUCUUCCAUGCUACGUGGGUUAUUCUCAAGAGGAGUGGACUCCGCUCCUCAUUCACGAGAAAUGACCGGUAACCGGGAUGCCCAGUCCCAUGGUCCAAAAAGAUCAAAGCAAAUCAAUAUAAUUAAACAAAACUCCCCCAGGGCUGUUGUUAGUUGGAGGCACUCGUUGUUUCGAGCAAGCCAUGGAUUGAUGCUUGUUGGUGGUGGGGGAGUAUAAACUUUUACCAUUCUGCGUGGGAACUGCCUAUAAUGCAUGUAGUAUGGAAAAUACAGCCAUCUCAUAGUUGUUGAGUUGACAGUGAAAGUAUGCCGCCCAAAAUGUUAUUCAAUCUCUAUUUUAAAAUCGAGCUCUGGCACCUCUACAAAUCCCUGAUUCCCUUUGCGAAGGGCCUAUCUAUUUACUUUUAUGUUGAGUCAUCACCUUCUUAUUAAAAAUCACCUGCUGGAGAGCACACUGCCAUUUGCAUGUAUUACUAUUGGUUUAUAUUGGGUAUGACUUGACUGGAUCUCUUUUACCAUGAAUUACAAUGUUUAGUCAGUCCUUGAUCUUUAAAGGUGCUCUGCAUUUAUGUUUUGCGGUCUCAAAAAGGGCUAGCGAGAUACCAUUUUGUUAUGUCAUGUUAUGAUUGUUUUGAGAAAGUGUUGUCAUCCGAGUUUUAUUAUUAUCGCUCGCCAGCUGAUUAUGCUAUUGAUAUGAGUAAUUGUGAGACCGAGGUGUUAUUGUGAGUAUGGUGAGUUUAUAAUAUUUGUUGAAACCUUAAUGCUGGAUUUGCAUGUUUACAACAACAAGAGCAAACAGAGUUUGUAAAAGUUUUUCUUUAUCACUUUCAGUUUAUCAACUGAAUUGCUUGAGGACAAGCAAAGGUUUAAGCUUGGGGGAGUUGAUACGUCUCCAAAGUAUCUACUUUUACAAACACUUUUGCACUUGUUUUGGACUCCAACUUGCAUGAUUUGAAUGAAACUAACCCAGACUGACGCUGUUUUCAGCAGAAUUACCAUGAUGUUGUUUCAUGCAUAGAAAACAAAAGUUCUCGGAAUGUCCUGAAAAUCCUUGGAGACAUGUUUCAGAAAAUAUAAAAACUACUAGCGAAAGAAUCAAGACCAGGGGGCCCACACCCUGUCCACGAGGGUGGGGGGGCGCCCACCCCCUCUGGGCACGCCCCCUUGUCUCGUGGGCCCCCUGCAGCUCCGCCGACCUCAACUCCAACUCCAUAUAUUCCGUCUCGCGGAGAAAAAAAUCAGAGAGAAAGUUUCAUCGCGUUUUAUGAUACGGAGCCGCCGCCAAGUCCUAAUCUCUCUCAGGAGGGCUGAUCUGGAGUCCGUUCGGGGCUCCGGAGAGGGGGAUUCGUCGCUAUCGUCAUCAUCAACCAUCCUCCAUCACCUAUUACAUGAUGGUCACCGCCGUGCGUGAGUAAUUCCAUCGUAGGCUUUCUGGACGGUGAUGGGUUGUAUGAGAUUUACCAUGUAAUCAAGUUAGUUUUGUUAGGGUUUGAUCCCUAGUAUCCACUAUGUUCUGAGAUUGAUGUUGGUAUGACUUUGCUAUGCUUAAUGCUUUUCACUAGGGCCCGAGUGCCAUGAUUUCAGAUCUGAACCUAUUAUGUUUUCAUGAAUAUAUGUGUGUUCUUGAUCCUACCAUGCAAGUCUAUAGUCACCUAUUAUGUGUUAUGAUCCGACAACCCCGAAGUGACAAUAACCAGGAUACUUCUCAGUGAUGAUCGUAGUUUUAGGAGUUCAUGUAUUCACUAUGUAUUAAUGCUUUGGUCCGGUUCUCUAUUAAAAGGAGGCCUUAGUAUCCCUUAGUUUCCGUAAGGACCCCGCUGCCACGGGAGGGUAGGACAAAAGAUGUCAUGCAAGUUCUUUUCCAUAAGCACGUAUGACUAUAUUCAGAAUACAUGCCUAUGUUACAUUGAUGAAUUGGAGCUAGUUCUGUGUCACCCCAUGUUAUUGCUAUUACAUGAGGAAUCGCACCCAACAUAAUUAUUCGUCACUGAUCCAUUGCCUACGGGCUUUUCAUAUACUGUCCUUCACAUAUUUACUUUUCCGUUGCUAUUGUUACAAUCACUACAAAACCCAAAAAAUAUUACUUUUGAUAUCGUUAACAUUACUAUCAUAUUACUUUGCUACUAAAUACUUUGCUGCAGAUACUAAGUUAUCUAGGUGUGGUUGAAUUGACAACUCAACUGCUAAUACUCAAGAUUAUUCUUUGGCUCCCCUUGUGUCGAAUCAAUAAAUUUAGGUUGAAUACUCUAACCUCGAAAGUUGUUGCGAUCCCCUACACUUGUGGGUUAUCACACGGCCAUGCAUAGCAGGUCAGGAAAUGGAAUCCAGAGAGAAGCCGAAGGCACAAGGCAAACAAAGCAACGACAAGAACCAAGGCCACAAAGGUCGCACGGGCGAAGCAGGUUGCCCCGGUAGGGACCCUUGCCGGGGGCACCCUCAGCGGCCCCGGCAAGACCCUUGCCGGGGCAGCUCGUCCACACCAGCUGAGCGAGCCACCUUCGAUCCCACCAAUGCUAAGAAAAUGCAUUGGGUUAGGGUUCGGGAGGCACCUCCGUGGUGGCAUGCAGAUCUUUGUGAAGACAAAGAACAGUCAAGAUGAAAUAAGGAUAGGAACGCAACAAUCCUUAGCAAGGUUCUUGUCGAGGAAGCCCACGAGACCCCUGGCAAGACCCUUGCCGGGGACAACGGCGUGCCGAGGCGAGACCCUUGCCGGGCCAACCGGCAAGGCCCUCGCCCGGUGCACCAGCAGGGACACUGCCAGGCCCACGCCAGCCAAGUCUCCGCCGCCAUUCGCAUGUAGCUGCCAGCCCAACCAGCUGGGCAGGCACCUGUGUGGCAACAUGCAGCCCUUCGUGGAGGCUCCACCACCGCGCCACCUCAGCUGCCUGCCUGCCUACAUGGCACCGCAUGCAUCGCUGGCCAGGGCGCGUGUCGAAGCAAGGAGGAGCGGCGACGGACGGGACGGGCCUCGCUCCCAUCCCCGAUAAAGUGAAGGGACACCUAAGCCUCGCAUUACAUGUGCCUUGUCCUGUAAUACUAGCGAUAAGCUCACAACACGGUAGCACUUUCCACCUCCUUUGUGCCACUGUGGCAUCCCCUUUCGCCUAUAAAAGGAGGCCCAUGGCGCACCAAGGAGGGAUUGGGCUCUUUGGAACCUAGCAACACCCAGAGCUAGUUCAAGAGCUCAAGAACACUAAAUACAUCCACCAAAGUAGGAUCGUACGGUUUUAUGCAUCUUUGCGGCCCGAACCUAGGUAAAUCCCCCUUGUGCUGUCUACUAGUCCUGCUCUUCUCACGAUCCCGUGCCCCGCAACCGUAAUAGGGAUUCCAGUGAUCCCAUAGGUGUCGUUCACCACCGACAUCUUUGGCGCGCCAGGUAGGGGGCACAAUUGUGAGAAUCUGGUCUAGUGGUAGGCCUAGCAGUUCGUCAUCGCCACGGCUCUUGCGGAGAAGGCGGCCAAGAGGGCGGCACUGCCUGUUGGCAUGAAGGACGCCAAGGCGGCAAUGAGAGAGCUAAGUCAUGUUGAACUUUAAACUUUUCUCCUUAAAUAUAAGGUUAUUAUCCUCGACGGUUCUGCCUAUGUAUGGAAAACAUGUAUGCAGAGGGGCCCUCCUGCGAUUGGCAACGCCCUUGUUUUGUUUCGAGUCCUCAAUAGUUUGAGAGGCUGCGUAGAGAGCGGCAGGGUAACCUUUCGCCAUCAGCUACGCUCUCGGCUCUGACUCGAGUCAAGCUCGAUAGAUCGAACGGCCGCGCUAAGGGCGGUAAGGUGCUUCUCCCGGCACCAAGCACACCCGGUAGGCUAAUGGGGAUCCAUCCUGAAGACGCCGCCUUGGGUUUACGCGCCGGCAAGCCCAUCCAGUCGACGUGGGGUGGACAUACAAAGGAAAAUCGAAUAGGAAAAUAAUAUGCAUAAUUUCAGGAGUACUGCAAAGUUAUAUUACAUAAAUUGCCGCCACGGUUCUAACUAAAGACAGCAUUGUCUUGGUCAUGAACCCGCAGCGGCGACGAAGCACGGGGCGCCUAGUCCGGGCGUUGGCCCUCCAACCUUUUGAUUUUGUCGAUGCGGCUGAUGAUGGGCUGGAUACGCUCAUUGAGCGCCGCAAUGUCGGCAUCCUCCGGCAAGCUCUUCAGCACAACUCCGAAGUCAAGGUUUGGGUGCCAGUGCGCAAUCUUGGUGAGCACCCUGGUCAUGGUCCCCGGCAAAGUACCCGGGAUUCCUCGGCCAGGGAGGUCGCCCGGUUGGAGUGAAGCCGCCCCAGGGCGCCGACGACCUUCUCGAAGAAUAUUGUUAGGUUGGCAUUGGGGCUCAGGUUCGGCUCUGGGGCGUACACCAUCUCUGGCAUUCCCAUGAUGGCCAGCUGAUUGGCGGCCGAGUUCGGGACAAUGGCAAGACGUUCGAGCCAGGCUUCUCGCCCACCACUUGGUCAUUGAGGUUGGCAGUCUCGUUCAUCCGCAGCUGCUUCUCUGUCGCCAGGUCCCUUGUCAGGAUCCCUUCCCGGGCACUGGCCCCCGACAGCAUUCUCUCGAGGUCCCCACCUUCACCUUGAAUUCCUGAUGGAGGCGUUGGCCUCACAGAGCUCACCGGCCUUGCUGAUGACCGCGCCAUGUGCCUCCACCAGGGCUCCAUUGAGCGUGUCCUUCUCAUGGGACAGCUUCAAAGCUUGCUCCUCCAGCUCCUUCACCUUGCUGGCGUAGACCUGGGCCUGAGCAUUGAGUGCCUCUUGAUGCGUCUGCUCCAGCUCCUAGGUCCACUGCACAACGAGCUGCCCCGCCUCUUCAUCCUUGCCGCGGAGCAUGGCGGCAAGCUUCUCCUCGCGUGUGGCAAGGUCCUCCUCCUGGGAGUUCAGUGCAGCUUCGCGCUGGGACCGGGCCGCCUCAGCUCCGGCGGCCAGGAUCCUCGCCGUCUCUUGGGCAUUCUCGAUGUCGGCCAGCUUCAUGGUGAGCUCCACGUCACACUUGGCUAGCUCGUUCUGAACGGCCUUCAGCUCAUCCUGAGUCUGGCGCCACCAAUCUUGCGCCUCGACAACGCGACCUUCGAAGUCCGCCUCCACUUCCUCCACCACCGCCGCCUUGGACUUGGCCUUGUCCAGGUGAGCGCGGUGGAGAGCCUAGAGUUUCCGAAAGUUGGCACCCAUGGCCCGGAGCAGCCGCUCCUCCUGGGAGCCAUCGCCGUCGAUGCUCGGCUCGUUGACAACGUCGAGCCCGGCGGCGGCAAGCACCUCGCCGUCGAUCAUCUCGCCCUCGAUGGGGGCCCUGGAGCUUGACGCACCUAGGAUAUGGACGAAGAGGUCCUCGCUCACCCUCAGGUACCUGCCGGAGCUGGAGGCAACAAAGGAGGAGGGCUGGUCGUCGACCGCCGCCUCCUCGGCAACGGCCUUGCCGGCCUCUUCGGCAGGCCCCUUGCCGGGCUCCUCAGCAUGCCCCAUGUCGGGCUCUUCAGCGGGCCCCUUGGCGGCGUAUUCAGCGGCACCUGUUGCGUUCUCCUCGGCAGCAAUUUUCUCAGCCUGCGCGGCGGCGUCCUCAGCGAUGUCCUUGACCACGGUGUCAACAUCCUCUAGAUCCAUCGAGGAGAAAUCUGGAUGCCAAGGAGGAAACGAGGCAAAAUUGACAUCAGAGCACAAAAAAGAGAAGAAGAAAAGAUGGAUGUGGAGACAGAGAUCAAAUGGCUUACCCGCGCCAGGACGAGAAGCGGAAGGCCAUUCUCCGCUGAGGUUCGGCGUCGAGGCAAAGCCACCGUCGCCUGUGUUCUCCUCCCCCUCCUCCAUGUGCAUGGUCUCGGUGCUCGGUGCCCUUGCCGGAGACGCCCCUUGGGGUGGUGUGGUUGAUGGAGGCGGCACGAUCGGAGAAGCCCUGUGUGGCUCCCCUUGUUGUUGCUCCCCUCCUGCAUCUGCGGCAUGGUUAGCACUAAAGCAUCGCGUGUGACGGACGCUGAUGAAGGGUGGGUGAUGGACUCACGCUGGGGGCUGGGCCGGGGGCUGCUCUCCGGGCUGGUCGACACCACCAGUGGUGUGCCGGAGGUGCCUGCCGGGGGCUGGCCACUUGCCAAAGUCCUCGUCCUCUUUAUCCUCUGGGCCAGCAUCUCCACAUCCCUGCAAGAUAAAGACAAGUGAGCAACACCGUCAGGAGAAGUGUAAGAAAUGAGGGACGGAAGCAGAAGCUUACUCUUCAUUUUCUUCCUCCUCCUCCUCUGUUGCUUUCCUUUUUCUCUCCGGGCUGAGCGGCCUAGAGUCUCUCUCCGGGCUAAGAGGCCCAAAGUCGAAGGCAAACCCCGUGCCAACAUCUGCCGACGGCGGGGAGGGCGGUGGCGUCUGGGCACGCCUGGACGAUGAGGAAGCAGAUGCCUUCCUCCUUGCUGCCACGGCCUCCACCACCUUCUUCGCGGCCCUCGUCUGGCGUGCCGACGCGAUCUGAGCCAGUCGCAGCUACGCGGCCUGGCCAAGACGAACCGGUUCGCCGGAGAAGGCCCACUGUAGGACUCGCCCCCUCCCAGUGGCAGGAGGGUCAGAGGCCGCGAUCUCCUCCCCUUCAUCCUCCUCCGAAGACCCGUCGACAGCAUCCUCGACGAGGGGGGCCCCAGUGCUGGCGCCGUUGGCCUCCCCAGCGGCCGCCGCCUGCCGGGCAAGGUUCUCCUCCUCUGCUUCUUCCAUGGCACUGUCCACCGUGCCGCCUGCAUUGCCGGCCUCCUCGGCAAGCUUUGCCGACUCCACGGCGAGCCUUGCCUCCCGCACCCUGGCGGCGAUGUAGUCCAGCUCCUCCUAAGAAGUGUCCUGGACGAGCCGCGGCUCAGCGGUGAUGUACGCCUCGUGCAAGGUGUCGAAGAAAUCCUGCACCUUGAGCUCGUCAGGCGCGACCUAGCUCGGGUCAAGUCCAUGUGUGUUGAAAAGCGGCAUCAUGGCGAUGAUCUCCGACCGGCGAGAGUUGUUGCUAAGCGGGACCACUCCCGCCGGCAACUUGAAGACAGGCUCCUUGUCCACCUUGCCGGCCUUCGCGGCAGCUCUUGCCACCUUGCCGGAUAGCUUGACCUCACCUUCUUCAUUGACCUCGAGCUGGAAAAUCCGCUGGAAGAGAUGGGUGUGCCUUAGCACCGUCAGAUUCUGGUCGAGGCCGGGGCGGAGCCUCAUGUUAUCGGCAGCAUUCACAAAAAUCCAGGCUGGCCUCCCCUUGUCAUGCAGAGGAGCUAUUCGACGGUGGAUGAAGUCCGCGCCGAUCAUCUCGAGGGUGAGCCCGACCCGGGUAAGCUGAAGGAUCCUGGUGGUGGCGAUUGUGAGCUUCUCAUCGUCAACGUCGACAUUGCCCCUGUCCUUUCUGCGGACCGGCGGCACCCGAUGGACCUCACAGAAUGCUGGUGGGUUCUCCUCCUUGAUAAAGCACCAUCAGCCCCGCCACUCUUCCCACCUCUCCUUCAUGGCACCAUCCGGGUAUGCUCUCUUGGCCCUUGGGAUCCAAGCGACACUACCAGUGAUGGCGCCUCCCUUUUUGAUCCGAGGGGAGAAGUAGUGGCGGAAGAGCGCCGUGUUGGGAUGCACCCCGGCAAAGCCCUCACAGAGGUGUGCGAAAAGGGCCAUGCACGCCACGGCAUUCGGAGUAAAAUCCAGGAGACGGAAGCCGAAGGUGUGCAUGAUGUUCUUGAAAAAAUCAGAGAAAGAGGGGCAAAGCCCGCAAGAGAAAUAGUCGACGAGAAGGGAUACCGAUUUGGGGCAGGACCGGCGCUGGCAGGGACGACGCGUGUGGCCGGAUGCCUCGUCGUUUCUCCCCCCAUCUUCACCCCCACAGAAUCUUGUAGUACUCCCGGAGCAUGGGUACAUCAACCAUCGACGGAAAGAGGGUGAACUGCGCCUGUCGCGCCACCAGCUCGCUCUCUGACGGCUCCGCCGCGCCGGCAUCUUUGGCUAGCCCCUUUCCUGUGGUGGAUUUGGGCGCCAUUGCGGUCGCGAGAAGCAGAGGGCAGGGGAUGGCAGAAGCGCGUCAACAAUGAGCAGAAGCAGGAGGCUCAAGGAGGAAGAAAGGGGGCGGCGAUUUUCAAGAUUGGGGGAGGCGCAGAAGAAGGGUAAAGUGAGCAGCCGCCCAUGAUUAUUCCUUUUUAUGGGGAAGGCGCGGGCCUCCUCCUUUCCCAUUAACUGCGAUAUGAUGCAUGCUUGCGCUCGCUGUCCCAUGCAUGCCUCCCACGUCACGCACGCUCCCCCACGACGCGCGUCCAACGCGGGUCGUGGGGGAAGCGGAGCGGACGGAGCAGUUACCACGAUAAAAAUCCGCCCCAACUGCCCGCGCACCGUUCUCGGCCUGGCCCAACAACAUGCUGCGCUUAUGUAUGGCCCGGGCCCAGGGGCUCUUGUCGGUGUACAAAAGUAGGGGCUCUGCUUUUGACCCCUUUACUUGUGCAUGGACGGUCAGAGCCACCCGCCACGGCCACGCAUAGCAGGGCAAGAAAGGGAAGUCGGAGAGAAGCCGGAGGCACAAGACAAACAAAGCAACAACAAGAACCAAGGCCACAAAGGUCGCACGGGCGAAGCAGGUUGCCCCGGCAGGGACCCUUGCCGGUGGUAGCCUCAGCGGCCUCGGCAAGACCCUUGCAGGGGAAGCUCGUCCACACCAGCUGAGCGAGCCACCUUCGAGCCCACCAACGCUAAGCAAACGCAUUGGGACAGGGCUCGGGAGGCACCUCCGUGGUGGCAUGCAGAUCUUUUUGAAGACAAAGAACAAUCAAGAUCAAAUAAGGAUAGGAAGGCAACAACCUCAGCAAGGUUCUUGCCGAGGAAGCCCACGAGACCCUCGGCAAGACCCUUGCCGGGGACAACGGCGUGCCGCGGCGAGACCCUUCCCGGGCCACCUGGCAAGGCCCUCGCCCGGCGCACCAGCAGGGCCACUGCCAGGCUCAUGCCAGCCAAGUCUCCGCCGCCAUUCGCAUGCAGCUCCCAACCCAACCAGCUGGGCAGGCACCUGCAUGGCAACAUGCAGCCCUUCGUGGAGGCUCCACCACCGCGCCACCUCAGCUGCCUGCCUGCCUACAUGGCACCGCAUGCAUCGCUGGCUAGGGCGCGUGUCGAAGCAAGGAGGAGUGGCGAUGGACGGGCCGGGCCUCGCUCCCGUCCCCGAUAAAGUGAAGGGACACCUAAGCCUCGAAUUAAAUGCGCCUUGUGCUAUAAUACUAGCGAUAAGCUCACAAUGCUGUAGCACUUUCCACCUCAUGUGUGCCACUGUGGCAGCCCCUUCCGCCUAUAAAAGGAGGCCCAUGGCGCACCAAAGAGGGAUUGGGAUCUUUGGAACCUGGCAACACCCAGAGCUAGUUCAAGAGCUCAAGAACACUAAAUACAUCCACCAAAGCAGGAUCGUAGGGUUUUACGCAUCUUUGCGGACCGAACCUGGGUAAAUCCCCUUUGUGUUGUCUACUAGUCCCGCUCUUCUCAUGAUCCCACGCCCCGCAACCAUAAUAGGGAUUCCAGUGAUCCCAUAGGUGUCGUUCACCACCGACAGGCAUAUUACAUCCACUGGGCAUCAAAGUUCGCCACUUUGAUAAUAAAGCACAAGCAGACAGCAGAUUACAUACACUGGGCAUCAAAGAUCGCCACCAGUGCAAAUAAACACGUCGACAAAAUAAUAUACAAAACCGAUAGCACUUCAAUAGAGUUCAAGAAAGGUUAGCCCUGCUGGGGAGCUGCAGCGUAAGCAGCUGAGCAAAAUGAUGAGACUGGGCUUGUUCAACACUUAUAUCUUCCUCACUCUGAAAGAUAAACAAGCAGACAGAUGAUAGGUUUUGCACAUAAAAGUAUCAGUGCUAACAAUUCAUCACAUUUCUUACUGACGAAUAAAGUGACACAGUUUAAAAUUGCAUUAACACAAUAUGGUAUUAUUCAGGUCAAGACAUGGCAGGAAAUGACAUUGUGAAGGAGUUGGCAGCUUCACGACACUACUGAAUUACAGAUCAAGAACUCAUAAGUAUCAAUGGUUAGUGUGCUAUCAAUUUAUCCCAUUUCAGAUUGGCCAAUAAAGAGAUGGUUUAAAUAAUAGUAGAAUGAUAUGACAUUGUUCAUAGUUAAGACAUUGCAGAAUAUGACAUUGUGCUGUAAUGGGUAGGUUCACCACACCAUUGGAUUACAGAUGAAGAACAGAAGCAUACAUGCAGUGCAAAAGAAGAUCACUUGCUAUGUAUAGUUUAAUUUACAUGGUAUGAAGAAGGAACUUGGUUGUACAACUGAAAACUUAAAUUGGGAAGGACAAACUUUUGUUUAUGAACUACAUAAUAAACUUUAAACAUGCAAUUUGAUGCAAACACCAAAAAUAAACAGCCGUUGCAGUCAUGCCUAACCAAAUAAACACAACAAAGUUUGAAGGCUUGAGAAGGAAAAACUUACAUUACUGGUGAAGACGGGCUCUAUAAAGCCCUUGUCCAUGCUGAUGGGGGGGGGGGGGCAAUUCAAGAAGUUUACCACAUAAUCUUCUUCAUAAGCAUUGCCUUUAUUCUACAUUUUGUUAAGAGUAAAUAUAGAUGUGAUAAUAUACGAAAAAAUGGAGAAUACUUAAGAUAAGAUGAAGGGUGAUGCUACAUAACCAAGUAGCUAUAAAUGUAUGUGCAGCGAUACAGGCAAAAGGCACAGCCAAGAGCAAUGCGCAGCUAAACUUCUUCAGUGCCGACCUUAUGUUAAGAGUAAAUAUAGAUCUGAUGUGUAGAAAUGGAGGGCAAAGGAAAAUAAGAUGCAGAGUGAUGGUACAUGAACAACGACCUGUCAAUAUAAGUACACUGAUAAAGGACAGCAUGUACUUACAAGAAUAAUGCAGAGCUAAAAAAAUUCAUUGGCAUUGGAUAUAUUCUACACUAAUCUAACCAUUCAUACAUAUCAGAUAUUUUGGAGCGAACAAUUGAUAAGCAAUCUAUCAUGCAUACUGCUAUCACAUAAUGAACCAGGUAUGUAUGCAAGUACAGUGAUACAGGACAACAGGUACUAACAAGAGGAAAGCAGCGGGCAGCAUAUUUGUGAUAUCUUGUCGUUCUUUUCAAACUAGAAUUCUUCUUCGAGUAGAUUUCCUGCAAAAAAGAUCUGUAAGGCACAUGCGGAACAGUAGAAGUUCAAAUUGUCAUGUGAUUUCAUAGACAGUACCUCAUCCUGGGCAUGAGACCAGUGCAUAACAAGGUUUUUCCAUUCAAUGUCUUCUAAAUUUAGCACAGGAGACUUCACCGGAAAUUCGUUUACAGACUUGCCAUCAAAGUGUGAUUUCCUCAGGUAACAUCGAUACUGCUGCAAUGCUUCCUUGAAAAGCACAAGCAAGCUUUGCUCGUCAUGACUAUCCAGAUUGACCCUCGCCUAGUUACAACAAUGUAAUGUAAAUCAUUGAUGUGUUCAAUCAGCAGAAAACAGGAAAAUAAUAACCAUGAAUAAUAGCACUUACACGUAAGUUGGACAGGAAGAUGUGAAAAUGGUGUUUGUCUUCACUAUAAUCUUCCCAUGAUGGGAAUAUAUGCACGUAGUCCCUAACAACAUUGAAAGCAUUGUCUUUUAAACUGGGAAUAAAUGGACUGGGGUUCCAAUCUAUAGGAAUUGGCCGUCUCUGCAGUUGGGAUAGGUCUUCGGCCGGUGGACUUGCUGUACUUUUUGCUGGAGUGGGAUUUUUCUGCGGUACGGCUGGUGCUAUGGCAAAUAAAAUUUGUGUACCUUUUGCUGGAGUGCAGGUCCUGUGUGGUGGGGCUAGUGGUGUGGCCAGUGAAGUAUGGGUACAGUCUGCUGGAGUCGGUCCUACGUUUUGUGCUUCUGGUUGUACAACCAAUAUAAGUGGGGUGCUAUCUGAUUUCUCCGGCACCACCACGUUUUUCAAGGACUUUGCUGGUGCUCCUUCAGGUUCGGCAAUCACCCUCUUCCUUUUUGAUGUCUGAUGCACAAGAACAACAUUUGAGUGGAAAAACAUGGUAUGAUGACAGAUGGAAUAUGUAUUGAUAAUGGAUGGGCAUGGCAUCUCGAGUUAUAUGAUGAGUAAACUAAGCAGAUGGCGGUGCAACAAAGUAGAAGAAAUGCAAGACAACAAAUGCAAGAUACGCGCAAUCAAUAAAACCUUGCCAAAUUAGAAUAGGCACCUUGAUGGGUGAACAGGACAGGCCAUUUGCCUUUGACUCCUCGAGGUUAGAAUAGUCAUUAGGGUGAUAUUCUGAACAAGAAUAAAUAGGUGGGGAGCGUAUGAGUUUCAUUGCAUUCAGAAUGGCACUCAAUGCCUUGGUGCCAAUUUUUUAAGUCAUUGCAGUGUUCCAUAAUAUUCUUCUGAUGCGCGGAUACUAAUAUUCACUAUAAUUGCGUAUAAUAUCUGAGAACCAUGAAAACAUAAAUAGUUGUGAGAUUAUCUUUGUAAUGCAGAUGAUAUUCUAAUAUAGGGGCGCCCCUGUAAACACUUGUGUGCUAUCACUGGAUUCUGAUGAGAGAGCUCAUGUGUGCUGUAAUAUGGUGCGUGCAUUUAUAUAAUCUGGCACAAGUACACAAAAAAAUAGGCUCCAGAAGUAAGGAUAGUUGGCAGAUGAUAGGUUCAUAAUAUAAUGUAUAGAAAGUUUAUUGCCAAACCAUAAUAACAAGAACACACAUCAACUAGGUAGAUCAUAGUGUACAUAACAGGGGUACACCAUAACCAUGAUAUAUAAAUCGGGAAAGUGGAAAUGGCUUGAAAAUACGGUGUUGUAUUGCCGCUAGUAACUGAAAGCCUAUUGAUCACGUACAGGCCAGCUCUAUCAGUUGUUGACUGCAGAUGUCCCUGCGCCCCUUCCUGACAAGGAACAUACCGUACAUACUAAAUACAGAAUAAACAAAGAGGAACAUGUUAAAGAACAGAAGAGGAAGCAUAUUCUUGAGGUUCCGCUUCAUUGCAUACAAUGUUGGUUGCCCACUCAUGAUGAAUCACAGCGCCCAAAGAAAUGCAAUUCCAUGUUGUCUCUCUAUAUGUGGCAAUUUUGAACAAGAGUCAUUAGGAUCAUAUUCUGAACAAGAUUCAACAGGUGGGUUGCGUAUGAGUUUCAUUGCAUCCAGAAUGGCACUCAAUGCCUUGGUGCCAAUUUUGUAAGUCAUUGCAGUGUUUAGCUUCAAGAGUGGACUGCUGCUAGUGCGACACAAAGCAGCUACACAGAUCAUAGUGUAGAUAUAACGGGAAAACCUUAAGCAUUAGAGUAAAAUCAGCAAAGAGGAACUUGCUGGAAUAUAUGUGCUAGUAUUGCCGGUACGGCUAGAAAGGCUUCGGAUACCAGCUCUCUUCAAGUGAAGGUGCGAUACUGUUAAUAUCAGUGUAACUCUCAAAGGUGACAUAGCUGCCCGCAUUUCCUUGCUAUUCUUAUAGGAUUCAAGUGGGCAGGCCACUACAAAUCAUAUUCCUAUGUUUACAAAAUCCUAUGAAUCAAAGAGGCUCAAAGUGUCCAUCACAACUGACCGUAUAGACGUCUACACUGCAAAUGUCCCUACUCAUUGAUACGUCUCCAACAUAUCUACUUUUCCAAACACUUUUGCCCUUGUUUUGGACUCUAACUUGCAUGAUUUGAAUGAAACUAACCUGGACUGACGCUGUUUUCAGCAGAACUGCCAUGAUGUUGUUUUAUGUGUAGAAAAGAAAAAGUUCUCGGAAUGUCUUGGAAAUCCACGGAGGCACUUUUUGGAAUUAAUAAUAUUUUUUGGCGAAAGAAUUAAUGCCAGGGGGCCCACAACCUGUCCACGAGACAGGGGGCGCCCCCCUAGGGCACGGCCUCCUAUCUCUUGGGCCCCCUGGACCUCCUCCGACCUCAACUCCAACUCUAUAUCUUCCGUCUCGGGGAGAAACAAAUCAGAGAGAAAGUUUCAUCGCGUUUUACGACACGGAGCCGCCGCCAAGCCCUAAUCUCUCUCGGGAGGGCUGAUCUGGAGUCCGUUCGGGGCUCCGGAGAGGGGGACUCGUCGCCGUCGUCAUCAUCAACCACCCUCCUUCACCAAUGUCAUGAUGCUCACCACCGUGCAUGAGUAAUUCCAUCGUAGGCUUGCUGGACGGUGAUGGGUUGGAUGAGAUUUACCAUGUAAUCAAGUUAGUUUUGUUAGGGUUUGAUCCCUAGUAUCCACUAUGUUCUGAGAUUGAUGUUGCUAUGACUUUGCUAUGCUUAAUGCUUGUCACUAGGGCCCGAGUGCCAUGAUUUCAGAUUUGAACCUAUUAUGUUUUCAUGAAUAUAUGUGUGUUCUUGAUCCUAUCUUGCAAGUCUAUAUUCACCUAUUAUGUAUUAUGAUCCGACAACCCCGGAGUGACAAUAAUCGGGAUACUUCUCGGUAUUGACCGUAGUUUGAGGAGUUCAUGUAUUUACCAUGUGUUAAUGCUUUGGUCCGGUUCUCUAUUAAAAGGAGGCCUUAAUAUCCCUUAGUUUCCGUAAGGACCCCGCUGCAACGGGAGGGUAGGACAAAAGAUGUCAUGCAAGUUCUUUUCCAUAAGCACGUAUGACUAUUUACGGAAUACAUGCCUACAUUACAUUGAUGAAUUGGAGCUAGUUCUAUAUCACCCUAUGUUAUAACUAUUGCAUGAGGAAUCGCAUCUGGCAUAAUUAUCCAUCACUGAUCCAUUGCCUACGAGCUUUUCAUAUAUUGUUCUUCGCUUAUUUAUAUUUACUGUUGCUACCGUUACCUUUAUUAUCAUACCACUUUUGCUACUAAAUACUUUGCUGCAGAUACUAAGUUAUCCAGGUGUGGUUGAAUUGACAACUCAACUGCUAAUACUCAAGAAUAUUCUUUGGCUCCCCUUGUGUCGAAUCAAUAAAUUUGGGUUGUACUUCACCGUCGAAAGUUGUUGCGAUCCCCUACACUUGUGGGUUAUCAAGACUAAUUUCUGGCGCCGUUGUCAGGGAGCAUAGCUCUAUUCUCUGAGUCACUUGGGAUUUAUAUCUGUUGAUCACUAUGAAGAACUCGAAAGAUGCUAAGACCAAGAUUUUUCCCUCAACUACGAGGGGGGGUAAGGAAUUGCCAUCUAGCUCUACACUAGAUUCUCCUUUCGUAAUUAGUAGGCUUGCGACACCUAAACCUGCUACUGCUAUGAAUUCUGAUAUGUCGUAUGUUAUUGAUGAUGCCACUUCUGCUAUGCAUGAUGAAACUACUUCUGUGCGUGAUACUACUUUGCCAUUAGGUGAAUUUCUAGAUGAACAACUUGCUAGAGUUAGGGGGAAUGAAAAUAUUGAAGAACCUAUUAUUGAUGAUAGUGAUGAUGAAUGUUCCCCCAAUGAUUAUGCAUUACCUGUUGUUCCUAAGGGUUAUGUUAUGAAUGAAGCAGCUGCUAUGGAAACUCUUGCUUGCAAUGAUAGAAAUGAUCUUAAGAAAUUAUUAGCUAAAUGGAAGCAGCAGUCUCUUAAUGCUAAGAUGAAACCCGAUCCUGCUUUUGCUACUUCACCUAUCUGUGUUACUGAUAAGGAUUAUGAAUUCUCUGUUGAUCCUGAGAUUAUUACUUUAGUUGAAUCCGAUCCUGUUUAUGGCCUUGAAUCAAAAACUGUUGUGGCACAUCUUACCAAGUUGAAUGAUAUAGCCACCCUAUUUACUCAUGAUGAGAAGUCUCGCUAUUUAUACAUCCUUAAGAUAUUCCCGUUCUCAUUAAAGGGUGAUGCUAAGACUUGGUAUAAUUCUCUUGCUCCUGGUUGUGUGCGUAGUCCCCAGGAUAUGAUUUAUUACUUCUCUGCUAAAUAUUUCCCUGCUCAUAAGAAACAAGUUGCCUUACGGGAAAUAUAUCAUUUUGUGCAAAUCAAAGAAGAGAGUCUCUCACAAGCUUGGGGGAGGCUUCUCCGGUUACGUAAUGCUUUGCCUGAUCAUCCUCUUAAGAAAAAUGAAAUAAUUGAUAUCUUUUAUAAUGGACUAACCGAUGCUUCCAAGGACCACUUGGAUAGUUGUGCUGGUUGUGUUUUCAGGGAAAGAACAGUCGACGAAGCUGAAAUAUUAUUGAAUAAUAUGUUGACUAAUGAAAAUAAUUGGACUCUUCCUGAGCUAGUUCCUGAAGUAAUUCCUGAACCAAUUGAGCCAACUCCAGAGCCUAUUCCUAAACCCACUCCAAAGAAGAGAGGUGUUUUAUUUCUCGGUCCUGAAGAUAUGCAAGAGGCAAAGAAGUCAAUGAAAGAAAAAGGUAUUAAAGGUGAAGAUGUUAAGAAUUUACCACCUAUUGAAGAAAUACAUGGUCUUAAUUUACCGCCUGAAGAACCACAUUGUCUUGAUAACCCGACACAUGUAGUAAAGGUAAAUUCUCUCUAUAGAUAUGAUAAAGUUGAAAUACCCUCUACUAAAUUUCAUAGCCCAUGCUUAGAUGAAUUUGAUUACUUUAUGGCUAGACAAGAAAGUUUUAAUGCUUAUGUUGGUAGAGAGUUAAAGAAUAAUGCUUUCGAGAUAGGACGCGUAGGUGAUAAUCUAGCUAGAGUUAAAGAUGAACUUCACCGUGUUAGCAAAUAUGCUUCUAUGGUUGCUACUCAAGCUGAGCAAGUACUCAAAGCUCAAAAUGAUUUGCUUGAUGAAUUGAAUAAUAAAAAUGACUUUCCCGUUAGAGUGGCUACUAGAACUGGUAGAAUGACUCAGGAAUCUUUGUAUCCUGAAGGCCACCCUAAGAGAAUCGAGCAAGAUUCUCAGAGAAAUAACUUAGAGACACCUAGUUUUUCUAAGAAGAAGAAAAAGAAAAACGAUAGAACGUUGCAUGCUUCUAGUGAACCUACUGUAGACACACCUGAGAAUCCCAAUGAUAUAUCUAUUUCUGAUGCUGAAACACAAUCAGGUGAUGAACAUGAACCUAGUGAUAAUGUUAAUGAUAAUGUUCAUGUUGAUACUCAACCUAGCAAAAACAAUGAUGUAGAGAUUGAACCUGCUGUUGAUCUUGAUAACCCACAAUCAAAGAAUCAACAUUAUGAUAAGAGAGAUUUUGUUGCUAGGAAGCACGGGAAAGAAAGAGAACCAUGGGUUCAGAAACCCAUGCCCUUUCCUCCUAAACCAUCCAAGUCAAAGGAUGAUGAGGAUUUUGAGCGCUUUGCUGAAAUGAUUAGACCUAUUUUCUUAUGUAUGCGCUUAACUGAUAUGCUUAAAGUAAAUCCCUAUGCUAAGUAUAUGAAGGAUAUCAUCACAAAUAAAAGAAAGAUACCGGAAGCUAAAAUUUCCACCAUGCUUGCUAAUUACACUUUUAAGGGUGGAAUACCAAAGAAACUUGGAGAUCCGGGUGUUCCAACUAUGCCAUGCUCCAUUAAAGGAAAUUAUGUCAGAACUGCUUUAUGUGAUCUUGGAGCCGGUGUUAGUGUUAUGCCUCUCUCUUCAUAUCGUAGAGUUGAAUUGAAUAAGUUUACACCUACUGAAAUAUCUUUGCAAAUGGCUGAUAAAUCAACUGCUAUACCUGUCGGUAUUUGUGAGGAUGUGCCUGUUGUGGUUGCAAAUGUCACUAUCUUGACGAACUUUGUUAUUCUUGAUAUUCCCGAGGACGAUAGUAUGUCUAUUAUCUUUGGUAGACCUUUCCUUAAUACUGCAGGGGCUGUUAUUGAUUGCAACGAAGGCAAUGUCACUUUUCAUGUUAAUGGCAAUGAGCAUACAGUACACUUUCCGAGGAAACAAUCUCAAGUUCAUAGCAUCAAUUCUAUUGAAAUAGUUCCAACUAUCAUUUCUGGAGGUUUUGAAUUUCCUCUCCCUACUGUCAAGAAAAAGUAUGAUAUUCUUAUUGUUGGGGAUUUUCAUAUCCCUGUUGAGGUAACUUAGUGUUACUCGAAAUUUCUCCGGUUCCGUGUUAUUAGGAAUGAGUUUGUUAACAAGACUUGAUCAACCUUGUUAGCAGGUUCAUUUUGAUGAUCACGAGAUGGAUGAAACUAGAAGGCACAACCUUCUGUUCCCUCUUUUUACUUUUUGUUAUUUAGAAUAAAUAAAGCAAAAAUAGUAUUAUCCAUCUGUUUUCUGAAUUAUCCGUGCAUUAAAAAAUAGUCCGAAAAUAAAAGUGCCCCAAAUGCCCUGCAAAUUUAGUAUGAUUUUUUCUGGAAUAUUUGAGCUUUUAGGCACUGAAAACACUACAGGAGGGGCAAGCACCAAGCCACGAGAGAGGAGGGCGCCCCCCCCCUAUAGGGUGCGCCCCCUGUCUCAUGGGCCCCUGGUGGCUCCCCUUCACUUAUGCCAGCACCCACACACUCCAUCUUCUACUCAAAAAAUCCCCAUCCAGCUCAAGCACGAGUUCUAGCUCGUUUUGCUGUGAUUUUUGAUCUCUUAGCUCAAAGCUCCAUUCACAAAACUGCUUUGGGAGAUUGUUGCUUGGUAUGUGACUCCUCCAUUGGUCCAACUAGUUUUUGUUCUAGUACUUUAUUCAUUGCAAAUUUUUGCUGCUUAGGUGACCAUGUUCUUGAGCUUGCAUGUUAUAUUUUUGAGGUCCCAAGCAAUUCCAAUGCUUGAUAUAGGCUCUAGGCACUUGUAGGAGUAGUUGCUAUCAAUCUUGUUUAGUUUUAUCCACUUUUAUUUUGAAGUUACUAAAAUUUCAGAAAUUUUCAGAAAAAGAAUUAUGCUUAGAAGAAUGUACCAAGGAGGUUCCUCGGCAAAGAAAGGGCCAAGAAUUGCUAUACGUGAACAAGAUGUUAAUUUGCCAAGGGACGCAAUUGUACGGGCUUGUGAGUGGCCAUCCGAUGAUUUUAUGGUCGAAGCAGGCUUUAAGGAAGAAUUUGACGCGUAUGUGCAUAAUGCCGAGCUGGAGGACUUCUUACAAGAUGAUUGUCCUCAAUAUUAUCAAUUGACCGAUUCCUUUGUGCGGAGGUCCGAAUAUAUUUCUGCGCGUAAUUCUUCUAGUGUCAUGUUUGAUAUUUAUGAUACAUCUUAUACCAUGGAUUUAGAGGAUUUCACAACUGCUUGCAAACUCCCUCAGUGGGGUAAUAUCAAUGAUCCUCGCAAAUCUGAAUUUAGAGAUUUUCUUGCUAGUAUUACUGUGGGAGAAUCUAGGGACAUAGCACAAGCUACCAUAGGGAGCAUUCAUUUUCCUGCUUUACAUUACUUUGCUCUCUUUAUUGGUAGAUGCAUUAACGGCAAGGACGAGGUAUGUCACAUGUGUACCCCUGAUCUUUGUGUCCUCAAGCGUGUUGUGUCAGGUUAUAAAGGUUAUAACUUGGGGGCAAUAGUUGCACGUAGGUUGCAGAAUAAUAGUAAAAGGGGAAAUUUCUUUGGAGGAAUUUAUGCAACCCGUGUGGCUAGUUUUCUUAAUAUAGCUCCACGAGAGGGGGAUAUGAUUAUAGCUCCUGUUUAUUUGGAUAAAGAAGCUAUGUUUGAUCAUCAUUUUCUUGAGAGGAAUGAACAAUUCCUCCAUUAUCGACUAAUCUAUGACAGACGCAACGUCGUCCCUGUUAUUCUUCCUGCUCCCUGCCUUUUUGAUUAUCAGGCAAAAGGAUGAUAUGUUAUCACCAGGGAAGAAGCAGCUGAUUACGAGAGGGGAAUGGAGGCAGCUCGUCAACACGUUGUAGCCCAGGAGGUGGUCCCCUCUGCAUCUCAGUACUACCCCAGUUUCACUUAUGGAUAUCAGCCAGGCGGUACUUGGUAUUAAACCAACUUAGGCCAAAAGCCUAAGCUUGGGGGAGUAUGUAUUUCUCACCGACUUUAUAUUCAUGUUCACACACUAGUCGUCGGUGCUCAUACUCUUUCAUUGUAUUAUCACUAGUUUAAUUUCCUUUUUCUUGCUUUCUUCUUGUGAGUUUGAUAAACCUUAAGAAAAACCAAAAAAAUAGUUAGUUUAAUUUCCAUGCUUACAGUAGAAAUUAAAUUGAAAAACCCAAAAAUAUUUCUCGUUCUUCUUCUUACUUGUUGGGAGCUUUCCCGUGUAAAUAGUUUUAUUUUCUUUUAUUUACUUUGGGGGUCGAGAGUAGAAGACCAUAUUGAAAAUGUUUAGUGGCUUUCAUAUGCAUGAUCGUUUAUUUAACCUAGAGCCCGUAUUACUUUGUCUUCUCUCUUGAGUUGAAUGCUUGCAGAUUCCAGCUUAGUCCAAUGCACCUGCACUAUUAUUAUUAUACACAUCGUUCGGUCGUGCAAGUUAAAGGCAAUAAUGACGAUAUAUGAUGGACUGAUUGAGAUGAGAGAAGCUGGUAUGAACUCGACCUCUCUUGUUUUUGUAAAUAUGAUGAUUUCAUCAUUCCUGAUUUAGCAUAUUAUGAAGUAAACAUAUUUGCAAUGACAUUUAGAGAAUAUAGUUGCUUGUGCCAUGCUUGAUUAGCUAUGAGUUAUAAUGGUUUACCUUGCGUGCCAACAUGCUAUUAGAAUGAUUAUGAUGUGGUAUGAUGGAAUGGUAUCCUCCUUUGAAUUAAUUGAGUGACUCGACUUGGCACAUGUUCACGCAUGUAGUCGAAACAAAUCAACAUAGCCUUCAUGAUAUUUAUGUUCAUGGUAGAUUAUAUCCUACUCAUGCUUGUACUCGGUGUGAAUUAAUUUCAAUGCAUGUUCAUGACUGUUGUCGCUCUCUCAGUUUGUCGCUUCCCAGUCUUUUGCUAGCAUUCACCUGUACAAAGCGGGAAUACUGCUUGUGCAUCCAAACUCCUUAAACCCCCAGAGUUAUUCCAUAUGAGUCCACCAUACCUUCCUAUAUGCGGUAUUUACCUGCCGUUCCAACUAAAUUUGUAUGUGCCAAACUCCAAACCUUCAAAUGAAAUUCUGUUUUGUAAGCUCAAGCAGCUCAUGUUUCAACUAGGGAUGCCUAUAUCUUCUAUGCUAGGUGGGUUAUUCUCAAGAGUAGUGGACUCCGCUCCUCAUUCACGAGAAGGGGCCAGUAACCAGGAUGCCCAGUCCCAUGAUCCAAAAAGAUCAAAGCAAAUCAAAUUAAUUAAACAAAACUCCCCCAGGGAUGUUGUAUGUUGGAGGCACUCGUUGUUUCGAGAAAGCCAUGGAUUGAUGCUUGUUGGUGGUUGGGGGAGUAUAAACCUUUACCAUUCUGUUUGGGAAUUGCCUAUAAUGCAUGUAGUAUGGAAGAUAUAGCCAUCACUUAGGUGUUGCGUUGAUAGCAAAAGUAUGCCGCUCAAAAUGUUAUUCAAUCUCUAUUUUAAAAUCGAGCUCUGGCACCUCUACAAAUCCCCGCUUCCCUCUGCGAAGGUCCUAUCUAUUUACUUUUAUGUUGAGUCAUCACCCUUCUUAGUAAAAGCACCCGCUGGAGAGCACACUGUCAUUUGCAUGUAUUACUAUUGGUUUAUAUUGGGUAUGACUUCACUGGAUCUCUUUUACCAUGAAUUACAAUGUUUAGUCAGUCCAUGAUCUUUAAAGGUGCUCUGCAUUUAUGGUUUGCGGUCUCAGAAAGGGCUAGUGAGAUACCAUUUUGUUAUAUCAUGUUAUAAUUAUUUUGAGAAAGUGUUGUCAUCCGAGUUUUAUUAUUAUGGCUCGCUAGCUGAUUAUGCUAUUGAUAUGAGUGAUUGUGAGAGCUAAGUAUUAUUGUGAGUAUGGUUAGUUCAUAAUAUUUGCUGAAACUUGAAUGUUGGUUUUUCAUGUUUACAACAACAAGAGCAAACAGAGUUUGUAAAAGUUUUUCUUUAUCACUUUCAGUUUAUCAACUGGAUUGCUUGAGGACAAGCAAAGGUUUAAGCUUGGGGGAGUUGAUACGUCUCCAACGUAUCUACUUUUCCAAACACUUUUGCCCUUGUUUUGGACUCUAACUUGGAUGAUUUGAAUGAAACUAACCCGGACUGACGUUGUUUUGAGCAGAACUGCCAUGAUGUUGUUUUAUGUGUAGAAAAGAAAAGUUCUCGGAAUGUCCUGGAAAUCCACGGAGGCACUUUUUGGAAUUAAUAAGAAUUUUUGGCGAAAGAAUUAAUGCGAGGGGGCCCACAGCCUGUCCAUGAGACAGGGGGGCGCCCCCCCCCCCUAGGGCGCGGCCUCCUAUCUCGUGGGCCCCCUGGACCUCCUCCGACCUCAACUCCAACUCUAUAUCUUCCGUCUCGGGGAGAAAAAAUUCAGAGAGAAAGUUUCAUCGCGUUUUACGACACGGAGCCGCCGCCAAGCCCUAAUCUCUCUUGGGAGGGCUGAUCUGGAGUCCGUUCGGUGCUCUGGAGAGGGGGAUUCGUCGUCGUUGUCAUCAUCAACCAUCCUCCAUCACCAAUUUCAUGAUGCUCACCGCCGUGCGUGAGUAAUUCCAUUGUAGGCUUGCUGGACGGUGAUGGGUUGGAUGAGAUUUACCAUGUAAUCAAGUUAGUUUUGUUAGGGUUUGGUCCCUAGUAUCCACUAUGUUCUGAGAUUGAUGUUGCUAUGACUUUUCUAUGCUUAAUGCUUGUCUCUAUGGCCCGAGCGCCAUGAUUUCAGAUCUGAACCUAUUAUGUUUUCAUGAAUAUAUAUGUGUUCUUGAUCCUAUCUUGCAAGUCUAUAGUCACCUAUUAUGUAUUAUGAUCCGACAACCCCGAAGUGACAAUAAUCGGGAUACUUCUCGGUGAUAACCGUAGUUUGAGGAGUUCAUGUAUUUACCAUGUGUUAAUGAUUUGGUCUGGUUCUCUAUUAAAAGGAGGCCUUAAUAUCCCUUAGUUUCCGUAAGGACCCCGCUGCAACAGGAGGGUAGGACAAAAUAUGGCAUGCAAGUUCUUUUCCAUAAGCACGUAUGACUAUUUACGGAAUACAUGCCUACAUUACAUUGAUGAAUUGGAGCUAGUUCUAUAUCACCCUAUGUUAUAACUAUUGCAUGAGGAAUCGCAUCCGGCAUAAUUAUCCAUCACUGAUCCAUUGCCUACGAGGUUUUCAUAUAUUGUUCUUCGCUUAUUUAUCUUUACUGUUGCUACCGUUACCUUUAUUAUCAUACCACUUUUGCUACUAAAUACUUUGCUGCAGAUACUAAGUUAUCCAGGUGUGGUUGAAUUGACAACUCAACUACUAAUACUCGAGAAUAUUCUUUGGCUCCCCUUGUGUCGAAUCAAUAAAUUUGGGUUGUACUUCGAAAGCUGUUGCGAUCUCCUACACUUGUGGGUUAUCACUCAUCUUCAGUACAAGGAACAUAUUGUACUACUAUCAUACUCCCUCCAUUCCAAAAUAUAAGUCUUGGUAGAGAUUUCCACUAUGGAUCACAUACAGAUGUAUCCAAAUACAUUUUAGAGUGUAGAUUCACUCAUUUUGCUCCAUAUGUAGUCCAUGGUGGAAUCUAUACAAAGACUUGUAUUCAGGAACGGAGAGAGUACAUAUUAAAGAAGAACGGAAGAGGAACAUGGUAAAGAAGAGCAAGCAGAUUUUGGAUAAUAAAAUGUUGGUUGCGCAGUGCCCAACAUGAUGAACCAGAGCGCAUUAAGAAUGCAACUCCCAGCUGUCUCUCGACCAUUUCAGGCGGUUGGAUGAAGAUCCUACGUCUCCUAACCCUUCUUCUUCCUCGUCUCUGAUUCUUCCCAUACAGAACACCGCACGGGCCGCCGGCCGGACCACCGGCCCCCACCGCAUGUGUUCCUCCGCCAACCCCACCCCCCAUCCCCGCCCCAACCCCCACCCAUUUCGAGUUUUAUUCGUGCGUCGAGGCCCCACAACCACCCGAGCCCCUUCGUUCGCACCGGCGAACUCCAGCGAGCUUUGAAAAAUCGACUGACCCAAUUUUGAAAUUUAGUCUACUGUGAUUUAACUAGUGUGGAAUAUAAAAGGGGAAAACCAUAAGCAUUGGGAGUAUAGUGUUGAGCGUGCCAUGGCGGAUCUGAUGGUGCAAACCGGACAAAGGCAACUUCGCAACCAAGACAAGAAAUCAGAGUAAAGCAGUGGCGAUCUAUUUUCUUGCUGCGAUAAAUAAGUUGAGCAGAUACGAAAGAGUACCGCCUCUGGUGCGGUAUCAUGUAUGCAUCUGCUGAGAAUUUGACGGUGCUACGGUAGCGAUGGCUGUCGGUAGCGUGGAAGCGGAUCUAGGAGGGUAGAAGGUGGUGGCGGGGCGCGGUGGACGAGACAAUCAUAGGAGCGGCACCGACAAGGUGGACGGCAGCGGGGAUGAAGCGAGAGGACGGGAUGCAAGGAUCCCGGUCCAAAGCCGUGGAUGAGAGAGGUCGAUCUCUUGUAAUGGACGGCGGCAUCGGUGUAUUAGCUCCUGCAUGGUGGAGGAGGGUGGCGGUGGAUGGGGUGGCAGAUGGCAGCGGAUGGAGGAGGCUGGGGUGGAGAGGGUGUUUUGGCACCCACAGAGUACAAAUGGGGAAAAGGGAGGCCGAGAGGAAGGGGGGACCAUGUAUUCAGGGCACGCUUGUCUCAAAUGCGAGGAAAUUUACAAACUUAGCCCCCGUUUCAAAUUUCCUACAUCACAGCAAUAUUAUUCGGUUGGGGAUAGGACGGUAAUCUCGCAUACACCGAAUAUUUGCCAACGAGAGUUUAUUUUUAGCGUCCACCGUGUAUGAAUAUGAAUCGGGGAGGGAGUCGAUCUCGGCCGAGCACACACUGUGUUGGCGCUCACCGUGUAUGAAUCCGGGUGAGAGGCGGUUACGUCACGUUUGGGUGAAAUUACAAACCUACCCCUAUCGAAACCUAUAGAAAUCCAGCAGAUAGGCUUUGCGUGGCAGGGAUAGGCAGUAGUAAUUUCCAUCUCGCAGAUUUUGGUUUCGGGCGGUUACUGCGACUUUCCCCGCUUCAUUCAAAUUUUGCAGAGUGCAUGUUUACCGUGCCAACUCAAUUCGAAUCCCAUUUGUAUUCUAAUUUUUUUCGGGCGAGAUCCAUUUUCAAUUGGAAUUAAAUUCUAUAUACAUCAUUUUUUUUAUAUAUACUUUCAAAAGCGCAACACCAUUUAUACAUAAAUAUGGUUUACAAAUGGCAUGAUCUCAGAUUCAUAAGGUUGUAUCCAUCAAUUUGGAUUUUCAAAUAUUUGAAACCACUUUAUGUUGAAAUCCAAUGUAUGCAUUCCUCGCUAAUUGUCUCCAAUUAAUGUGUGUUUCAUGCGGGGUUUUUUACUUCUCAAACAUGUAUAAUGUGUUUCACACACGCAACAUAUAUUGUAAUCCCGUUUAGACAUUAAUUGCAUAUAAACCAUGCAUUGUUUGUAAUUAAAGAAUCUAUGGAUCACUAAUAUUGAUAAACUAUAUAACAUUACACGUGUGCCCAAAUUCAAAUGAAUAUGCAUGUUUGAUACUCCAAUUUGUGUUAUGAUAUUAUCGAUGUCGUGAUCUCCAGUUUAAAUAUUUGAAUCCCCUUUAAUCCAAAUAUGUGUCUCAUAUAGCUAUCACUCAUGCUUAUAUAGGACUAUCUCUCUGGACCUAUACACGUUCAUCGUCUCUCAGGUAUCUCUCGUGCUACCUGUAUGUCGACAAUGAUCUUUUAUCUUUGUAACACACUGACGGUACUAUCUCCCUCGACCUUCAUCCCUCUAUCUCUCUCUAAGUACAUCUCGCUCCCUGCUAUGUGUCUCUAACUAUGAUUCUCCAUGUGGAAUCUCUUUCUCUCACACAAACACAAAACUCUGGCUCCCGGGAUCUCAUUUCUCUCUACUAUUCCCAUGUGUGCCACUCGCACACCCCUCAUAUAGAGAUGUCUUUCGCUCCUUAGAUAUGAGAACCUACGACUCUUCCUCUUAAAUAUUUCUUUCUCACACACAAACACAAACUCUCUCUCCUAGGGUCUCAUAUUUCUCCAUUGUUCUCUUGUAUGUCACUCACACACACUCUCUCUCCCUAGAGAUAUCUUGCGUUCCCUCAUAUGUCUCUAUAGCUAUCACUCUCGUUGUGAAAUAUCUUUCUCUCUCGCAGACACAAAACUCCGUCUCUCAAGAUCUCAUUUCUCUCUGGUAUCUGUUUGUAUGUGACUCACAUGCACCCUCUCUCUAUCUCUCUCACACCCACACACAUAACUCAGCCUUCUGAUCCACUCGACUCCUAUCUCUAACGCACACUAGCUAGCAUCUUUAUCUUUCUAUUUAUCUGUUCUCCAUUAACCUUCUUUCUCGCCCUCACUCUUGAUUCCUAUCACGCACACUACAUAUGUUUCUCUCUACAUGCAGUCAAGUGCCCUCUCACACACAUAUAUAACUUCACCCUCUGAACCACCCGGCGGUCUUCUCCAACACCCAAACUAGCGGAUGUCCCUCUAGCUAUCAUCUCCAUCUCUGUAUCUAUCUGUAGUUUCUCCAUCAACAUUUCUUUCUCGCACGGAGUCUUGCUCAAUUGACGGUCCUUCUUCCCUACAUUCUCACAUGCAUGCAUAUUGUCAUACCGAUCCGUCUCUCCCAUGUCGUUGAUCUUAUGACUUAUGUCUUCUUUCUUUUAUCUCGAUCAUGCACGCGCGCACACACACACACAUCCCAUGUAUACAUGUAUACCUCUCACACAUGCACGUUCAAGGUCUCUAUGUCUCCAUACGUAGUUAAUUACCCUCAAUCCUAACGCCACAUCGAAUCAUUCUCCUCUUGUGUGCACAUAACUUUCGCCUGGAUGGGUAAAACACACACUCACACUUAAAACAAUCUCCUUCUAGCUACCCCCCACCUCUCACUCUUCCCCUAUAUCCCCAAAACCAAUAAGACCAUCCCUUUGUUUAAUUCCCGCCUACAUGCACCAUCGAUAUAUAGUAGUCUUCCUCGGUGUCUCUCAAACAAACACGUUCUCUCGAUGUCGACUCCUCUCACGCGCACACACCUUCUCUUCCCUCUCUACGGGCAUUUUCUCUCUCGCACCCCAUCGUUGGUGGCCUCUGCCAUACACAUCACCUCUCUAUGAUGAAGCCAUGCACACUUAAAUUACAUCCGCCACAGAGGACCCCGNNNNNNNNNNNNNNNNNNNNNNNNNNNNNNNNNNNNNNNNNNNNNNNNNNNNNNNNNNNNNNNNNNNNNNNNNNNNNNNNNNNNNNNNNNNNNNNNNNNNNNNNNNNNNNNNNNNNNNNNNNNNNNNNNNNNNNNNNNNNNNNNNNNNNNNNNNNNNNNNNNNNNNNNNNNNNNNNNNNNNNNNNNNNNNNNNNNNNNNNNNNNNNNNNNNNNNNNNNNNNNNNNNNNNNNNNNNNNNNNNNNNNNNNNNNNNNNNNNNNNNNNNNNNNNNNNNNNNNNNNNNNNNNNNNNNNNNNNNNNNNNNNNNNNNNNNNNNNNNNNNNNNNNNNNNNNNNNNNNNNNNNNNNNNNNNNNNNNNNNNNNNNNNNNNNNNNNNNNNNNNNNNNNNNNNNNNNNNNNNNNNNNNNNNNNNNNNNNNNNNNNNNNNNNNNNNNNNNNNNNNNNNNNNNNNNNNNNNNNNNNNNNNNNNNNNNNNNNNNNNNNNNNNNNNNNNNNNNNNNNNNNNNNNNNNNNNNNNNNNNNNNNNNNNNNNNNNNNNNNNNNNNNNNNNNNNNNNNNNNNNNNNNNNNNNNNNNNNNNNNNNNNNNNNNNNNCACACACACACACACUAAGACUCCAUCUCACACACACAUGCUCUAGGCGGAGCAUUUGUUCCUACCACCCUUCAUCCAACCUUACCCGUAUGAUAAACAACCACCUUAAUUUACUUGCAUAACAUGGACAAAUUCCACUUUACUUUAGUAGUCAGCAAACUUAUCAUCCGUACCCUUAUAAAAAAAUGAGUUGGCGAUGACGGUGUGCCUACCAUCUUGUAAUACAGACCGUAUGAUCUAUAUCUGACGGAUAGAAAGCAAACUAUGAUAAUUUUACAAAAGAUACCCGCACCUCUCUCCACAUCCUUAUCUCCCACAACCUCAUUGCUCGGCAAUUAAAAAAGGAAGUCUCUAGAACAAUCUAGCAUGGUGGCCGCUGCCGCCUGCUGGCGCCGUCCAUCCCCAUACCUCUGCCCAUUCCGACCACCAGUCACCACCACGCUCCACUCCUCCUCACCUUAUCUCUCAUCUUUCAUUUUUCGAUGACAUUCUCGAGAUACCAGUUUUCCGAUAAAAUUCUCAAGAUAUCAUUAGUUUUUACACAUGGGAUUACUCCUGCAUGGGUCAAUCACAAUAGGUGUUCUGUAAAAAAAUGCAUAUUGAUGUUCCGUGCAAUGCACAAGAAUCUUGCUUGUAAUUAUAUAACGCAAAUCACGAGCAGGAAGUGACAUUUUUUUGACACAACCUCGUUAACAUGGCCACGUAAAUCACUAGCUAAAGUAAAUACCAUUAUACUUAUAUCCCGAUGCAAAAGGUUGAGUACAUGUCCAAAGAGUAGAGUCGCACUCACGCACUCUAUCUCUCAGAAUCACACACAAACACACACACACACACACACACGCAUGCGCGCACCAGUUACAUGACGUCCACUUAAGCAGACAUGUAUGUUACAAUUUGUGCACCCGCGGGUACACGUGAUGCUGCACAUUUAUUUAAGCCGGAAGGCAAACCCAAACAGUAGCUGCAUUCAUUCCCCUCCCGCCACCUCUUCUCUGGUCGCCGUCGCCCGGUAGCCAUGGCCCGGCUGAAGGUAACAACAUACGCCAUACUCCCGCCAGAGCGGCCCUUUAAUAUGGAAACUUUAGUGGUCAUGCAUGCAUCUUUUUGUGCUAGCACUCCUAUAUAAGGGUUGACUGGUCGCUUCCCACGGACGUGCGCGGGCGGUAGAAGAGGAAGGAGAAGGGGAACGGGUUGUGGAGUAACAUUUUUACCACAAUUUGUUAGAAAACUGAGUGCAAUAAUUGAGUAGUUUUGCAAACUACCAGUACUACACCUGAAACGGUUCAAAACCUAUACUCCCUUGCCAGCGCGUGCUUCCCGCGUGAAACGGUCAGCGUCGCCUUAGAGCGUCAGUGCCGCAUUAAUGCCCGGCCAGAGCGGAGGCGACCUCUCACUGGCGCCGGCUUUGAAGUGGCACGACAGCCGAGAGAGCGCCGCUUCCCGGUGCACGCGACUGCUCCGCGUCGAGACUGUCCAUAGGCCCUGUUUGGAUCCAUGGGUUAGAGUUAGUUUGAGCUAGUUGGGGCUCAAAUAGCCCUAAUGUAUCCAAGCAUGAUGGUUUAAAUUGGAGCAAGUUGCACCCAACCCACCAAAAAAACUAUCGCACCCAAGAGGUGCUAACUGGAGAUAGUUCUCAUUGGAACCACUAAAAAAUCACUUUUCUCUCUCCAUCAAGUGCAUUUAUUGUCAAUCUAACCCUGUCACCCAAACACCUCUUUGGCUACAGUUAGUUCAAGGUUAGUCAUGAGUUAGUCUAACCUCUAGCUAAGUUAGAGUAUCAAACAGGAGCAGUAUAGGACAUGCAAGUUGCUCAAAGCAUACAGUCAAAUUCGUAUGUGAAAGGAUUUUUUUCUUUUUGAAAACGGAACGUGAAAGGAAUUUUUUUUAGAAUGCUCUUGGCAUGUCGCUAACAUGUGAUGAGUUAACCGACCUCAAUAGACGGCAAAAACGCCAGCCUGCCGCACUUUGAUAGAGACGAGGAGGGAGAAGCGAUACAGGCUGCUGGAUUACUAGAGAUAGGUGCCGCAUGGAAGCCAAGAAAUAUGGUGAUAGCGUGGGUUAGCCAUGUACUAGCUAGUAUGAUGUAACUGCACUGGGCUGCCAUGUUUCGUACUCUUCCAGUCCAUUGUGGAGAUGAUUGGUUGAUUUUAUAUCGCUGAAUAAUAUUAAAUAUUAUGAGUACAGACGCUCCACCACGAGGUUUCUUGCUCCUUCUCGGUCUUCGGGAAUCUAUGUUCUCCCACUCUAUUUUUUACAUGAGCUUUGUUCAUCCUUUUGCCAACACACGAGACAUCUAGCAUCAAGGUGCACGUGUUAUGCAAGGAUUGUUCCAUCUAUAUGAAGAACACGUGGGACUGGAACUACGAGAUGGACAUGUACCCAGGAGUGGAUGUACGAACCUGAGUAAUGUAGUGCAGUAAGUGAAGUAGAAAGGCACAAAUGGUAUGAACAUGUGUGGCAUAUAGGGUGUGUUUGGUUGUGUUCUCGUCUCAGCAUAGUUGUUCCCUCUUCAUGCAUGCUCAACUCAACACCCCUCUUCAUGCAUGAUCUCUUCAUGCAUGCUUCUAGUGUAUUUGUGCUAAACUAGUGUGGACUCAUGCAACCUCCAUACACUCUAUCAAACACCCAAAAGUAGGUCGAGAAGGGAACUCUUGGGCGGCAUUUGUCUCUUACUACGUACUACCACUAAAUGUUGUACGUGCAAUGCACGGUGAUGUUAUGGAGUACGUGCCUAAGUACUCUACUACUACUAUAUUAGUUGGAGGCACAUAUUAACUUUUAUAUUUUUUACGUGUAUGCCCCGAGAUCUUCCAACUAGACAUGUCUUCCUCUCUAGGUCGCACUUUGUAUCGUUCAUACCACUAAGUACUACUACGUGUGGUCUCCGACCCAGAAGUGGAAGAAGUGGAGACGCUCUACCACAUUGUUUUUUACGCUAGGCUCUACCAUGCUGUUCAUGUCCCACUCCUUUUGCUCAUGUGUGGGACAUCCAGCAUGUGCCGUGUUUGGCACUCUUCAUCGUAAGAGUUGAAACGCUAGCAUUCAUCAGAAAUAAAAAAUAAUUAUAAAUCAGCAGUGAUACUAUUUUUUUGAGAACCAAUCAGCAGUGAUACUAUAACACGCAGUUUCCUUGCUCCUCGAUAUCGGAAAGAAUACUUCCGUUCGCCAACAUGUGGGACGUCGACCAUCCGGGUCCACUUGCCAUGCACGCAGAACUCCAAGGGAGAGUCACCCCAGUCAUCGCGCCGCAGUAACAAUGACUAAUGAGCCGUCAAAUCACAAGCCCACUUCCCACUUUGAAGUUGCUCGGACGAAGGAACCAUCAUGACUUCGUUGAAUUCCGCUUCUUGAAGAAAACUACUGUACCAGCAGUACUGCUAGCUACAGUAGUUACUCCAACAGAGGCCUCCUUUCAUUCAUAGGAUAAGAAUUUCAUAGGAAUAUGAAAAUCAUAGGAAGUGAGAUGAUGUGCAUCUCAAUUCCUAUAGAGAAAGAGAUGCCAUUUGAUGCAUAGGAUAGGAAUUUUUCCAUUUAGUCUAGGCUAAUGUACUGGUAAUUUCCUCUAAAAACUACAGUAGUAACUAGUAGUACUGGUACAUGCUCGUACCCAGACACAGACACACACACUAACUACUAGUAGUACUACUUCUCACAUGCUGGCCAGACGUCGUCGUUCUCCUUCCCAGCUUUGUCGGCGACACCCCACCGUGCUUGGAUCUCCGCCCACCUCUCCACAGCAGUGCAUGCGUCCUUUUCUUUCUUGCGACGGCGGGCCUCUCUUUUCUUGAGUGCUUUCUGACUUUUCUGCUCCCUCUGUGUGGCUUUGGCCGCCUCUUGCUCUACCGCCCAUUCGGCCUUGGCAUCUUCAAAUUCCUCCCACAUAGUUGUGAGGUCACGAGCGGCGAUGAACUCAGCACGGCGGGAUGCCAUUGCUUCCCUACAAUUUUGUGUGCGGUCGUGGGCGGCGAGGAACACGACGCGGCGGGAUGCCAUCGCUGCCUUAUCGGUUAGUGUGGGGUGCAGUGGCAUGAACGACGCUUGGUGAGAGCUCUAGGUGGAGUGGCCGGACAACCGUAUAGUGCAUUGGUUUUUCAAGAGAUCAAGGACAAAAGACGAAGGAAAUUGGGAUUCCCCUUCAAUCCUGGUCAUUUAUUACCGAGUAAAAUGCAUUGGCGGUCAUCAAACUUGUCUUGAUAGCUCACUUUGAUCAUUGUAUACGAGAUAUGGUGAUUAUACGGUCACUGGCUCAGCGUAUAGCUCCGUAUUUGUCUGGUUGACCAGUCAAACAGUCCGCAUGCGCCUCAUCAGCUCGUGUUCUUUAUCUAUCUACGCGGGCCUACUGUAAAAACCAAAAUUAUGCGUAUGUGGGGAAUCAAACCACGGACUCGUCGCUGCAACGCACCCUCGUCAGCCAAAUGAAAAUGAAAUACUUCGCGUCAGACACUAACGCUCAUGCUAUAAAAGCAUGCUAAUGCAUGCACGUCGCCCUCUAAAUCAAAGUCCUGCUCAUGGCGUAACGCAAACGGCAAGCCCAUCACCUCGCGCCCCGGCAGUGCCUGACAUUACUAUUUAGACGUUUGAUGGAGGCCUACGCGAACGCCGAGCAUCUAUUCACCUCGCUCAACACCAACGGUCAUACUCAGAGCGCCUUGCUCAUGUAUAUCGUCCAUCACAACAACAAUCUAUAAAGCAACCUAGCUAGACAGGGUACUAUGGUAGUAUGGUACGGAGUAUGUACUAUCUUGAGUGACCGAUCUUAGUGCCACUGCACACCAAAACCCCUUCCAUCGCUAGCGCGUGCUUCCCGCCUGAAACGGUCACCGUCUCUCCAGAACGUCAAUGCCACAUUCACCGGACUUAACCGCGGGUGCAAUUGGUGUGUCACUGACAUGCGGGCCAGAUACCCGUUGGGCCCACAUGUCAGUAACCCAACGCAUCUGCAGUUAAGUCACUCAAGCAGCAUCCGCAUUCACGCCCGACGAACCUACUCCAGUGCCAGUUGUCCAUCCGUCUGUCGCGGCUCAUUGCCAUGCGCCCGCUAUAUUAACUUGAGGCCCAGCUCCCAGCCAUAGCCAAAGACCCACACUUAUUCUCCUUCGGUCCCUUCCUUCUGUCGGCACCACUCCAACCAUGGACUCCUGGCGCUCUGAAGCUCUCUUGGACGUACUGUCACAGGAGAAGACGAGGGACAUCGGCGGCUACGCUCCGGGCGCGCUCCAAAACUCUCUUCGACGUACUGUCGCGGGAGCAAACGAAGGAGAUCGCCGGCACCCCCCCCCCGGUUGCCCUCCGCCGCCAUGACCAUGAAGCUGGCGCGCAUGCGCGGGCGCAACCAGCAGUGAGGAAGAGUAGUACACAGCAGGUCACCGCCGCUCUGGUCCCAGGAAGGCCACUGCUACUCCACUCAGUCGAUGCCAAGCUUGGUGGGGUAAACAUCGGUGGCCGAUUAGCUGCUUGACGGUGAUAUGGAGGCGGAAAUCUUUAGAACCUUGUUCUCCGUAGGAGGAGGUUAUCGAGGCAGAUGAGGAGGAGGCAAAGGCAAUGGCCGACUUUCUCUGGUUCAUGGCCGGACAUGGUGGUCGGGCGCCGGAGAUCGUUUAGAUUAGGAUUAUAGUAGGUUUUAGUACAGUUUGUGCGAAAUAUGUAAUGAAUUUCGUCCAGUUUGUAGGAAAAGUUUUCGAUAUGUAAUGAAUUUCAUCCGGUUAAUUUGAAAUUUGCUUUGUUUGCACGAAUUUCCUCCGGUUAGUUCACAUAGUUGUCGAAAGGUAUGCGGGCAGCAUCGGAUGGCAUCCAUCAGUGUCCUCGGACAGAUGCCGGUGUAAAUUUGUGGGCCAGCGCUGGAGAUGCCCUAACUAUCAUGCUAUAAUCGCUAAUAGUCCUCCAUUAUUUGGCAGGGAACAAUUAUCACUCGAUCAAAAUCAGAUCCGCGGUGUUUCGCACUCCUCCCGCGUAAGAGUGUAAACUCUUGCUUACAUAAAAAUGGAGCAAGUGGACGGCACUGUAGCACGUCAUAUCACUCGAACUAGCCCGCCUAACGAGCGGGAAAGCACCGCCCUCGUCAUUUUGUUUUGGAUUUCUAUCAAUCGAUCGCGCGAAAAUGUUACGCUUCGCAAGUUCUAAAGGAAAAGGCGGCACAAUUACGACUUGUACGCGUCGCACCCCCAAUAGUCUGGCUCGCAUGCCGCUCACCAGAGGGGACACACGUUUUCUUGCAAUUUCACUGACAUGUGGGACUGUAAUUGAAUAAACCGUCGAUAGGCGAAAUCUAAUUGCUCGGUGGGCGUCGGCUGAGAAGAGAGAAACGGGGGAGGGAGAAGAGAUCGCCCACCCGCCGCGCACGGACUCCAAGAAAUAUAUGGUGAUAAUGUGAGGUGGGCCAUGCUUUGUCGGGACCGAUUUUGGAGCCCCCUCUGACCGCCCUGGCCCCUCAAGACGCCAGCUGCCCGCCGCAUGCAUGCAUAGCAAGUACUAAAAAACUGAGCUAUAAGGCCUUGUACAAUGGGAGAUGCUUAGGGAAGAUGCUUAAAGAAAUAAACCAGGCUUUUGUUAAGCACCGGUGCUUACUUGUUCUUAAGAGAAGCCCGGUUUAUUUUUCUAAGCAUCUCCCAUUGUACAAGGCCUAAGCCCGCUUAUGUGGAGGAGAGAGAGGCAUUUACAAAGUUAAGGAGUGGGCUCUACAAGAGCCCAUCUCUGCACGUGCUCCUAGGUAUAAAAAAUAAUUCUAAAAAAAUGCAUAAAAAACAAUUGUGUCUAAAAAAGAAAGGUAAAAAACAUUUGAGAGGAAAUAGAUAGAGAGAAAGUGAGAAAAAGUUGUAACCUUAUAGCCAACCUUAUAGUCAACAGUAUGGUAGCAUUACAUGAGGAAGGAGGGCCGUCGUAACAGUGGAGACAAUAGCUUUCAUCAAAAAUAAACAAUGAAUACUCGAUGCUCGUCCUCUAUAUCAGAAAGAAUACUUUCAUUCGCCGACAUGUGGGACGUCGACCAUCCUGGUCCACCUGCCAUGCACAAAAUUAUCCUAGUCUACCCCGGUCGUAUCGUGGGCCAAACCUUUCCCACUAUAAGUUGUUCGGACGAAGGAACCAUCAUGACUUCGUUGAAUUCCGCUUCUUCAAGAAAACUUACUGUACCUGCAAUACUGCUACCACACGUGAAGACUGGACGACACUGUACCACGUCAUAUCACUGAAACCCACUAGGCCAAACUAGCCCGCCUAGGUCAUCUAUUUUGGAACGAAGGGAGUACGUCUCUGCACUGCUAUGAUUUUGUGUUGUAUGUCUCUGUACUUUUGCUACGAUUUUCCUACCCUAUGAACCAAAUGAGGCCUGACUGUAUCCGUGUCGACUAUUGUCUGAUCGAUCGCUAAGCCUACAAUUGUAGGAGCUAGGGCUAUUGGUCGAUCGACGACGGAUAAGUAUAAGCGUACCACGAGCUCAUCAGCCCCAACGUUUCUCUUCGGUGAGUGUUUUGCAAGUACUACAGCUCGCACAGUAGCAAGCCUACUAACACCAAGAAUCAUCAAACAAGCCCUGAUGAUAUGAUAAACAGUUCAAACUUACAUCUAAGCAUGCCAUAUGUUACAUCAAAAGCUGGUGAGGGUACACCUGUUUCCAUAACUCGGAGAGGGUUCGCAUGAUUCACUAUCAAACAAAAGUAGCAAGUACCACCCACAUAAGACAGUGCACUAGCCCUAAGAUGGUUUGAUAACACACAUCGUUCUGGUAAUUAAACACAGGGCAAUGCAAACUACCCUGAAGGAUUAGCGUGACCAACUAUUUCUUGUCAUCGAUCUCUCAGGCAAUAACCAGAGCACGGACAGCGGCAUGGGAAUUGAUCUCUGGGGCAAUGUCCACAGGACUGACCGCGACAUCGGAAUCGAUCUUUGGGGCGAUGUCCACAGGAUGGACAGCGGCAUCGGAAUCGAUCUCCGGGGCGAUGCCCAACAGGACGGGCCGCGACAUCGGACUCAUCAAGGACGUCCACCGGCACCUGCACAACCCUAACAUAUUAGCAAGCACAUUGCAAAUAAUCCAAAACCAAAACUAUGGUAAUAAGCCAUUAUUUUUUACCUUGUGUAGCUCACCGGGGGAUCUCAUCCCUUCGGGGGCCAUCUCCUCAUCCUCGAUGGGGGCCAUCACCUUGCCAGGGGAAUACUGCUUCUCAACGGCGACUAUCUCCUCAAACUCGGCCUUGAGCCUCGCAUAGGUGGCCAUCAGAGUUCCUGGGGUAGGCACGGUGGGGCCCUUGCUAUUCUUCCAACUUUCUUUGAGGAGUUCGUCCGCCAACGUCGUCAACUCUUUGGCCAGUGCUUGUUUCUUGGAGUUCUUCGUAUCAAGUUGGCCCGCCAACAUGGUCAACUCGUUGGUCGGUGCUCGCUUCCUGGAGAUCGCUGUCUCCAGUGGGUUGUCCACCGGCAACUCUUUGCCUAGUGCUCCAGGAUCCAUCAAUGAACUGACAAACAAAAAGCAAUCGAAAGGAAACCACAAUCGCAAUGAAAACGGGAAAAGAAUAGGAUGUGAGAAUCGGUCGGUGCUUCGCAAAAAGAAGAUUCUUGGAAAGAAAAUAUAGUAGCAUAACUGAUUCGCCCACCUUUCCUUCGUCGGUACAGAAGAAAAAUGGUAGAAGUGGGUAGCCUGGAGUGAGGUUUUCUUCAAGAAAGGGAAGAAAGGGCUUGAACGAGCGUUCCAAUGAAAUGAUGGUUGCUUCGUCCAGUCCAACUUGGAGGCCACCUUACCACUGCUGGUAAAGGUGACGGUUUUGUGAUAUGAUGGGUCAUGACGGCCACACCGGGGUGACAGGUGAGUCUCGACUGUAGCACCUCGCUGUGAUUUGGUGGAUGGCACACGGGCCCGGAUGCUUUGAAAUGCCCCGCAUGUAGAUAGAGCGGCUACUCAUAUAGGAGUGCUCAAUAUUGUGCACCGCGACCAAGGCAGAGAGGAAAACGAGAGAAGUACGUAAUUAGUGCAUGAGUUUAAUUAGGUUAGUUUUGUAAAGUAUGCGAUACAUUCCUCUAAUCGCAAAAUGUGUUGGUUCAUGAGAUUUUAGAUUUGAGCCCUAUAAACCGGAAGGGAGGGAGUAGUGCACGCGGUGUAGUCUAGUCACUUGUUGAAAUCUCUAGAAAGGCAAAUACUCCUUUCCGGUUUAUAGGGCUAUACUACUCCCUCCGUCUAGGUGUGUAAGUCAUGUUAUGAAAACCAAAUAGUCCCAAAACAUUUAGACUAGCCACAAUGGAGAGUAACAUACACUAGUAACAUACACAUAUCUCUAGACUAUGUUACUACCUCAAUAUUGGGUAGUAACAUAAGUGUAGUACUCCCUCCGUCUAGGUGUGUAAGUCAUCUUACGAAAACCAAAUAAUCCCAAAACACUUAGGCGCGGUGCAUUAACUUGUACCUCGUUUCUUGUUUCUUGACAUAUCAACCAAUAAGAGAUGAGUGGUGUGCAUGUUUUUAAUGACUUGAGACAACCAAACACGACAUGCAGUGGUUAGUUCAUUGCAUGCAUUGUUAUUAAUUAGGAAAUAAACAUUAAGGUCUCUCUUUUUCCCCUCCUCCUUGGUCACGGUGCACAACCUAAGAUGACUUACUCACCUAGACGGAGGGAGUAACAUGCAAAGCUUCAUUUAUUAGGUUAUAGACUCAUAUUGCAUUAGGACAUGUGAUGUUACAGUAACUAGCUAAGUUACUAGUACUACAUCUUUCCUCAUUAACUCAUUGCCACAUAAGCAAAUUCGCUGAGUUGGACUCGAUGUUACUACCAAAGUUACUCCCACUGUGGCUAGUCUUAGGCGCGGUGCAUUAACUUCUACCUUGUUUCUUGUUUAUUGACAUAUCAACCAAUAAGAGAUGAGAGGUGUGCCUACUUUUAAUGACUUGCAGUGGAUAGUUCAUUGCAUGCAAUGCUAUUAAUUAGCAAAUAAACAUUGGUGACCCCAGGAGGAAAUGGUGCUAAGUGCGUGGACCUAUGCAGAAUGAGUAUCAACCAAUGUAGAAUGAGCUACAAAUUCAACGACUUGCUCACCUAGACGGAGGGAGUAGCAAGUACUAGUACUACUACAAUAGUGGGCACAAAUAGCAAUUUUGUCUCAUGCAAGAGCUUGGCUACAAUAGUAGUAUAUUCGUGCUCCAAGGCACCGCACCAUGCGAGCGUUUGCAACUGCCACGUUCGGGUUACGCUUGGCUCUUCGCCUCUUCGAGAAGAGGAACAAUGAUGUUACUCCUACUUCUACAGUAUCGAAUCCACUGCUGCAUGUACGCCACCUCGUGCGGGAGGGAUAGCGUGUAGCGAAAGCUUCUACUACUGCUCCUGCCUUUGCAUCUAUGAUAGGUGGGCCCAACAGGUGGUUGGCCCUCCUGUCAUGCAGCCAAAGGCAGGUGCAGUUAAGGCACCGGAGCUCAGUCCGCGAGGGAGAGGGUGUUGUAGUAAUCAAAUUUCUCGGUCUUGUAUGAGUUGACGCGACACAUCAAAGCACUGCACGCGAUAUAAGUCUUUUUACACAUUUCAAAUGGACUACAACAUACGGAUGUAUGUAGACAUAUUCUGCUUCGUAUGUAGUCACUUGUUGCAAUCUCUAAAAAGACUUAUAUUUGGAACGGGGGAGUACAACGCAUGCAUGCAUGCCGUGACUUUGCUUUUGAUACUUGCAUGUGUUGAUUUGAUGUACCUUGCCAAAUUUUGACUAUAAAUUUAACUAACCAAAUUUUCAUGCAUGUCACAAAAAAAUACGGGGCUGUUUGGAUUGUGACUAUGUUUGUCUUAUGUUGCCACAUUAUUUUUCCCACACUUGCCAAACUUGCAUAACUUGAGUUGCUCAAAUUGUUAGACACACUUUGGCUUGCCUAAGGGAAUCUUGCCACAAUUUUUGUGUCUAUGACAUGUGGGGUUCACUGCUAAUAAAAAAAUUCUUGUCUUAGGUGUGGCUAAUAAAAAAGACUUUUAUUUAGGAACGGAGGGAGUAGAAAAUAUAAAUAAUAAUGCUUGUUGGGGCAACCCAUGUUUUCGCUAAUUUUGGCCGUGGGCUUGUUCACAAUUUUUACGAGGGGGUGGUUGUUCAUUUAAUGGAGGGACUUGUAGUACCAGACUUGAACAAUACAAAGUGCGACCUGGCACACCGUAACACCACUUGGAACAAGCGGGUAGCUAUCUCAAAAAACAAUCAACAACUAAAAAAACCGCGACCUGGCAUGUAGUAGUACACAAUUUUAAAUGAUUGUUUUGAUGGAGUGAAAAAGGAAAACUACCCCACUAUGUAUAUAUAGGCCGGAGCCUCCGUCCUUGCUUGCUAGGGUUGCUCUAUUCACACACUCUCAUCCUCUCCAGAUCUAAACAAGAUAGGGGUAGUAACAUUGUAUUUCUCCCUUCAAAAAACACUGUUUUUCUAUCCUCACCGCUGGUUACAGAUCCGGACGUAUCCCCCUCCGCCGGUGAAGGGGAGGAGGGGCAGUGUUUAGGCUGUCGUCGACAGCGAGGGAGGAGACCCAUUGUCGGCCGCACCAUUAUCUCUGGCCGAGCACCGGCACGGGAGGUCCUCCGAUCCCUUCGUCGUUGCUUGUGGGCGGAUCCGGCCUCCCACCGCCCACCUAUCCACAUCCCGACGACCUUCAGGUAUAUCUUCGUUCGAAAACGCCUUAGCUACACUUCCCCAGCUCGCUACAUCGCUGCACGUGCAUCAUUUUCUACCUCUCAGCCCCUCUCGAUCGGAUGGUCCAACGUCACCUAUUUUUUUCUAUUGUUAGAGGUAAAGCUACUUCAUGGAGUCGAAUCUUGUACUCCCUCCGUCCGAAAAUACUUGUCAUUGAAAUGGAUGUAUCUAGAUGUAUUUUAGUUCUAGACACAUCCAUUUUGAUGACAAGUAAUUCCGGACGGAGGGAGUACUUGGUUGAAACAAGAAAUAAAGUAGGGGUGGGGGAAUUUAGUAUGUACAUCGGACUUGGUACAAAUAGGAAGGAAAGGGGGUGAAAGUAGUACAGACUGGUCAUCCAACCGGUCUCUUGGUCGAAAAGGGAAAUAUAGGGGUAACGUUGUAUGGAGUGGUAUGACCAGGACUAGAUUUGCUAUCCACACAUAGGAGUAGGUGGCUAGAGUGAAAAAAUGGGACCAGCCCAAAUAUGUUUCUUGGAUGUUUGUUUCUCGGGGCAACAAACUAUGAAUCACCACUUUAUGCCCCUGUUUACGUACAUGGUGCUGGACUACUGGUGCACCCACUGUCCCAUGCACUUAUACAAAAUAUUUAGUUGUUAUUAAUCUAAUGUCUGUGGUAAAAAUGAAGACAUGCCACUGUUAUAAGCCAUGACAAGUUUAGCCAAAUGUUUUUGCCUGUAAUUGUUUGAGACUCUGGCUGUUUCCUCUCUACCUUUUUGUGCAAACAGGGAUAUCCAAUUCACCUGGUUGCUGUUGUGACCUUUUGGUGCACUACACAAAACUCUUCUUAAAAGAAGUGACUUUUGUGUUGUUUAACUGGAAUGUCAGAAUGGAACAGUUGGUUCAUUUCAGUGGAACUGCACAAAGGGAGAUUUGUGUUCCAAUCCUCAUCAUCCAUAUUGGCACCAUAACCUUCCUUUAGGUAAGAAUGGUAUUUAAUGCAUGUGUUCAUCUCUAUUUUCCGACUGCCAUGAGAAAAUAAUCCUAUUUUUUACUAGUACACUUGUACUCCCUCACUGACAAAACCAAUUCUGAAUUAGAAGGCCAAUCAUGUACUUGGUUUCACCAACUGGUGAGGAGAAAGAGAAACAGAGCAUGAAGAGGAAGAAGAAGAAGAAUAAACAGUGCCAAGGCGAUCUUGCUGAAGCCAGAGGAAGAACAAGAAGGCCAUUCAAGGGCUCCGACAAUGACUACCUUACAUGUGAGACGAUCCUCCAGGGAUCCCUUCCACUUCUGCUGUCUCACUUAAUUAAUUAGGAGUACUCAAGUACCACUAAUUUAUUGUUGCCUAAUUUUCCUGUCGGAGUUAAACAAAUCUUUAGUAAGACCCUAUGCUGAAUCAUGUACGUGUGUAUGUUUGUCUAUGGAGGUGAAUCAUGUGGUGGAGCAGGGAGCGAAUAUUAUUAGUGUCAUGACAUAAUAGUUCUAUUGUUUUGCAUGUCAAUUUAUUGCCAUUGGUUCAAUGAGGCAAUGUUUUCAUAUUGUCCAUCAUGAAUUUGAUGCUACUGUUUGAGUAAUAUGCUAAUGUCUUCCUAUCCUUUCUCACUAAGCUAAUGAAGGUUUCACCUUGUUCCUACUUGUGCAAACAAGGAUCAUGUUGUGUCAAUCAUACAUUUUAGUGGAACUACACAAGACAAUACAAUGAAUUGUAUCCUAGCCAGUGCUUUAACUCUGCUGGAAGUUCUUGAUAAUCUUUCAAUAUAAUCUCAGCACUGGUAAACAAGAGUGAUUUCAACCAUACAUUUGAAGUGCACAAAAAUAUAUACUAUUGUGUGAUUCCAGUGAGUGCUUUAUCAUCUCUUAUGGGACUACAUGAAUAAGCUUUUUUUUCUCAGGUUGGUACGGGCCUAAGGCCUUCAUCCAUAUUAGUUUGUUGUCAUCUCUAUUUGUAUCAUGCUACUGUCAUGAGAAACUCCUUUAUCUUUGCAUGUUAAAGUUUUUCAACCUAUGAUAAAUGGCAAUGCUUUGGGUGUUGAGCUAAUUGGCACUGAUUAAAUAAACUAAUACCUCUCUUUAAGCAAGACUACUAUGUUGCUAACUUUACCUAUUAAGAUAAUGAGGGUGCUUCUAUUUGUUAGUGUAUGUUUCAUCAACUAGUCCCACUAUUACAGUAAUCUCACUCUCUCAAUAUAUGUGCCAACAGGGAUGCUCGAUUUUGGUGGAUCUGCACAAAAACUUUGGGUGCUUCAUUGCCUCAACAGCUUCCGUCCUUUCCUGUCAGUCGCUAAUCCCGGCUUGCUUUCUUCCUACGCUGUCAGUCGCUUCGAUUAUCUUGGCUUCCAGUCAAAGGAAAUAGUAAUUGAUAUGCUACCUCACACAGGUUGGUACUGGUCUUUAUCCUGAUUAUUGUGCUUGUCAUGUAUUGGUAAUUUGGUAUUGUGCUACUGUUUGCCAAUUUAUAAAGGAGUAACUUGGAGCCUGGACUCGCAGGCAGAUCAUUGCAUUGGGUGAUUUCAGUAGAACUGCACAAAAUGAUCAGAUGGACAGAUACUUAUGAUGCUGCCAUGUACUCCAAAGUUCACUCAGACAAGCAUCGAUGUUGACAAGAAGUGCCUAUAUUCAUUCGAGUAUCAACCGGCGUCAACCAGUUGUCAAACUCCCAAGUAUUAGGAGAGUGAAUUCCAAAAAUAUUGCUUGCCGCAUAGCCCAGAAGAACACAGUCCAGUCUUUGGUCCCAACUUGUGUCUUUUGGUUAUCGGCAGAUAUGGUAGCGAACUGUAUGGCAUGGAGUCUAAAUAUUCCAGACAAGUUCGUUAACGUGUAUAUUCAUCUGGCACUUAAUCAGUCUACACGCCAGGGAUGCUCCAUUUCAGUUGAACUGCACAAAAAAUUUGGAUGGUUCAUUUCCUCAACCGCCUCCUUUCUCGUUUGCAUUGUAGAAUUUUGGCGAGCUACAGGACCAAGAUGAGCCAGUAAACUAGUUGGAUGAAAGUAGUGGCCAAGUUGCUCAAACCUCGCUCGGCACGAGGCCACUAUUUGAGGAUAAACCUACAAGCAAAGUUCAGAUUGUCAUUGCUGCCUCUUAUGUACUCGAAAGUUUACUCGUACAAGAACUAAUUUUCGCAAGAAGUACCUCCGACUGAACACCAUUUACCAGUCUGUACCCUAGGUAAUUAAAGUUCGUCCAUGGAUCAUAUUAGCUCUGAUCUCAAUCAUUUGGAUGCAUAAACGUACUGAACAUGUGUAUAUCUAAAUCUUUUUGUGAAUUAUGUAUGAAUAUUGUCAUGUGAUCUAUCAAUCAUUUGGAUGCAUAGAUAUGCUGAGAUUUUGUAUAUAUGAAUCUUUUGAGUUGUUGAUAGUGAAUGUUGGCUAUGAAUAUGAACGUAUCCUGUGAACCUGAGUUUGAUACGAAUGUUUACCUUUUAUGUUGUAUUUGUGUGUGAACUUGUUAGUAUGCCUACUGUGGGGUAUGUGACGUGUGGGUGUCAACGGCACACCUUCUUCCCGAGAAGAAUUGCACCUGCUUUGUUAGGGUAGCAACGGCGGAUCGGCUCUUUUUAAUCUUUUUAUUAUUCUGUCUUCCCCUCUCCACUAGUAGAAAACGGAGCUUUAAUACUGGUUCAUAAGGGCCUUUAGUGCCGGUUCUGCAACCGGCACUAAAGAGUGGAGACAAAAGGCCCCCCCUUUAGUACCGGUUCGGCACGAACUGCUACUAAAGGCCCACCACGUGGCGUGAGCUCGCGCCGUGGUAUGGGGGACCUUUAGUACCGGUUGGUGUUACCACCGGUACUAAAGGUAUUAUUAUUUUUGAAAUUAUUUUUUGAAAAUUUUGGAAAAAAAUUGAUUUUUUUUAUUUUCAAUUUUUUGAAUUAUUUGAUGAUUUAGUCUCUAAUCGCCCUCUUAACUACUCAAGUGUGGAUCACUCAUUCCAAAUCGUCUAACUUCCCGACCGGUCACCCAUCCUCUCACUCCCCCGGUCUGAGCAUGCUUAACUUCGGAGUUCUAUUCCCCCUACUUUCCAAGUCUGCACUUGUUGUUUUCCUGACAAAUGUAAGCUGUAAAUCCUAUUAACCCUCAGCAGUUUAGCUUGAGCAUUAGGUCACACAUUUCACUGUUUGAGUUUGAAACUAUUAUUCUAAAAAACAGUAGUUAUUUAGUAACACAAAAAUUUCUUGAAUAAGUUUGACCAUAGUUUGACCAGAUUUGACCAAAAUUCAAAAAAUUGAAAUAAUUAUUUAGUAACACUAAUAUUCUUGAAUAAGUAUGUAGUAACAUUAAUACUUCUUGAAUAAGUAGUUUGACCAUAGUUUGACCAGAUUUAACCAAAAUUAAAAAAACUUAAAUUUGAGCAGAUCUUUUUCUCCUUUUGGAAUUUGAGGAUUCUAAAAAAUUGCAAACAGGCCAUAGGCUGUCAAAAUCGGAUGCGGAUUUUCGUGCUGAAUUUUUUGAUAUAUUAUACGUUUUUUUCCGACAUCGUAUGCAAAACUUAUAGCCGUUUUACAUUUUUCCUACACUUUUUGUAAAACAUGUCCAAAUUUACGUUUUUUAAGAAUUUUAUUUUUUGAAUUUUUUUUCUUUUUCUUUUGUAUUUUUGAAAACUGAAAUGGCGAUAAAGGGGGGGGGGGUAGAGUUUGAAAAUUGCCAUUUAGUACCGGUUUGUGCCACGAACCGGUAAUAUAGGUCAAACCCCUUUAGUACCGGUUCGUGGCACGAACCGGUACUAAAGGUUAGCCCUUUAGUACUGGUUUGUGCCAUGAACCGGUACUAAAGGUGAUUGUGGGGCCCCGGUCUAACGCCAGCCUACCACCACCCCUUUAGUACCGGUUCGUGCCACGAACCGGUACUAAAGGUUCAAAACGAACCGGCAUUAAUGCAUAGCCGUUCGAACCGGCACUAAUGGUACCAUUAGUACCAGGCCAAAAUCGAACCGGGACUAAUGUGUCUCACAUUAGGCCCUUUUUCUACUAGUGUCCCCCGCUCAACCCCUGCCGUAAUGUUUUCGGCCUCAAAACAAACAUAGUGCUGCGUUGUUUUUGGGGCUUGAUGAAAAAUCGAGUGCUGGUUUCUGUAGGUUGGCCCACCCAGCAAAUGGGCUGCUGGUCCACCACGACGGACUGGGAGGCUAAAAAUACAAGUUGUAUGGUGCAGAGGCAAGUAAAAAAACACUAUCGAGAGCCAUCCACUGAAGAAAAAAAAUCGCUCCUGAUGUGCUUCUUCAGUCGUGCCGCCGGCCCCCUCUUUAAUCCAGUUCUCUCGGGGAUCUGAUAUCAUUUUUUCAGAGGGCGAACAAGUAUCAGCUAGGUCUAGGUUUUGUAUUUUAACAUGCAUAACCCAUGACAUACGGAGACAGUGGUUUCAACUUAUUUUUUGAGGUCCAUACCGGCCUAUGGGCUUUUUCUUAAAGAUCGGCAGCCCAAUGUAUAUUUUAAUAAAAUGCAGGUCUCUGUUCUAUUUAUUUAUAUAUAAGAAUAAUAAUGUUGUGUCCAAUUUAUGUUUUCCCUUCUAACCACAUUAAAUAUAUUUGUAUUAUUACUAUUAUCGUAUAUUUUAUAGAGACUUAUAUGUACAUUAUAAAAACAUCCCACGUGUUAUUAACUUAGAAAAUUAAAUAUUUAACGGAAGUUGGCAAGGAAAUUCCUGGUUGUUUUUGACUCACACGCAAGGAAAAUCCUGGUGAUUGCGUACAAAAGCUUGCAAAGAUUUUAAGGGCCAAUUUAAUAAUAACGCGCUCAUUUUUAUUUUGAGCAAUAACUCGCUAAUUUGUUAAUUAUAUAUAUAUAUAUAUAUGUAUGUAUGUGUAUAUAUAUAUAUAUAUAUAUAUAUAUAUAUAUAUAAUGUGCUUCUCCGGUUUAUUCUUUGAUAUUAAUUGGUCAUUCUAACAUAACAUUAUAUAUAUAACGAGCCCAGCUAAUUUGUGUAUUUCAAGGAAAUGCAAAUGGGAUGGGAUUUCUUAGAAAAUAUAAAUGGGCCUGAUUGACGCGAAAUUAAUUGUUCACCUAGCCCAGCAAAUGGACUGUACAUUCUAGAAAAUGUGGGUUAAAUAUAUGCCACAUUUUUGCAGGCUGACAUGUGGGCCAAUAGGUCGAAGCCUACGCAGGGCGUUGUCAACUUGGUCAACAAAUGAUUGUGACAUCCAUAGCCAUUGGAUUUAUAUCCAACGGCCGGCAUGCACCUUCAAUCUCUCGUCUUCUUCCUCCAGCAUCGCCGGGACCGCCUGGUCCGGCCUCCGGCGGCUAGCGGCUCUGCUUAGCACGCAUCGCUGCGGAGUGCUACCCCACCGCCGGCCAGGCUAUUCCUCCACCCCUUGACACCUCCUGUUAUUCUCCAUAGACUGCAGCCCCACGCCGCAACAGAACCAGUUAUAACCCUUCUCCUCCUCUCAAUCUGCGACUCCACUACCGCGUCUUCCCAUCUCCGAGUCAUUCCCGUCCGGGGCCUCGCCGUCGUCCACCGCCUCGCUGCGCUCGGUGCGGCGUGGUCAACAAACGAGAGUUAUCGGAAAAGGACUGUACAUGGAGAGCCUGACGACUCGGACCCACGAGGUCCAUGGUCGCACGCAAGGAAAGUUCCUCCUUAUUAAGCUGAAAAAAAAUGUUUCCUCCACCUGACAGCUGGGACCCACCGGCUAUAUCUUCGCACGGAAGGAAGUGCCUCCUUGUUUUGCGAAAAAAAUUAUUCAUCCCGUUGACAGCUGGGACCCGUCAGAUUUGGUGGCUGACUUGUGGGCCUACUAAGCGGACAUGUACGCACGGCUUUGUCAACUUAAUCAACAAAUGAUUCUAGCAGCUGGACCGUUGGAUGUUAAUCAAACAGUCGUGCUCCAUCUGCAACCUCUGUUCUUGCUCCUGUCUCCCAUGGGCGGCACGGCGGUUGUGCUGCUGCGCACCCGAACCAGUCAAGUUUUCCACUCCUCUCCAUCUACGACUCCACUGCCCCGUCUUCCCCAUCUCCGGGUCGUUCCAGUCUGGGGCCUCGCCAUCAUCCACCGGCCUUGGUGCGCUCGGCACGGUGUGGUCAACGUGGUCAACAACUGAGAGUCAUCGGAAGAUGACUGUACGUGAGAGGCUGACAGUGGGGACGCACCACGCCCAUGGAUCAUGCUUGCAACGAAACGCGGCGUGGUCAACGUGGUCAAGGAACGACUUCCAUUGGAAGUAUACUGUACGUGGAGAGGCUGACAGCUGGGUCCACGGCCGCAGCAAGGAAGUGCCUCCUUAUUACAUGGAAAAUAAUGAUUCCUCCACCUGACAGCAGGGACCCACUGGACGGGCCAUCGUAUUUUGCAAAAAAAAAACGUUUCCCCCUGACUGCUGGGACCCACCUGACGGGCCACCGUAUUUCACGAAAAAAAUGUUCCCCCCGCUAUCAGCUCGUACCCACCGGAAGUGCCUCCUUAUUAAGCAGAAAAAAUGAAUAUUCCCCCUGCUAGCUGGGACCCACCUUGGUGGGAGGCUGACUUGUGGGCCCACUAAGUUGACGGGGACGGAGGGCUUUGUCAACUUAGUCAAUAUGAAUGAUUCUAGCUGCAGUGACCGUACGAUGUCCAUCCAAUGGCCAUCAUGCUUCUUCAACCUCUGGUCUUCUUGCUCCAGCCGCCCAAAGCAGCGCCGGUUGUGUCACCUGCUCCUGCCUCUUGUGGUCGGCUGUGAUGCCGUGGAGGCCUCACCACCCCCUAUUACUCCCGCCGCUGGACAGGCCAUCCCUCCACUCACCCACACCCCCUGUUAUUUUGCGGCGACGGCAGCCUCACACCGCAGCCGAACGAGUGAACCAUCAUACUCCUCUACGCGUUGGCAUCCACUACCGCGUCUUCCCCGGCUCCGCGUCGUCCCCUUCCUAGGCCUCGCUGUCGUCCAUCGCCGUGGUGCUCUCAGCGCGGCGUGGUCAAUGUGGUUAAUGACCGACUUCCAUCAGAAGAGUACUGUGAGAGGCUGACAGUUGGGUCCACGGCAGCUGCAAGGAAGUGCCUCCUUAUUACGCACAAAAUAAUUAUUCCUCCACCUGACAACAGGGACCCACCGGACGGGCCACCGUAUUUCGCAAAAAAACAACGUUUCCCCCUGACUGCUGGGACCCACCAGCUACACCUUCGCACGGAAGGAAGUGCGUCCGGGCAAAAAAACGAUUCGCCCCCCUGACUGCUAGGACCCACCAGCUACAUCUUCACACGCAAGGAAGUGCGUCCAAAAAAAUGAUUCGCCCCCCUGACUGCUGGGACCCACCAGCUACAUCUUCGCGCGCAAGGAAGUGCUUGACAGUCGGGACCCACCUGGUCGAAGCCUACAUAGCGUUGUCAUUCUGGUCGCGAACUUGUACGUACAUAUAUACUGGUCGAUGUAGAGGCGCGCACGUGUCGUAGUGGAGGCGCGCAUGUGUCGUAGUAGAGGCGCGCACAUAGCAUGUACACAUACGUACAGCGGCCAGUGUGCAAGAAAGAAAAUACGGCCACGUAUGUGUACAUAUGGGCGGGGUCUUGAACGCCUACUCGCGCAUAUGUACGGCUAGGGCUCGUAUACAUGGCUGGGUCAGAACGGAGAAACAACGUCGUCGUCGUGUUCAUGGGGAGCCAACCGAAUGGGUGGGAACGGAAUGCAUCGUCGUGUUCAUCGGGGGGGCUUGGACGGAACAGGCGAUGGAAACGAGGCCUGGCAUACCACAGAACGGAGGAAACGGCCUUGUGUUCGACCGGUCACGUUCGAAACGGGAUCCUGUUCAUCGGGAGGGGUCUGGCGCACCGCAAAACGGAGGAAAUGGACCUCCUACGGUCGAAACAGGGGUCCUGUUGAUCGCGAGGGCUGUGGUGUACCGCAAAAUGGACAAAACGGACUUGUGUUGGAGCGCUACGGUCGAAACGGGGGUCCUGCUCAUCGGGAGGUGUGUGGUGUACCGCAAAACGGGACUCCACGGGAUACUGUUCAUCUCCACCGUCGACCUCCUCCCGUCUCCACAGGCUACCGUCGACCUCCUCCAGCCUCCACGGGCUCCUGUUCAUCCAGCCUCCACGGGCACCCCUCCAUCGUCUACUGUUCAACCACCCCUCCACGGGCACCCCUCCUCCGCCUACUAUUCAUCCAGCCCUCCACGGGGUCCUGUUCAUCCAGCCCCAACUGGCUCGAUCGAUCGGGGUCCUGUUCAUCUAGAGGCAACGCCAUGGGGUCAUGUUCAUCCACCCCCACCGCUCACUGUUCAUCCAGAGAGGCAGCAUCGACCGGCUUCAGUUAGAAGUAGUAGCGAAGGAAUCGCUCGAUCGGGUUCAGUUAGCAGCCAUCGAUCGAUCGCUUGGGUUCAGUAACGCGUAGCCUGCAGUGCAAUCGCUCAGGUUCAGUUAGAGCCCAACGCCUCGCUCGGGUUAAGUUAGAGCCAACGCCUCGCACACACGCGCGUACGUGUACGAGAGAAACGCGCAUCGCUCGGCCCCCGACCACCCACCGUAACCGGGAACUCCCCGAAAUUUUCCUCGCCCUUGCUUCUACCACGGUUUUUUCUGUCAUGUACGGCCCAAAGAAUGUCAUGCAGCUGCGUCUCCGGCCCGUCCAGGACGAAAAGCCCAUUUUUUGUCAUGAUUUUUUUUCGUAGAAGUAGGAGCCCAUCAUAUCUAUGAUGAUACGGGGUUUUGUCACAAUUAUCGUCAUAGAAGUGUCAUAAGUAUGACAGAAAAAAAAUUCGUUCGGCCCAAAAUGUCACGGAUGUGUCUUUUUUUGUAGUGGCAUCGACGUUAUGGGCAACUAGCCAACACUACUCGGCAAGCUGACAAAGCUGAAACCCCACUAUAUUUGUCCGAAGAAGAAGCUGUUGAGACUAGCAACAAAAACAAGAGGCACAGGAGCAAUAGCCCUCAUGAAACAAGAAGAGGAAUUGUCAGUGUUAAACCGGUCAAGCUCAACAUACCUUAAUUUGCUGGAGAAGAUACUCAACACUGGAUACAAACAAUUGAACAACACUUUGACACUGCUAGAACACCUCUUGAGCAAAGAGCUGAAUUUGAUGCCUCUUAUCUGGAAGAAACUAUAGUCCAAUGGUGCAGAGGCACAACCUUUAAUGAUCAAACUCAUACUUGGCACGGAUUCUGCAGAUAUCUAGGAGACAGAUUUGCAGAAAGUUCUAUUUGUGAUAGUGUGAAGAAUGUUCAUGCCAUGCAAAUUGGAAUAGUGAGAGAGUACAUUGAGAAAUUUGAAAUAGCUCUAAAACUAAUGAGAAGGGACAACCACGGAUUACAUGAUCAUUAUUAUAAGAACUGCCAUGUUCUGUACUAAAAUGUGGUGCCAAGUGCAUAUCAAAGACCAUGCCACCAGAGUCCAAUCCAAAGACCAGAUCUUUGAGGGCCACCGUCUUCUUGAUUGCUUAAUCUCAAGGACUAGCCAUCAACCAUGAGUGAUUACCAACACACAUAAAGAAGUUGUACAUCAAUUUGUGAUGUGGGUGGGGUGAUACUAUAGGAGCUAUGAGGGCACCGAAGGAAACCUAUAUGUGUUUUCGCGUGGUAUUCUUGUAGGGCAUAGGAGAGUUGGACAAUUCGAUCCACUCAUAUGCCACUUGUGUGGUGAAAUCUAGGGCAAUGUCGUCCUGGAUGAAUCGCACGGAGUUGAAAACAGAGAACCUUAGUGGUCCACUCAUCAAGAGUAGCUCUUUGUUCAGUGGUCACUAGUUUCAUUGCUCAUCUAUGGGCUCAUCUUCUUUAUGUUCCUAUGAAUCGAAUUUCCAAUACAUCCCAUUCCCCCGCUAGAUUACGCUCUGUGACAGUUAGUGUCAAUCACCCUACUCAAACUUGGUGCUCACUUCUUGCACUUUGCUAUCCUAUUUCAGCUCCGCUACCAACUAAAGGUGAUCCAGCUACAUUGGUAAUAAGCUAGUUAUUUAUAGGAGGCCAGCUUGUGACCAAAUAUCACAUGCCAACUAUUGUGAUCAUUUAAUUCUACUGAGUGUGGUGUAGUUGUUGAAAUUUAGUAUCAUUGCUUCACCAAACCCAAACUGUUGUAAUCGUUUAAUUUUAGUAUGAGUGGUUUAGUUGUCCACAUUUGUAACACUCAAGACAUAUCCAAAUAUGAGCAACCCUAAGAGGAUUGUUGCUAAUAAACCAUGACAAAGAAGUUAUUUCUAAAGUCAAGGUAUUAUGUUGUUGUAGUGCAAUCCUGCCUGCUUUAGAUUUUAUCGUGCUACCAAUACACCAUUACACCCAUAAAACAACAUUUUAUGUGUGUGCAUCAGAGGUGACAAGUGCAUAAGAAAGACAAUGCCACCAAAGUCCAUGCCAAAGCUCCGACCUUAGAAGGCCACAAUUAUCUUGACCGCUACAUCGCAAUGACAACCACGGGUAACCACCAACACGCCAAAAAAAUUGUUGGAUCAAUUGGAGACAAGGAGAUGUGGUUUGGGUGACACCUAUCCAGAAUUAUAGGCCCAUUUUGCAUCACUAUUAAUUAGUAUAAAUUGCUCAUUAUAAAUGAUAUUUUGCACAUUAUCACAUCUAUCUAUGUCUUUUUUCUAUAAAUUUGCAUGUUGUACCGUAGGAGGGAAUCAUGUCAAAAGGCUGCAGGAAAGCGGCAAAACAAGGAUUUGCGAGAAAAAAACUCAAUUUUUUGAAGACCAAAAAAUAAUAUAAAAAUAGUCUGGGAGCUUUCAUGUGGGAAGAGAGCCAAGUGUCCCUGGCCCCACAACACGAUCCCAGCUUGAUGUUGCGUGGGGCCCAUAGUGCACCUCCCGGCUGCCUUUUGGCACCCCUGGUCCUAUUUACCCCAAAAAAACCUAGACCUAUGUUAGAUGAGUUUUUUGCCGCCAUCCUCAAGGCGGAAACGAGAUAGAGCACUUUCUUGCUCCCCGGAGGGCUCUUUCUCCGGGAUNNNNNNNNNNNNNNNNNNNNNNNNNNNNNNNNNNNNNNNNNNNNNNNNNNNNNNNNNNNNNNNNNNNNNNNNNNNNNNNNNNNNNNNNNNNNNNNNNNNNNNNNNNNNNNNNNNNNNNNNNNNNNNNNNNNNNNNNNNNNNNNNNNNNNNNNNNNNNNNNNNNNNNNNNNNNNNNNNNNNNNNNNNNNNNNNNNNNNNNNNNNNNNNNNNNNNNNNNNNNNNNNNNNNNNNNNNNNNNNNNNNNNNNNNNNNNNNNNNNNNNNNNNNNNNNNNNNNNGCCAUCUACAUCGCAAGCGCUCCAUUCAUCGUGGGGAUCAUCAUCACUAGCACCCACAUCACCGUCAUCCUCUCAAAUCCUAGACUUCAAUCCAUGAACUAUUCUUUCAGAUUAGUUGUUAUGAUCACUUCCUGCUAUUAAUUGCUUCUCAUUGCUUGAUGUUUACUGAUUUGCUGGUAAAGAUUUGUUUGUUUAUCAUAUCCUUAGCAAACUGAGCAUGAUCUAUAUGAUGUCUCAUAAGUAGUCCCUUUAUGUUGUGUUAUAAUUCUCUAGUGGUGAUGUGCGAACAUUGACUACAUAUUACUUCACCUUGAUGAGCCUAGAGGAGAGCAUUAUGUGAUAAGUUUGCCUGGAUGGAUGGUCGGAGUGACAAAUAUUGUAGUGCCCCAAGUUUUUGAAUUAUUGCAUAAGGAGUAAUUGAGGACCCUUAAGUUCAAUGAUAUGGCUAGAUGUUAUCUUAACUAUUCACUUGUAUUUAGGGAUGCUUGCAUUCAGGGUAUAAUCACAAGGAUCACAUCACUUAUCAAAAGUAACGAAACUUAAUGUCAAUGGAACUAGGUGAACACAACUUGGCGAAAUUCUUGCUGUCCGCGAAAACGAUUUGAUCCACAUAAGUAAUUUCACCGGUUUGUUCUUAGCUCACGCCACUGUUGUGGCCUUCUUUUACUUUCAGUUAAACUUUUCCUUUAUAUAGGCCUCGGAUCCCUUAUGCAGAGGCAGAGCAUCGAAUGUAAACGUGUUGUAAACCCUACGAGAUAUUCUUGCUGUUGGGCCGAUACAAACUGUGGGUUUGAUAUUCUUGGGCGUCAGUACUACUUUGGGCUGUGGCUCUAAAAAGAACUACUUUGGGUCAUUGGGAGUUGGACUGUCGUCUCUUUUUCUUCUUUCUUGGAAAUAAAACCAGCGUCAUCUCGCGUCCUUAUUCCUUCCCCUUCUUCCUCUUUUCACGUCCCCGCAUUGUCCCCUAAACCCUACCAGAUCAGUAGCACUUACGGUGGCGGCAGAGGAGAGUCGCAGCUCCCCCAUCGCCCGGAGCAGGUCUACCAUGUCGGCCGCCGCCGGCAAGCCAUCCCGGUCUGCCUCUGCCAUCAUUGCCUCCACAGCGAGCGGGUACCACCUCCUCAAGAUCGAUGGCUACUCCCGCACCAAGGGCAUCCCCACCGGAGAAAGGAUAAAGUCCCGCCCUUUCACCCUUGGAGGACAUCGAUGGUACAUCGUUUACCAUCCCAACGGCUCCGGACAACAGUACGCAGACUGCAUAUCCCUGUUCCUCGUUCUCGAUGAAGAUGUCACCACGGCAGUGAAGGCGCAACACAAAUUCAGUUUCGCGGAUGAGUUGACGGACCAAGCUCCUUCAUUUGCAUCAGUAGCAGUACACAACCACAAUUCUCAGCAGCGCUGGGGGAAUGCGAUGUUCAUGAAAAGGGCAGACUUGGAGAAGUCGAAGCAUCUCAAGGACGAUUGUUUCACCAUCAGGUGCGAUAUCGUUGUCAUCAGCGACUACCGCGCAGAGGAUUUGCCCGAAGAGACUCCUCCAGCAUUUGUCACUGUGGCCCCAUCUGACCUGCACCAACACCUCGGAGAUCUCCUCAACACUGAGAAGGGUGCCGACGUAGUCUUCGAGGUUGGUGGUCACACGUUCGCAGCACACCGCUGUGUGCUCGCUGCCCGAUCACCAUUCUUCAGUGCUGAGCUCUUUGGCGGUAUGGAGGGCGACACCGCAGGUGUGGUGCGCAUAGAUGAAAUGGAGGCGCAGGUGUUCAAGGCGUUGCUCUGUUUUGCGUAUACCGACUCCUUACCGGUGACACUAAAGGAAGAUGAAGAUGUCGUGUGUCAGCAUCUGCUUGUUGCGGCCGACAGGUAUAACAUGGAGAGGCUGAAGAGUAUUUGCGAGGAAAAGCUAUGCAAGUACAUCAACGCAGGCACAAUAACAAACAUCCUGACAUUAGCUGAGCAGCACCACUGUGAGGGCCUAAAGAAGGCAUGCUUAAGUUUUCUUAGCUCCCCGGCAAAUCUUAGGGCUCUGUUGGACAGCGACGGCUUCGAUCAUCUGAGCAGGAGCUACCCUUCUGUUAUUAAGAAUCUGAUUGCCAUGUCAGCCCUUGUUUAGUGGUAAAUGUUGCGUUAGCAAUUAUAUAGUUCCAGGGAUUGAAAUGGUUUUCUUGUACUAGCAAUGGUGCUUAGCUCCCUGGUUUGGUUUGAAGACUUAUUAUCCGCGGUUAUCUUAGAUUCCUAGUAUUAUCAGACUACCUAUCCUAACUUUCGAAAAAGAUGGAAACUAGUAUUAUCUAUUAUGGCACUGUCAUUUUGUUUGUGUUUUGGUGUUUCCUUGCAUGUCUGAAUCUUUAUCAGUUUAUCAGGAAGUACUUGGAUAUCAGGUAGCAGUCCAUGAAUUAUAUGGAUCUGUGAUUCGGUAGUUAUCUUACUACUGGGAAGCAUCUAUCAAAGAACAUUGAUCAGUGCAUCUCUGAUCAGGAGUUGCCUCUAUCACGAGGGAUUAUUUGCCACACAUCUAUUCUAAAGUUAUGACCAUGUUUACAAUUAUUUAAUUCACGAUGCUCAUUUGCCAAUGAUAGUAUUUGACAUCUUUUACAUUUUCCAAUUAGGAUUUUUUCCUGGCAUAUUACUAAAUUUAUCCUAAAUGCACGCAGAACUAUGCUUAUGUUUGCCUCUGUUAUGUUAGUGCGUUGCUAUGUGCUCCUUUUCCCAUUAUUUAGCAAUAACUUUGUUAUCAAGUAGCCAUAUUGACUGAUAUUCACCAGGCUUGCAAUUUCUCUGGAUGCCUACUGUUUUUCUUUUCAUCGAAUGCUUUGGAUGCCUACUGCAAAUCGGGUUUCGAAUAAAUCUCAGUCCUCGACUCAAAUCCACCAAGGAGUAUUCAGUUACUCGUGCAUCAGGCGUUUGUUCUGAACCUUCUUUCCUGUAUUCUAUAGAGAGCAAAUUCAUGAAUUUCCAGUUACUGUGUAAAGGUACAGGCUUCCCUCUUUCCAUUCCAUGCAAAGUUGCAAGGAUGAUCCGAUAUUUUUCUUUCGGUCAAAUUAAGCAAUUCUUGUGUAUCUUAUUGUAGCUUGUAAGAUUUACUGAUUUAGGAUCCUCGAAUUGCACCACCUUGUCCAGGAUCUGGCUGAGUUAGGCACGACUAGACACCUUAAAAUGUUGUAAAUGUGCAAAAGAAAUCAGUUCUUUUUUCUUGAUUUUUCAGCUCCAAGUUCGGUUUUGUUGUUCCCGUUGAAAUGCACUAGCUGCAGAGCUGUUCCCGUUAUGCUAAGUGGAGUCGGGCUAUAAGCAGUAAUCCUCUAGCUGCCAUCUAUCUGCACAGUCCACACUCAUAUGUAUUUCCUGUAAACAGGGUUGGUUAGUUUUUUUGACAGCUGGGUUAGUUAGUUUGUGUUAGAAACAAUGGUGAUUAAGUAUUCUUCUUAUGGGUCAAGUAUCCUAUUGUUUGUAGCUUGUAAGAUUUUGGAUCCUCGAUUUGCACCACGAUGUUAUAGGACGUGGCUGAGUUCAGAUAUUGUAUGCAAUCUUUGCUUCCUGCACUAUAACUAUAAGUUAGGCAGGAUUAAACUCAUUAAAUUGUUUUUAACAUGCAAAAGAAGUCUGUUCUUUCUUGGUGUUUCUGCUCCAGGUUCAGUUUUGUAUUAGAAUCAGUGAGCGUCUAAUCCUGUUGAACUCACUGCUAUUUUAAAAUGCACGAUGUGUUUGUUAAUUAGCUCAUAGUUUUAGCUGUUUGUUCUUCUUUAGUUGUUCUGCCUAUUCUGACAACAGCCUCGAGUCCUUGGAUCUCCACCGUGUGGCUGGAUGAUGACGCGAAGCCGUACGGUGGCUAAAUAAGUCACCGGUUGGAUGUUGUCCGAUCUGCAUCCGUCGGCUGAGAUUCAACCACUUGUUGACGGCCUUUUACUGUAUUGGCUCACCUCGCUGUUGUGGCCUUCUUUUACUUCCAGAUAAGCUUUUCCUUUAUAUAGGCAUCGGAUCCCUUCUGGAGAGGCAUCGAAUGUAAAUGGAUUGUAAACCCUAGCCGCCACUGCAGAGUGCAGAUCCAUCUGAAUUCGAGGCUAGUUUCCUCUGAAUUCUAUGUGUUUGUUGUUUUUAAGUUAGUGAGAGGCUAUCAAUUGCUAUUAGUAGCCAACUGUGCUCGGUGGCGUGUUGGAUUGUGGCAAGGUGUGGUUCGGCUAGCCGGUAAAACCCUCGCACCUUGACCCACGAUUCCGGGGGCGGUGACACAAUUGGUGGCGCAGGCGACGGUAGAAUGCUUGAGUGUAGGUUAGGAGGCGGCGUGGUUAUUGAAGAACGCUUCUUCGGCUGUAAAAUCCCACCCACCCUCCCUCUACGGUGCAUUGCAGCGAAGGGUAUUUGCAUUGGUGUUCAACGCGGGAUGGAUUUGGUUGUGCAGGUACGGUUACCACUUGGUGGUUGUAAAAUUCCCUCCUUACCCUCCCAGAUCUUGUUCAUUAGGUGAGAAAGAGCUCUGAAACUAAUGAGAAGGGACAACCCCAGCUUACCUGAUCAUUAUUAUAAGAACUGCCACAUUCUGUACUAAAAUGUGGUGCCAAGUGCAUAACAAAGAGCAUGCCACUAGACUCCAAUCCAAAGACCAGACCUUUGAGGGCCACCGUCUUCUUGAUUGUUCCAUCUCAAGGAUUGGGCAUCAACCAUGAGUGAUUACAAACACACAUAAAGAAGUUGUGGGUCAAUUUGUGAUGUGGGUGGGGUGAUACUAUAGGAGCUGUGAGAAUGCCAAAGGAAACCUAUAUGCAUUGUCGCGCGGUAUUCAUGUACGACAUAGGAGAGUUGGACAAUUCGAUCCACUCAUAUGCCACUUGUGUGGUGAAAUCUAGGGCAAUGUGGUAUUGGCUUAAUCGCACGGAGCUGAAAGCAUAGAGCCUUAAUGGUCCGCUCAUCAAGAGUAGCUCUUUGUUCAGUUGUCGCUAGUUUCAUUGCUCAUCUAAGGGCCAAUCUUCUUUAUGUUCCUAUGAAUCGAAUUUCCAAUACAUCCCAUUCCCCCACUAGAUUACGCUAUGUGACAGUUAGUGUCAAUCACCCUACUCAAACUUGGUGUUCACUUCUUGCACUUUGCUAUCCUAUUUCAGCUCCCCUACCAACUAAAGGUGAUCUAGCUACAUGGGUAAUAAGCUAGUUAUUUAUAGGACGUCAGCUUGUGACCAACGAUGCAUGUGGCCAUCACAUGAUCAUUGCUUCACCAAACAUCACAUGCCAAUUGUUGUGAUCACUUAAUUCUAUUGAGUGUGGUGUAGUUGUUGAAAUUUAGCAUCAUUGGUUCACCCAACCCAAACUGUUGUGGACGUUUAAUUCUACUGUGAGUGGUGUAGUUGUCCACAUUUUUAACACUCAAAAGAAGUUAUUUAUAAAGUCCAAUAUCUAUAAGGGCAACUCAGAUCAACCAGCCCAUUUGGUCUGUUUGGGUAUGUGAGCGAAAAAAAUGACCUGACAUGUGGACGCAAACUAAAAAAAAUUGUCUGUCACGUGUACAUGUGGACGCAAAUCUAUCCCAAAUUUCGGUUCGAUUUGCGUCCACACGGACACGAGAUGGACGCGUCGUGUCCUGCUCGAUGUCCGGCUCGGGCCCACGCGUUGGCCCCCCAACUACCUCCCACCGGUCCUAUUUAAUUUCACGCAUGCGGGAGGGCCCACACGUCAACCACAGAAACCAGUCCACGGGCGUUCAUUUUGAUGCCACGUGUGUGGUGGGGGCCGCCAAGUCCACUUCCUCCCUUCCUCUUCUUCCUCUUGCCCCCUAGCCGUUCGACACCAACUCUAGUCGCCGCCCACCAUGAAGCAUGGCAAGCAUGACCACAAGGCUGGCUCCUCAUCGAUGCGCCGCCGCGCAGUCAACUUCACCAUGGCACCGCGGCCACGCCUUCGCUUCUACAUGCCUGUCCACCACGGAGCACCGCGACUUGGGCAUGGUGGAUGGGGAGAGGAUGUGAAGUUCAGAUAUCACGCAACGAAGAUGUGGUUGGGCGCAUAGAGGAGGGCUUCAUAGAUAUGCGACGUGGACGGCUCCAGAGCACGGCUUAAAUAGUGUGUGGCGGUUGGAGUAGGCUUAUCGGUCACCGUGUUUGCACUGAAACAACGCCGCCUGCUCGUCCGGUCGCGUUGGUCUGACCGACAUCAAUGCCACGGAGUCAUGUCCGCAUUGGGACGACGCAGACCGACAUGAACGCGCGGCAAUGCUUCCUGCGGAGAGGGUUUUUGAGCGGGCGGGUUUGGGUGGGACCGUAGUUACUCGGAAAUUUAUAUUGAAAACUAGUUUGAUUUAUUUUGACAUUCGAAACCAUUUGACAGUUCAACGUGCACAGGAGCACAUGGGUAGGCAAUCUGCAGACGAAGACCAUGCGCAAGGUCUCUAGUGUAGGAUGCAGGCCUACGCACGGUCUCGUCCCAUCACCGUUGCCUAUGGUACUAAUGGUAGAAUUAACUCUUGACUAGGGGAACCGGUGGAACCCAAAGCCAAUAAGGCUAGUUCCAAUGCAUUGGUGCUUACAUGAGAUGCUAAGUACAUUAAAAACUUUAGCAACUAAAGCCCCCAAUGCAUAGGUGCUUAAAUUAUUGGUGCUAAGCAUCCUUCAUUUAAUGAUUUUGCAAUUAAAGUUCUUCAUGCAUUGGUGGGAUCCUUUCAAUUUAAGUGUCUUGCCUAGGUUCUCGCGCUUGGCAUUGUUUCUUUUUGGGGUCAUCACACUCAUCUCUCUCCUCUUAAUUACCUUGUCACAUCAGACUUUUUAUCUACAUGACAACCUUAGCACCUGUACAAUGGCGGGCUCUGCCUCCCCACCCCCCAAACCGCAAUCUCACCCCACUUCCCUCCCAAUCCCCACAUUCCCACCCCUGAGCGCAAAUGGUGUUGUCGGUGUCGAGGAAGCACAAGGUGAACUGCCCGCAGAACGAGGAGGUCGCGGCCUGGCUCUUCUUGAAGCACCGGGCCAUGGCGGAGCAGUAGCCGGGCGGCCUCCCGGAGCACCAGGGCCACGCGCUCUUCGCCGCCUACCGCUGUGUCUGCGCCACCAACGUGCCCAUCUAGACCUUCGGCGACCUGGCGGUCUCAGACUCUCAGGUGCGCAUUUCCCGGCCUCUUUCAAACUGUUUCCGUUUACGACGCUAUUAGGAUGAGGCAAAGGUUUUGGUCGGUUCGGUUCCGGGCUCGCGCGCUUCGGAUCUGAGCAGUGCAUUCGAUCUGCAUAACUUUUGUGACUGUAGAAUCAUACUCCCUCCGUUUCUAAAUAUAAGCUUUUUAGAUAUUCCAAUAUAGACUACACACGAAACAAAAUGAGUGAAUCUACAUUCUAAAAAGACUUAUAUUUAGAAACGGAGGAGUAGGUUUCAGCUCCAUCGUGUGUCCAUUUGCUCUGCUGCAACCGUUGAUUUGCUGCCGGUGUAUGCUGAAAUCAAUUUAGGCCAUUACUUGUCAUUUUUGUCUGGCGAACUGUACUCAUAUCACCUCUAAGCUGCCAUUCGAAUUGGGAUUUGCCUGUAUGUAGAUAAUCUUUUGUUUCUCUUGUGUGUGUUGAAUUGAGUGAUGAAAAUCACACAUCUCUACUAUUAAUAGACGAGUUGGUUGAAUAGUCCCAUCACUUUCGUCUGUUUUUUUGUCUGUUUUUUUGUCUCCUCACCCCCGCACCCACCCCACCCUCACGCACGCACCCAAAAAUCCCGCCCUCCUCCAUCUCUCGACCCACACCAGAUAGGGUUUCUGUCCGCCGCCGCCGCUCCCCUUCGGGCAUCGUCGCCUUCUCUUCAGUGCUUGAGCUCUCGCCCCUUUCGCUCGCCAGUCGCCUGUGCCCCGAGCCCCCACUGCCCCGACCUUGCACUACCAGAAUAACUGGCGAUGCCGAUGGCCGAACCUAUGCCGACGGCCCCCGUCGGCAUAGAUAGGCCUAUCCCGAAGGCCCAGCCCAGGCCGUCGGCAUAUAAAAGCCGUCGGCGUAUAUCAAUCUAUGCCGACGGCCCCCGUCGGCAAAGCUUAGCCGUCGGCGUCGAUAGAAAUAUGCCUACGGUGGCCGUCGGCAUAGAGGAGGCCGUCGGCAUAGCACGUGGGCCCGGCUACCCGGACGGAGAUGGCCUUUUGACGGCGUCAAUCUACGCCGACAGGCUAACAGCGGCCGUCGGCAUAGACACCACGUCAUCGAUCCGCGUCGCCCGCCACGUCAUCGAUCUGCGUCGCUCGCCUGUCCGUGGGGUGGCAAAUCUAUGUCGACGGCCUGGUCGUCGGCAUAGGUCUGGCCCAUGGAUGUUGCCACAUCAUCGAUCCGCGCCCUUGGGCACGUCAUCGAUCCGUGGCCGUGUGCGCAGGUAUGCCGAUGGCCUUGCCGUCGGCAUAUCUCUAUUUUUUUUCUUAUUUUUUUUAUUUUUUUAUUUACUUUUCCCUGUUUUUUCACAACAUAAAUGUGCCUUAUCUAACAAAAAAAACAUACCCAGAUGGUAUAUCGAUUGCCCCCCUCACGGACGUUGCUGCCGCCGCUCCGUGCCCCACAGCGACGCCGGAGAUGGGGGGCACACCCCGGAGCUGCGUGUCGGGUGCCUGCGCUAGCCACCACGCUUCCACAACCGUAGGAGGGCCCAAAGCAACACCUAGCGGCAUUGCUACCCCCCAGCUACACCCUCCCGUCUAACCGGGCCCUCAUACAUGCGGGGCGGUGUGGUGCCAUGUCUAAAGAGGCGGGACGGGGGCCGUGGGGGAUAGCAAUACCAGCGGAGCGUCGCACCGGCCCCUCAUACAUGCGGGGUGGUGUGGUGCCAUGUCCAAAUUAGAGGCGGCACGCGUCUCCGGGGUGUGCCCCCUCACACGGACGACGCCGCCGCCGGCACUUGAAGGGGGGAAACGGACGCGUCGGGUCUACACGGAGGGGAUCUUACUGUGGGUUUGGCCCGGAUGUUGCUCUAAAAUGUUCGUAUGGGCUGACCUAACACGACCGGGUGGAUAGUUCCACUGGUUAAAACCCGUCCNNNNNNNNNNNNNNNNNNNNNNNNNNNNNNNNNNNNNNNNNNNNNNNNNNNNNNNNNNNNNNNNNNNNNNNNNNNNNNNNNNNNNNNNNNNNNNNNNNNNNNNNNNNNNNNNNNNNNNNNNNNNNNNNNNNNNNNNNNNNNNNNNNNNNNNNNNNNNNNNNNNNNNNNNNNNNNNNNNNNNNNNNNNNNNNNNNNNNNNNNNNNNNNNNNNNNNNNNNNNNNNNNNNNNNNNNNNNNNNNNNNNNNNNNNNNNNNNNNNNNNNNNNNNNNNNNNNNNNNNNNNNNNNNNNNNNNNNNNNNNNNNNNNNNNNNNNNNNNNNNNNNNNNNNNNNNNNNNNNNNNNNNNNNNNNNNNNNNNNNNNNNNNNNNNGCCACCCGAAUGUCGCACCGGGCAUAGGGUGCGAUUCCGGUAGUGUUGGAGGAGGCUGCGGUCGCUGGAUCCAGCGAUUGCCAUCACCAACGCCAUCAUCUCCAUAGCCGCAGGCCCAGGUUGGAUUCAGCCGGCAUGCCGGUCGAGCGCACAGCCCUAACCUCCUGCUGCUAUAUUAGAUGCCUAGGGGAGGGGGAGCGGGACUGGAGCUCGAUUUGACGACGAGCUAGACAGGGGCGGUUUGUGGCGCCCGUGCGCGUCGAAGAUCAGGCGGUGGCCGCGUCCUGCAUCAAUGGCGCGACGAUGAAUCAGAGGGAAGAUGGGAGAGAGGAGGAGAUGGGAGGAGGAAGGAAGGAACCGGGGAGGGACUCACCGACGCGGUGGCGCUUGCCGGAGGCUGGCUGGCGGUGGGGUCACACGGCAGCGGCGGCACGCGUGUGGCGCCCUCCCUAGCAGCGCAAGCAGGAAGGAGGAGGUGCACGGGAGGCGUAGGCGCUACGGUGAGAUGGGCUUCAUAUGUGCAGCGGGCCCUAGACGCUGUUGGUGGCUUGGGGGAGCUGACCUAGACGUCAAUUUCUACUUCACGUACAACAACGUUCUGCAUCAGAGAAGGUUUGUGAUGCAAAUGACUACUCCUUUACUAUUUUUUAUUAGUUUCAACUGUAUUGGUUGGAUUAGCGAGUGAAUUGCAGAAAAACACCACAUUUCAUCUUAGGUUUGCAGAAAACACUCUUCUACGUUUUUGCUGCAGAAAACACUGAUUUUUUCCUAAUCAUUUGCAGAAAGCACCAAACCUCCUGUUCGGGCAGUUUAAGCACUAUUAUGACAUAUGGGACCCUGUCUUGUCGACGUGGCUCACGGCCGCGAGCUGACGCUGUCUAACGGCGCUACAAUGCCCACCGACGCCCCCGCUAGGUCAAGAGACCAGAUCGAAUCGACACUUCUCCCCCAUCUGAAAAUUUCCCCACCAUCUCCGCGGCGGCACGCUCUCCUCUCUCUCUGUCUCAUUCAUGGCAACGGCGAGCCCGGACGACGGCGACGGAGUGGAUGGCGGAGGUGGCGACGGCGCAAGAGGGUUGUUUGGCGGCGGAGAUCCAAAGCCACCCGAGGAGGUCUACGGUAGUUCUAACCCUAGCCAGGCCCCGUGGAGCAGACCACCGUCCCCGUCACUGGAGUACCAUGCCGCCGGCGCUCUGGCCCGUGCUGUGCAGGCUACUCCGACGGGGAGCCACCACUGGGCAUCUGCAUUCGGCGGUGUGGAGUAAGAUAUCUCCUCUGCCUCCCCCAGCCCCUAAUUUUCUGUCGAUUCCAUAAUUAGGGUUAGGUGUGUAAAUAAAAAAUGGAUCUUUUGCCUAGUACUAAGUGUUCAUCUGCUCUCUAAAUUAGAUUGUAGUGAUAUUAGUAUACUCUGUUUAGGAGAUAAUAUAGUGAUAAUUUUUGUGAUUUUAAUUGCUAUUUGGGUUAGGAUGCACUGUUUAUUUAGUAGACAUUAGGGUCACAGUUAGCUCUUAUUGAAAUUGGUAUGCAUAGUAUAUUUUAAAUUGGUCACUUGUAUUGUUUGUAGUUAGUGUUAUAUUGUUUAAUUAAUAAGUACAAGAAUUGUUCCUUUUGUAGCUUGUAUGAUGUUUGGGAGGUUAGACUGCACUUUCAUGAUAUGGAUAACUUGGAAAGGACUAUGUGUGUUUCAGACAUCACUUUUUACAAUUUGUUAGCACUCAUAGAGACAGCAGGAUAUGGAAGUAAAGACUAUAUGUAUUAUGUGAGGGAUGCUGGGUUGGGAGUAGCUGGUUUGGAGGAGAUAUGUGAUGAUGACAAGGUGGAUGAGAUGCUGGAUGACAUUGCCAAUAAAGAUCAGAACAUAGUCAACCUGACAAUAGUUAGGGGUAGUGAGCCCAGACCUGCAGAUAUAAACAGAGGUUAUGUUUGUGAUCAGCAAGUUCCUAUAGGCAAUGUUGGAGAGAGCAUUGUAUAUGAGGUGAAUGAUGUUGGGGUGGUGUACAAAUCACCAUCCAAAGUAUCAAAAAGAGACGCAGUAGUUGAGGAGCCUGAACCAAUCCAGUAUUUCUCCACACAGCAGAGCCACAAUGUUGAUAUGGAGCAAGGCAAUGAAGCAGAUGUUGAUAUUGAGCAAGGCAAUGGAGAUGAUGUUGACAUGGAGCAACAGGAGUUAGAAAGAAGUAUGGAGCUUAGAAGGAGAUCAAAAAUGAGAUUUAAGCAACAUCAGAAGAAUGUUGAGAGGGUGCAGGAAGUGAAAAGAAAACUUCCUGUGCUACUAACUGAAGAUGACUCUGACUUGGAGGAAGAUGAGGAUUUCAUGGCUAGGAUGGCUGAGCUAAAGAGGCAGAGAGAGGACCCACUCUUACAUUUUGAAGGUGACACAUAUGUAGAUGAACCUUAUGAGAUACAAGAGGAAGUGCAUGAGGAAAAUGCAGAGAAAGAGGAGCAUGGAGAUCAUGAGGAACUUGAAAAGGAGGUGCUACCACAGGGGCAAAAGAGGAAGAAGUUGAAAGUAAGAAAGGGGCCAACCACAAGAUCACAUGCUAGUUUGGAGCAACAGUUUGAGGAUGUUUGGGUACCAUCAUCUGAUGAGGAUCCAGAUCCUGGUGAUUUGAAGGAGGAGCAAGAUGAUGGGGCUGUACUGAAGGAAAUAUGCCCUAGAGGCAAUAAUAAAGUUAUUAUUUAUUUCCUCAUAUCAUGAUAAAUGUUUAUUAUUCAUGCUAGAAUUGUAUUACCCGGAAACAUAAUACAUGUGUGAAUACAUAGACAAACAUAGUGUCACUAGUAUGCCUCUACUUGACUAGCUCGUGAAUCAAAGAUGGUUAAGUUUCCUAACCAUAGACAUGAGUUGUCAUUUGAUUAACGGGAUCACAUCAUUAGGAGAAUGAUGUGAUUGACUUGAACCAUUCCGUUAGCUUAGCACUUGAUCGUUUAGUAUGUUGCUAUUGCUUUCUUCAUGACUUAUACAUGUUCCUAUGACUAUGAGAUUAUGUAACUCCCGCUUACCGGAGGAACACUUUGUGUGCUACCAAACAUCACAACGUAACUGGGUGAUUAUAAAGGUGCUCUACAGGUGUCUCCGAAGGUACUUGUUGAGUUGACAUAUUUCGAGAUUAGGAUUUGUCACUCCGAUUAUCGGAGAGGUAUCUCUGGGCCCUCUCGGUAAUGCACAUCACUGUAAGCCUUGCAAGAAAUGUAGCUAAUGAGUUAGUUAUGAGAUGAUGCAUUACGUAACGAGUAAAGAGACUUGCCGGUAACGAGAUUGAACUAGGUAUUGAGAUACUGACGAUCGAAUCUUGGGCAAGUAACAUACCGAUGACAAAGGGAACAACGUAUGUUGUUAUGCGGUUUGACCGAUAAAGAUCUUCGUAGAAUAUGUAGGAGCCAAUAUGAGCAUCCAGGUUCCGCUAUUGGUUAUUGACCGGAGACAUGUCUCGGUCAUGUCUACAUAGUUCUCGAACCCGUAGGGUCCGCACGCUUAAAGUAAGAUGACAGUUAUAUUAUGAGUUUAUGUGUUUUGAUGUACCGAAGGUUGUUCGGAGUCCCGGAUAUGAUCAAGGACAUGACGAGGAGUCUCGAAAUGGUCGAGACAUGAAGAUCGAUAUAUUGGACGACUAUAUUUGGACACCGGAAAGGUUCCGGGUGAGAUUGGGACAAUACCGGAGCUCCGGGAGGUUGUCGGAACCCCCCGGGAGUUAUAUGGGCCUUAUUGGGCCUGAGUGGAAAGGAGGGGAAAGGAGCAAGGGAGGGGGCGCCCCCCAAGCCCAAUCCGAAUUGGGAGGGGGCCGGCCUCCCCUUUCCUUCUUCUCCCUUCCCUCUCCCUCUCCUAAUAGGAAAGGGGGGAGUCCUACUCCCGGUGGGAGUUGGACUCCCCCCUAGGGCGCGCCACCCCCCUUGGUCGGCCCCCUCAUCCACUCCUUUAUAUACGGGGGAGGGGGGCACCCCAUAGACACAACAAUUGAUCCUUGAGAUCUCUUAGCCGUGUACGGUGCCCCCUCCACCAUGGUCCUCCUCGAUAAUAUCGUAGCGGUGCUUAGGUGAAGCCCUGCGAUGGUAGAACAUCAUCAUCGUCACCACGCCGUCGUGCUGACGGAACUCUCCCUCGAUACUCGGCUGGAUCGGAGUUCGGGGGACGUCAUCGAGCUGAAUGUGUGCAAGAACUCGAAGGUGUCAUGCUUUCGGUGCUUGAUCGGUCGGGCCAUGAAGACGUACGACUACAUCAACCGCGUUGUGCUAACGCUUCCGCUUACGGUCUAGUAUGUAGACAACACUCUCCCCUCUCGUUGCUGUGCAUCACCAUGAUCUUGCGUGUGCGUAGGAAUUUUUUUGAAAUUACUACGUUCCCCAACAUGUACCCCUAGCAUUUGUGCUAGGCAGUAAGUCUAGGGCUAAAAAACCCAAACCAAGGGUAUGGUAUCAUGAGGAUAGAGAGAGCCCAGAGCUGCAGUUUGCUAAGAAGUUAUGCUUUGAUAAUGUGUACCAAUUUAGAAGGGCACUUCUCACUUUCCACAUAGCACAGAACAAAAACUAUCAGUUUCAUAGGAACUGCAAUGGCAGAAUUAUAGCUGUGUGCACACAUGAAGACUGCCCUUUCUUCAUUGCAGCUUGUGUGGUGGGAAAAGAGAAAACUUUCUGCAUUAGGAAAACUAAUUUGUUGCACACAUGUCCAGCUGUAGCAGAGGGCACCAAGGUGACUACAAAGUGGGUUACACAUGAAGUUUUAGAAGCAAUAAGAACAGACUUGAACACACCAAUAAGUACAAUAAUGCAAAAUCUGAAGAGCAAGUAUGGAGUUGCACUCAUAUGGCCUACAGGGCUAAGAACAAUGCUAUCAAGGUGGUGCAAGGAGAUCAGAGGGGGCAAUACACCAGGAUCAGGGAUUACUUGCAGGCUGUGUUAGACACCAAUCCAGGUAGUAGGUGCAUUGUCACUAUUAAGUUCCUAAAAGACCAUCCAAGCAUCAUUCCAAGGUUCCAUGGUUUGUUCAUAUGUUUGAAUGCUUGCAAGGAGGGAUUUCUAAAUGGAUGUAGACCAUUCAUAGGUGACUACUAAACUGUGUUAUAUAUGACAUAAAUGUGGUGCACCAUACUUUGUUUAUAACAUAUCUUGUGUGCCAUUGCAGGUGUGGAUGGAUGUUUCAUCAAGCUCUCAACUGGCCAACAAAUCCUUGCUGCCAUAGGAAGGGAUGGGAAUAAUAACAUAUAUCCCAUUGCCUUUGGAUUUGUGGACAAAGAAGACACAAAGAGUUGGACCUAGUUUCUCACAGAACUGAAGGCAUCUAUUGGUGGAGAAUCUGUGAGAUUUGGUUUUUACACCAUAAUCUCUGAUAGACAGAAGGUAUUAUAGAAUUUGCUCAUAGAAUUUUCUUAGUAUUAGUAGUUCAUAGUAAUUUCUUACUAGUAGUUCAAAGAAUUUUGAUUAGUACUAGUUAAUAUUCAUUGGUCAUUACUAGUUCAUAUAAGUAUUUCAUAGUAAUUGCUAGAAGUAGUUAAUAUUUUCAUUGCUCAUUAGUAAGUUUGGUAAUUUCCCCAAAUAGGGUCUUCUGAAAGUUGUGAGCCAAGUUUUCCCCAAUUGCCCCCAAAGAUUCUGCCUUAGACACAUCUACCAAAAUUUCCAGACUGCUGGUUUUAGGGGGUCAGAAUUAAAGAAGUACAUGGAUAAGGCAAGUUACUCCUAUACUGAACAUGGCCAUCUUGCUGCAAUGGAUGCUCUUAAAGUAGAGUGUAAGGCUGCUUGGACUUGGUUAAAUAAAAUUGCUAGACAUGCUUGGGCUACAUAUGCCAUGGACUUCAACUGCAAAACUGACCUAGUUGUCAACAAUAUUAUUGUGGUGUUCAACAAGAUGAUAUUAGAUGUGAGGGGUAAACCAAUAAAGAACAUGGUAGAUGGAAUCAGGACUAAGUUGAUGGUCAGGUUCAAUACAAAUAGGAGUAAGACAGAAUUAGACAAGUGGGAAAUAUGCCUAGCAUAUGCUGAGUUACUUGAAGAAGCCAAGAAACACUCUAGGAACUGUCAAGCAUUGAUGGCUGGGCCAAAUAUUUACCAAGUGACAAGCAAUGAGAAUACCUAUGCAGUUAACUUGCAGCAUAGGACAUGUGGGUGCAGAAAAUGGGAUAUGACUGCAGUGCCAUGCAAUCAUGCAGUCUCUGCUAUUACCAAAGCCAAAUUAAGGCCUGAAGAUUUUGUGCAUGACUUCUUCAAAAAUCCCAUGUAUCUGGAUGCAUAUAGUCCCAUCAUAUUUCCUGUACCUGGACCUGACCUCUGGCCUAAGACCAAAACUAGAGACAUAGAACCCCCAGUUUUCAAGGAUAAACCAGGGAAGAAGCAAACCAAAAGGAGAAGGAGUCAGUUUGAGCCACCAGCACCUAAAGAUACAUAUAGGAUGGAAUCAAUUACAUGCAUCAAUUGCAAUCUUGUGGGUCACAGAUACACAUCUUGCCACAAAACACUAAAGCCAGCUCUAGCAAUGAGAAAGAACAGGCAUGAGGUUAGUCUCUAUUGCCAUACUUGCUGCCAUCUAUUUCUGUUUUGUACCACUUGAAUGUAUUAACUUGGUGCCAUUUUCAAAUGUAGUCAAACAGGACAGAGGAUGGUACCACAUCUACUAUUGUAGCUUCAUCUGUUGCAGCUCCAGCAAACAGGGCACCACCAGUGGCAAGCAGCACAUCACCUCCAGCAAGCAGGGCAAGCAGGUCAGCAGCUCCAGUAAGCAGGCCAAGCAGCUCAGCAGCUCCAGCUAGGAGGGCAAGCAGCUCAGCACCUCCAGCAAGCAGGCCAAGCAGCUCAACAACUCCAGCAAGCAGGCCAAGCAGCUGAGCAGCUCCAGCUAGGAGGGCAAGCAGCUCAGCAGCUCCAGCAAGGACAUCCUUCUUGGCACCAAGAUAGAGGAAGAAACCAUCAAGGCUGAAGGAUUACUUUUAUGCUUUAGGGAACUAAUGUGCUUUGGAAAAACUGUUGAUGAUGUGAUCAGGCAAAACUGCUAAUUGCUAUGAUCUAUUUUGGGAACAACUUAUGCCGGUUUGAUGUUAUGGUACUGUAAUAACUACUAUUGAUGGUCUUGAUUUUAUGAGAAUUAUGCACUAUGAUGUUGUUGUUGAUGUUAUCAUGUUCAAUUUGAUGAUCAAUAUGAUGGUCUGUCUGCUACCAUGUUCAAUUUGAUCCAUAUGAUGGUCUUGCUUUUAGGAAAAUUAUACACUUGUUGAUGAUGGUCUUGGUGUUUUGAUAAUUAUACACUUGUUGAUGAUGGUCUUGGUGUUUUGAUAAUUAUACACUUGUUGGUCAAGGUACCCCUAGGGCCAUUUUGUCUAUGAAUCGAUGAAAUGGUGGUCAAGGUACCCCUAGGGCCAUUCUGUCGAUGAAUCAAUGAAAUGGUGGUCAAGGUACCCCUAGGGCCAUUCUGUCGGUGAAUCGAUGAAAUGGUGGUCAAGGUACCCCUAGGGCCAUUCUGUCGAUGAAUCGNNNNNNNNNNNNNNNNNNNNNNNNNNNNNNNNNNNNNNNNNNNNNNNNNNNNNNNNNNNNNNNNNNNNNNNNNNNNNNNNNNNNNNNNNNNNNNNNNNNNNNNNNNNNNNNNNNNNNNNNNNNNNNNNNNNNNNNNNNNNNNNNNNNNNNNNNNNNNNNNNNNNNNNNNNNNNNNNNNNNNNNNNNNNNNNNNNNNNNNNNNNNNNNNNNNNNNNNNNNNNNNNNNNNNNNNNNNNNNNNNNNNNNNNNNNNNNNNNNNNNNNNNNNNNNNNNNNNNNNNNNNNNNNNNNNNNNNNNNNNNNNNNNNNNNNNNNNNNNNNNNNNNNNNNNNNNNNNNNNNNNNNNNNNNNNNNNNNNNNNNNNNNNNUAAGGCCAUUCUGUCGAUGAAUCGAUGAAAUGAGGGUCAAGGUACCCCAAGGGCCAUUCUGUCGAUGAAUCGAUGACAUGAGGGUCAAGGUACCCCUAGGCCUUGUCGAUGAAUCAAUGAAAUGAGGGUGAAGAUACCCCUAGGCCCAUUUUGUCGAUGAAUCGAUGACAUGAGGGUCAAGGUGCCCCUAGGCCUAUUUUGUCAAUGAAUUGGUGACAUGAGGGUGAAGAUACCCCUAGGCCCAUUUUGUCGAUGAAUCGAUGAAAUGGUGGUCAAAUUGGAUCCAACCCCAUUGAUAACAAAAUAGUAAGUUAAGUUACUUGGUUGACAGAUUCAUACUCAAAUACUGAAUAGAUGAUAAUCAUCUAAACCAUAUAAAACCAAAUUGUACUAAGCACAUAAAACAUAUAACAUCAAAUUUGACUCACAUUCAUUAAGGUUCAUCAAGGUUGGAUCCAACACAAUGGAUCACAACAUACAUACUUAAAUUACUGGGUUCACAAAUUCAAACUAAAGUACUAAAUAGAUGAUUAUCAUCUACAUUACAACACUGCUAGAUCCAACACCAUGGAUCACAAAAUAAAUAGUUAAAGUAGUUGAGGACCAAGUUCAUACUAAAGUUUUGCAUGGAAGACUAUCAUCUACAUACAGAUAGAUGAUUAUCAUACUAGAAGACACUCCUACUCAUCUAAGAUGGCCUUCACCCCUUGAAGCUUCUGUUUUAUCUUCUCCUCAGACUUUUGAAGCUCAGAAAUGUGAUGCUGCAAUUUAAGCCUCUCUUCUGUCAGCCUUUCCUUCUCCUUCAAAUGAUUGAACUUCAAGUUCCUAAUCACAUUGGCUUGAGCACCUGUCGGGUUCACUGGAGUCUCAUACUUUUGCAGCAACUUCUUCUUCUCCUCCUCUUGCUUUGACAGCUCUGCCUUCAAGUUGCCCAUUACAGUUUCUAGCUCAGCAAUCUUCAAAUCAACAUAUUCCUUCUGCUCCUUCUGAUUGUUUAACUCCACACCCUUCUGCCGCUGGGCAUCCAAGAGAGCAUUCACAUCAGCAUACAAACUGUCAUAGUCCUCCUGUACUUUCUUCUCCUCCUCUUUCUUUGCCAGCUCUGCCUUCAAGUUGCCCACUACAGUUUCUAGCUCUGCAAUCUUCACAUCAAGACAUUGCUUAUGCUCCUUUUGAUUGCUCAACUCCAGACCCCUCUGUUGCUGGGCAUCCAAGAGAGCAUUGACAUCAGCAUACAAACUGUCAUAAUUCUCCUGUAGUUUCUUCUUCUCUUCUGUCAGGUUGUGAAUUAGAAAGGAACUCUCCAGAUUGUCAUUGGUCCUACCUGACUUACUCUCCUCAUACAUAUCCCAUAACUUGGCCAAUGCCUUCUCCAUUGAGUCUGCACAUUCAAAAUCAAUCCAUUGAACUACUCCACAGUUUAUUCCUUCCUGUAAAAUAAACAAUAAAACAAUAAAGAAUCAUCUAAGUGAGUAGGCUGAAGACCACUGUUAAGUGCCAUACUCCAUAAGCAAACAUGUUCAGGGGGUCUAAUAUGUGCAGCAAACAUAUCACACAACAAACAAAUAAACAAUGGCCACUGUUAAACAAGUAAUUAAGCACUGACCAUAAUAAACAAUGACAACCAUCCACUCACUGGUGGUGUCGGAGAGCGGAUGGCCGUCGGCCGACGGAUUCGCGGCCACCGCGGAGAACGCGAGGAGGUACAACCAGGGGCUGCUCGAUCACGUCCGGUCCGGGAGGCCGAGGCGGCCGGGGCCGAUCGAGACGUACGUGUUCGCCAUGUCCAACGAGAACAAGAAGCCUGGCGACGCCACGGAGAAAAACUUUGGGCUGUUGUACCCUGACGAGGAGCCUGUGUACCCGGUCACCUUCACCAAUUAGCAGUUGCCAAGUGUCAAGGCGAAGAUCUCUAAUUUAGAAAACCUUCCAGGUAAACCAGACUUNNNNNNNNNNNNNNNNNNNNNNNNNNNNNNNNNNNNNNNNNNNNNNNNNNNNNNNNNNNNNNNNNNNNNNNNNNNNNNNNNNNNNNNNNNNNNNNNNNNNNNNNNNNNNNNNNNNNNNNNNNNNNNNNNNNNNNNNNNNNNNNNNNNNNGCCCUCGCAUCGUCCUCCCGAGGGCGACUCGAGGGCGACUAGGGUUUCCCCCGCGUCGCCACCCCCUUAAUCCCAGUCCCUCCUCGCCGCCACCUGAGGGGAUGGACGGGCAAGCCUGGUGGGUCGUCGAUGAAGGUGGCGGUGAGGUGCUGUGUUGCUUCAUGCCCCCGCAAAGGACCUGGAAGCCGGGGUGGUGGCCCCAGACAGUGAGGCGGCGCUGCCUCCGCGACUGGCAGCGCCCGCAGGAGGUGGUGGUCGGCAUCCUCGGUUGUCCGGGCAGUGAGGAUACAGCGGGCGGUCGCGGUGCGGAGUUCCUCUGCCCCAGAUCUGAAGGUCAGGCGCCCUCCUUCCCUGCUCUCUCAUCCCCUCCGGUCGUGCCCUUUUGUGACUCUAGACGCCAGAUCCGGUGCAGGCGCGGUGCGGGUGCUCAGGUUCGAGUUCGGGGGAAACCCUUGGCCGGUCCUUCGGCCACGACGGCGACGGCGCGUGUGCGCGUCGUGUUCAUCCUUGGAGGCGCUGUUGAGGGCUCUCCUCUGCACCCCCGUCCCAGACCCCAAGUGAAAACCCAACACCCGUCUCGGGUUGGCCGGCGGCGGCGCCUAGCACGUCGCGUCCUCGUUGGAGGCGCCGUCUGGGGUGUCUGGUUCUUCGGGAGAGGGUCCAUGUGGCUGGUGGGCGUCUGUCGGCUGCGAGGCCAAGUUUGCAUUUUUUGUGGAGGGUGCUCGUGCCUGCAAGAGUCCUUCUUGCGGCCAUGGAACGGGACCUGGUGCUUCUAUGCUCCGCCUCUUGGCCUCUGCAGCUUUCUUCUUCGGCGAACUCCCGAUGGCUAUCCUUCUGCUCCUGGUUUGUUCGGGAGAGGUGGCAGUGAAGCUGUGGUGUGUGCCAGUGGCGUGGCGAGGGUUGUGCACCUGUCUGCGAUGGGAAUCCGGCUAGCGUCUGCUUUAGUUACCGGGUGAGCGCCAACGAUCCGACGGUGCGGCGCCUUCGAGCCUAGGCGAGAGUGUUGGAAAUAUGCCCUAGAGGCAAUAAUAAAAUGGUUAUUAUUAUAUUUCUUUGUUCAUGAUAAUUGUCUGUAAUUCAUGCCAUAAUUGUGUUAUCCGGAAAUCGUAAUACACGUGUGAAUACAUAGACCACAGAAUGUCCCUAGUAAGCCUCUAGUUGACUAGCUCGUUGAUCAACAGAUAGUCAUGGUUUCCUGACGAUGGACAUUGGAUGUCAUUGAUAACGGGAUCACAUCAUUAGGAGAAUGAUGUGAUGGACAAGACCCAAUCCUAAGCAUAGCUCAAAGAUCGUGUAGUUCGUUUAGCUAGAGCUUUUCCAAAUGUCAAGUAUCAUUUCCUUAGACCAUGAGAUUGUGCAACUCCCGGAUACCGUAGGAGUGCUUUGGGUGUGCCAAACGUCACAACGUAACUGGGUGACUAUAAAGGUGCACUACGGGUAUCUCCGAAAGUGUCUGUUGGGUUGGCACAAAUCGAGACUGGGAUUUGUCACUCCGUAUGAUGGAGAGGUAUCUCUGGGCCCACUUGGUAAUGCAUCAUCAUAAUGAGCUCAAUGUAACCAAGUGUCUGGUCACGGGAUCAUGCAUUACGGUACGAGUAAAGUGACUUGUCGGUAACGAGAUAAAAUGAGAUAUUGGGAUACCAACGAUCGAAUCUCGGGCAAGUAACGUACCGACUGACAAAGGGAAUUGUAUACGGGAUUGAUUGAAUCCUCGACAUCAUGGUUCAUCCGAUGAGAUCAUCGAGGAGCAUGUGGGAGUCAACAUGGGUAUCCAGAUCCCGCUGUUGGUUAUUGACCGGAGAGGCGUCUCGGUCAUGUCCGCAUGUCUCCCGAACCCGUAGGGUCUACACACUUAAGGUUAGGUGACGCUAGGGUUGUAGAGAUAUUAGUAUGCAGUAACCCGAAAGUUUUUUGGAGUCCCGGAUAAGAUCCCGGACGUCACGAGGAGUUCCGGAAUGGUCCGGAGGUAAAGAAUUAUAUAUAGGAAGUCAAGUUUCGGCCAUCGGGAAAGUUUCGGGGAUCACCGGUAUUGUACCGGGACCACCGGAAGGGUCCCGGGGGUCCACCGGGUGGGGCCACCUAUCCCGGAGGGCCCCAUGGGCGGAAGUGGGAGGGGAACCAGCCCCUGGUGGGCUGGUGCGCCCCCCCCCUUGGGCACCCCCUGCGCCUAGGGUUGGAAACCGUAGGGGUGGGGGCGCCUCCACUUGGCUUGGGGGGCAAGCCACCCCUCUUGGCCGCCGCCCCCCUUGGAGAUUGCAUCUCCUAGGGCCGCCGCCCCCCUAGGGGGCCUAUAUAAAGAGGGGGGAGGGAGGGCAGCCGCACCCAUGCUCUUGGUGCCUUCCUCUCCCCUUGCUACACCUCUCCCUCUCGUAGAAGCUUGGUGAAGCCCUGCCGAGAUCGCUGCUGCAUCCACCACCACGCCGUUGUGCUGUUGGAUCUCCAUCAACCUCUCCUUCCCUUUGCUGGAUCAAGAAGGAGGAGACGUCUUCCUCAACCGUACAUGUGUUGAACGCGGAGGUGUUGUCCAUUCAGCACUAGGAUCAUCGGUGAUUUGGAUCACGACGAGUACGACUCCCUCAACCCCGUUCUCUUGAAUGCUUCCGCUCGCGAUCUACAAGGGUAUGUAGAUGCACUCCUUUCUCUCGUUGCUAGAUGAACUCAUAGAUUGAUCUUGGUGAGAGCGUAGGAAUUUUUUAUUUUCUGCAACGUUCCCCAACAGUGGUAUCAGAUCCAGGUUUAUGUGUAGUUCUCUUUGUACGAGUAGAACACAAUUGGUUGUGGGCAUAGAUGUUGUCAACUUUAUUGCCACUACUAGUCUUAUUUUGCUUCAACGACAUCGUGGGAUGAAGCGGCCCAGACCGACCUUACACGUAUGCUUACGUGAGACAGGUUCCACCGACUGACAUGCACUAGUUGCAUAAGGUGGCUAGCGGGUGUCUGUCUCUCCCUCUUUAGUUGGAGCGGAUUCGACGAAAAGGGUCCUUAUGAAGGGUAAAUAGAAGUUGGCAUAUCACGUUGUGGCUUUCACGUAGGUAAGAAAACGUUCUUGCUAGAACCCUAUUGCAGCCACGUAAAAACAUGCAACAACAAUUAGAGGACGUCUAACUUGUGUUUGCAGCAUAUGCCUUGUGAUGUGAUAUGGCCAAAAGUUGUGAUGAAUGAUAUAUAUGUGAUGUAUGAGAUCAUGUUCUUGUAAUAGGAAUCACGACUUACAUGUCGAUGAGUAUGACAACCGGCAGGAGCCAUAGGAGUUGUCUUAAUUAUUGUAUGACCUGCGUGUCAAUGAUUAAACGCCAUGUAAUUACUUUACUUUAUUGCUAAACCGUUAGCCAUAGUAGUAGAAGUAAUAGUUGGCGAGCAACUUCAUGGAGACACGAUGAUGGAGAUCAUGGUGUCAUGCCGGUGACGAAGAUGAUCAUGGAGCCCCGAAGAUGGAGAUCAAAGGAGCUAUAUGAUAUUGGCCAUAUCAUGUCACUAUUUGAUUGCAUAUGAUGUUUAUCAUGUUUUACAUCUUAUUUGCUUAGAACGAUGGUAGCUUAAAAAAGAUGAUCCCUCACAAUAAUUUCAAGAAAGUGUUCCCCCUAACUGUGCACCAUUGCGAAGGUUCGUUGUUUCGAAGCACCACAUGAUGAUCGGGUGUGAUAGAUCCUAACGUUCGAAUACAAUGGGUGUAAGCCAGAUUUACACACGCAAUACACUUAGGUUGACUUGACGAGCCUAGCAUGUACAGACAUGGACUCGGAACACGGAGGACCAAAAGGUCGAGCAUGAGUCAUGUAGAAGAUACGAUCAACAUGGAGAUGUUCACCGAUGUCGACUAGUCCGUCUCACGUGAUGAUCGGACACGGCCUAGUUGACUCGGAUCAUGUUUCACUUAGAUGACUAGAGGGAUGUCUGUCUGAGUGGGAGUUCAUUGAAUAAUUUGAUUAGAUGAACUUAAUUAUCAUGAACUUAGUCUAAAAUCUUUACAAUAUGUCUUGUAGAUCAAAUGGCCCAUGUUACACUCAACUUCAAUGCUUUCCUAGAGAAAACCAAGCUGAAAGAUGAUGGCAACAACUAUACGGACUGGGUCCGGAACCUGAGAAUCAUCCUCAUAGCUGCCAAGAAAGAUUAUGUCCUAGAAGCACCGCUAGGUGAAGCACCCAUCCCAGAGAACCAAGAUGUUAUGAACGCUUGGCAGUCUCGUGCUGAUGAUUACUCCCUCAUUCAGUGCGGCAUGCUUUACAGCUUAGAACCGGGGCUCCAAAAGUGUUGUGAGCAGCACGGAGCAUAUGAGAUGUUCGAAGAGCUGAAAAUGGUUUUCCAAGCUCAUGCCCGGGUCGAGAGAUAUGAAGUCUCUGACAAGUUCUUCAGUUGUAAGAUGGAGGAAAAUAGUUCUGUCAGUGAGCACAUACUCAGAAUGUCUGGGUUGCACAACCGCUUGACUCAGCUGGGAGUUAAUCUCCCGGAUGACGCGGUUAUUGACAGAAUCCUUCAGUCGCUUCCACCGAGCUACAAGAGCUUUGUGAUGAACUUCAAUAUGCAGGGGAUGGAAAAGACCAUUCCUGAGGUAUAUUCAAUGCUGAAAUCAGCGGAGGUAGAGAUCAAAAAGGAACAUCAAGUGUUGACCACUAAGUUCAAGAAAGGCAAGGGUAAGAAGAACUUCAAGAAGGACGACAAGGGAGUUGCCUCGCCCGGUAAGCCAGUUACCGGGAAGAAGCCAAGGAAUGGACCCAAGCCUGAGACUGAGUGCUUUUAUUGCAAGGGAAGUGGUCACUGGAAGCGGAACUGUCCCAAGUGCUUAGCGGACAAGAAGGCUGGCAACACCAAAGGUAUAUGUGAUAUACAUGUUAUUGAUGUGUACCUUACCAACACUCGUAGUAGCUCCUGGGUAUUUGAUACCGGUGCGGUUGCUCAUAUUUGUAACUCAAAGCAGGAGCUGCGGAAUAAGCGGAGACUGGCGAAUGACGAGGUGACGAUGCACGUCGGGAAUGGUUCCAAGGUCGAUGUGACCGCCGUCGGCACGCUACCUCUACAUUUACCUACAAGAUUAGUUUUAAACCACAAUAAUUGUUAUUUAGUGCCAGCUUUGAGCAUGAACAUUGUAUCUGGAUCUCGUUUAAUACGAGAUGGCUACUCAUUUAAGUCCGAGAAUAAUGGUUGUUCUAUUUAUAUGAGAGAUAUGUUUUAUGGUCAUGCCCCGAUGGUCAAUGGUUUAUUCUUAAUGGAUCUCGAACGUGAUGUUACACAUAUUCAUAGUGUGAAUACCGAAAGAUGUAAGGUUGAUAAUGAUAGUCCCACAUACUUGUGGCACUGCCCCCUUGGUCACAUUGGUGUCAAGCGCAUGAAGAAGCUCCAUGCUGAUGGACUUUUAGAGUCUCUCGAUUAUGAAUCAUUUGACACAUGCGAACCAUGCCUCAUGGGCAAAAUGACCAAGACACCAUUCUCUGGAACAAUGGAGCGAGCAACCAACUUAUUGGAAAUCAUACAUACUGAUGUGUGCGGUCCAAUGAGCGUUGAGGCUCGUGGAGGAUAUCAUUAUGUUCUCACUCUCACUGACGACUUGAGUAGAUAUGGGUAUGUCUACUUGAUGAAACACAAGUCUGAGACCUUUGAAAAGUUCAAGGAAUUUCAGAAUGAGGUAGAGAAUCAACAUGACUGAAAGAUAAAGUUCUUACGAUCAGAUCAUGGAGGAGAAUAUUUAAGUCAUGAAUUUGGUAUGCACUUAAGGAAAUGUGGAAUUGUUUCACAACUCACGCCGCCUGGAACACCUCAGCGUAACGGUGUGUCUGAACAUCGUAAUCGCACUUUAUUGGAUAUGGUGCGAUCUAUGAUGUCUCUUACUGAUUUACCGCUAUCUUUUUGGGGAUACACUCUAGAGACAGCUACAUUCACUUUAAAUAGGGCACCAUCUAAAUCCAUUGAGACGACACCAUACGAAUUAUGGUUUGGGAAGAAACCUAAGCUGUCGUUUCUAAAAGUUUGGCGAUGCGAUGCUUAUGUCAAGAAACUACAACCUGAAAAGCUCGAACCCAAGUCGGAAAAAUGCGUCUUCAUAGGAUACCCUAAGGAAACCAUUGGGUAUACCUUCUACCUCAGAUCCGAAGGCAAGAUCUUUGUUGCCAAGAAUGGGUCCUUUCUGGAGAAAGAGUUUCUCUCGAGAGAAGUAAGUGGGAGGAAGGUGGAACUUGAUGAAGUACUACCUCUUGAACCGGUGAGUAGCGCAGCUCAGGAAGAUGUUCCUGUGGUGCCAGCACCAACUGAAGAGGAAGUUAAUGAUGAUGAUCAAGGUACUUCGGAUCAAGUUACUACUGAACUUCAUAGGUCCACGAGGACACGUUCCACACCAGAGUGGUAUGGCAACCCUGUCCUGGAAAUCAUGUUGUUAGACAACGGUGAACCUUCGAACUAUGAAGAAGCGAUGGCGGGCCCAGAUUCCAACAAAUGGCUUGAAGCCAUGCAAUCCGAGAUAGGAUCCAUGUAUGAAAACGAAGUAUGGACUUUGACAGAUUUGCCCGAUGAUCAGCGAGCGAGAGAAAACAAAUGGAUCUUUAAGAAGAAGACGGACGUGGAUGGUAAUGUUACCAUCUAUAAAGCUCGACUUGUCGCUAAGGGUUAUUGACAAGUUCAAGGGGUUGACUACGAUGAGACUUUCUCUCCCGUAGCGAAGCUAAAGUCCGUCCGAAUCAUGUUAGCAAUUGCCGCAUACUAUGAUUAUGAGAUAUGGCAAAUGGAUGUCAAAACUGCAUUCCUUAACGGCCAUCUUAAGGAAGGACUGUAUAUGAUGCAGCCAGAAGGUUUUGUCGACCCUGAGAAUGCUAACAAGGUAUGCAAACUCCAGCGAUCCAUUUAUGGGCUGGUGCAAGCAUCUCGGAGUUGGAACAUUCGCUUUGAUGAGAUGAUCAAAGCGUUUGGGUUUACGCAGACUUAUGGAGAAGCCCGUGUUUACAAGAAAGUGAGUGGGAGCUCUGUAGCAUUUCUCAUGUUAUAUGUAGAUGACAUACUUUUGAUGGGAAAUGAUAUAGAACUUUUGGACAGCAUUAAGGCCUACUUGAAUAAGUGUUUUUCAAUGAAGGACCUUGGAGAACCUGCUUACAUAUUAGGCAUCAAGAUCUAUAGGGAUAGAUCAAGACGCCUCAUAGGUCUUUCACAAAGCACAUACCUUGAUAAGAUAUUGAAGAAGUUCAAUAUGGAUCAGUCCAAGAAGGGAUUCUUUCCUGUGUUGCAAGGUGUGAAAUUGAGCUCAGCUCAAUGCCCGACCACGGCAGAAGAUAGAGAAAAGAUGAGUGUCAUCCCCUAUGCCUCAGCUAUAGGGUCUAUUAUGUAUGCCAUGCUGUGUACCAGACCUGAUGUAAACCUUGCCGUAAGUUUGGUAGGAAGGUACCAAAGUAAUCCCGGCAUGGAACACUGGACAGCGGUCAAGAACAUCCUAAAGUACGUGAAAAAGGACUAAGGAUAUGUUUCUCAUUUAUGGAGGUAACGAAGAGCUCGUCGUAAAGGGUUACGUCGAUGCUAGCUUCGACACAGAUCUGGAUGACUCUAAGUCACAGACCGGAUACGUGUAUAUUUUGAAUGGUGGGGCAGUAAGCUGGUGCAGUUGCAAGCAAAGCAUCAUGGCGGGAUCUACAUGUGAAGCACAGUACAUGGCAGCCUCGGAGGCAGUGCAUGAAGCAAUCUGGGUGAAGGAGUUCAUCAACGACCUAGGAGUCAUACCCAAUGCGUCGGGGCUGAUCACACUCUUCUGUGACAACACUGGAGCUAUUGCACUUGCCAAGGAGCCCAGGUUUCACAAGAAGACCAGGCACAUCAAGCGUCGCUUCAACUCCAUACGUGAAAAUGUUCAAUAUGGAGACAUAGAUAUUUGUAAAGUACAUACGGACCUGAAUGUAGCAGAUCCGUUGACUAAACCUCUCCCUAGAGCAAAACAUGAUCAACACCAGAACGCUAUGGGUGUUCAAUUCAUCACAAUGUAACUAGAAUAUUGACUCUAGUGCAAGUGGGAGACUGUUGGAAAUAUGCCCUAGAGGCAAUAAUAAAAUGGUUAUUAUUAUAUUUCUUUGUUCAUGAUAAUUGUCUGUUAUUCAUGCUAUAAUUGUGUUAUCCGGAAAUCGUAAUACACGUAUGAAUACAUAGACCACAACAUGUCCCUAGUAAGCCUCUAGUUGACUAGCUCGUUGAUCAACAGAUAGUCAUGGUUUCCUGACUAUGGGCAUUGGAUGUCAUUGAUAACGGGAUCACAUCAUUAGGAGAAUGAUGUGAUGGAUAAGACCCAAUCCUAAGCAUAGCUCAAAGAUCGUGUAGUUCGUUUAGCUAGAGCUUUUCCAAAUGUCAAGUAUCAUUUCCAGAGACCAUGAGAUUGUGCAACUCCCGGAUACCGUAGGAGUGCUUUGGGUGUGCCAAACGUUACAACGUAACUGGGUGACUAUAAAGGUGCACUAUGGGUAUCUCCGAAAGUGUCUGUUGGGUUGGCACGAAUCGAGACUGGGAUUUGUCACUCCGUAUGACGGAGAGGUAUCUCUGGGCCCACUCGGUAAUGCAUCAUCAUAAUGAGCUCAAUGUGACCAAGUGUCUGGUCACGGGAUCAUGCAUUAUGGUACGAGUAAAAUGACUUGCCGGUAACGAGAUUAAACGAGGUAUUGGGCUACCGACGAUCGAAUCUCGGGCAAGUAUACGGGAUUGAUUGAAUCCUCGACAUCGUAGUUCAUCUGAUGAGAUCAUCAAGGAGCAUGUGGGAGCCAACAUGGGUAUCCAGAUCCCGCUGUUGGUUAUUGACCGGAGAGGCGUCUCGGUCAUGUCUGCAUGUCUCCUGAACCCAUAGGGUCUACACACUUAAGGUUCGGUGACGCUAGGGUUGUAGAGAUAUUACUAUGGAGUAACUUGAAAGUUGUUCGGAGUCCCGGAUGAGAUCCCGGACGUCACGAGGAGUUCCGGAAUGGUCCGGAGGUAAAGAAUUAUAUAUAGGAAGUCAAGUUUCGGCCAUCGGGAAAGUUUCGGGGAUCACCGGUAUUGUACCGGGACCACCGGAAGGGUCCCGGGGGUCCACCGGGUGGGGCCACCUAUCCUGGAGGGCCCCAUGGGCUGAAGUGGGAGGGGAACCAGCCCCUGGUGGGCUGGUGCGCCCCCCCUUGGCCCCCCUGCGCCUAGGGUUGGAAACCCUAGGGGUGGGGGCGCCUCCACUUGGCUUGGGGGGCAAGCCACCCCCUUGGCCGCCACCCCCCUUGGAGAUUGCAUCUCCUAGGGCCGGCACCCCCUAGGGGGCCUAUAUAAAGAGGGGGGAGGGAGGGCAGCCGCACCCAUGCUCUUGGCGCCUCCCUCUCCCCUUGCUACACCUGUCCCUCUCGUAGAAGCUUGGCGAAGCCCUGCCGAGAUCGCUGCUGCAUCCACCACCACGCCGUCGUGCUGCUGGAUCUUCAUCAACCUCUCCUUCCCCUUGCUGGAUCAAGAAGGAGGAGACGUCUUCCUCAACCGUACGUGUGUUGAACGCGGAGGUGCUGUCCGUUCAGCACUAGGAUAAUCGGUGAUUUGGAUCACGACGAGUACGACUCCCUCAACCCCGUUCUCUUGAACGCUUCCGCUCACGAUCUACAAGGGUAUGUGGAUGCACUCCUUUCUCUCGUUGCUAGAUGAACUCAUAGAUUGAUCUCGGUGAAAGCGUAGAAAUUUUUUAUUUUCUGCAACGUUCCCCAACAGAGAGGAAAGGGUUCCUCUUCGGCGUUGGGAGCGAUGUUCUUCCUUUGUCCCUGGGUUCAGACAGUUCACACCUUUCUCUGGCUAUCGGCUGAUCAUUGAGGCUUCUCUGUUGCUCCUCUCUCUGCUGACUAUGUGCAGUAGGCUUCGACUCUACUAGCAGGGCUCUUCAUAUAUUUUUCUUUCUGCUGUAGUGUGUGUUGCAUUGUUAGCUGUUCACUAAGCUCCGUUGUAUCUUUCGGUCGCUUUUGCUUGGUGGCCUUGUGUAAUCCUGGCCGGUUGAUGGCUUCGUUAACUCAAAGCCGGGCUCCCCUUGAGCCUUCGUUCUAAAAAAAGAGCCUUCCAAAAAAAUGGAUCCGGAGAGGGCCUAUGGUAGGGCUAUGGCUCUAAAAAAGAACUAGAGUACUAUGGUAGAACUAUCGUCUGUUUUUCUUCUUUCUUCUUCGAAAUAAAACCAGCGUUUCACGUCCUUAUUCUUUUCACCUCCCCCCAUUGUCCCCUAAACCCUACGAGAUCAGUACCAGAGGAGAGUCGCAGAUCCCCCAUCCCUCGGAGUAAUUCUACCAUGCCGGCCGCCGCUGGCAAGCCGUCCCGAUCAGCCUCCGCCAUCACCCCCUCCACAGUGAGAGGGUACCACCUCCUCAAGAUCGACGGCUACUCCCUCACCAAGGGCGUCCCUACCGGAGAUAAGAUAAAGUCUGGCUCUUUCACCCUGGGAGGACAUCGAUGGCACAUCGAUUACUAUCCCAACGGCUUGCAACCACAAUAUGCCGGUUACAUAUCCCUGAACCUUCAUCUUGAUUCCAAUGUCACCGCGGCGGUGAAGGCACAACACAAAUUCAGUUUUGCGGAUGAGGUAAUGAACCUACCUCCUUCGCUGGUAUCAACAACAGUACACACCUACAGUGGUCUGCUAGGCUGGGGGCCUAUUAGUUUCAUGAAAAGGGCAGACUUGGAGAAGUCUGAGCAUCUCAAGGACGAUUCUUUCACCAUCAGGUGUGAUAUCCUUGUCAUCAUGGAUUACCGUGCAGAGGAUUUGCCAGAAGACACUCCAGCAUUUGUCACUGUGGCCCCAUCUGACCUGCACCAGCACCUCGCAGAUCUCCUCAAGACUGAGAAGGGUGCCGACGUAGUCUUCGAGGUUGGUGGUCACACGUUCGCAGCACACCGCUGCGUGCUCGCUGCCCGGUCACUGGUCUUCAGUGCGGAGCUCUUUGGUGGUAUGAAGGAGGGCGACACCGCAGGUGUGGUGCGCAUAGAUGAAAUGGAGGCGCAGGUGUUCAAGGCGUUGCUCUGUUUUGCGUAUACCGAUUCCUUACCAGUGACAGAAAAAGAAGAUGAAGAUGUCAUGUGCCAGCAUCUGCUUGUUGCGGCUGACAGGUAUAACAUGGAGAGGCUAAAGACUAUUUGCGAGGAAAGGUUAUGCAAGUACAUCAAUGGAGGCUCAGUAACGACCAUCCUGACGUUAGCUGAGCAGCACCACUGUGAGGGCCUAAAGAAGGCGUGCUUAAGUUUUCUUGGCUCCCCGGCAAAUCUUAGAGCUUUGUUGGACAGCGACGGCUUCGAUCAUCUGAGCAGGAGCUGCCCUUCUGUUAUUAAGAAUCUGAUUGCCAUGUCAGCCCUUGUUUAGUGGUAAAUGUUGCGUUAGCAAUUAUAUAGUUCCAGGGAUUGAAAUGGUUUUCUUGUAGUAGCAGUGGCGCUUAGCUCCCUGGUUUGGUUUGAAGACUUAUUAUCUACGGUUACCUUAUAUUCCUAGUACUAUCAGACUACCUAUCCUAACUUUCGAAGAAGAUGGAAACUAGUAUUAUAGCACUGUCACUUUGUUUCUGUUUUGGUGUUUCCUUGCAUGUCUGAAUCUUAUCAAUUUAUCAGGAAGUACUUGGAUAUCAGGUAGCAGUCCA